AAAUCUCCACUACGUUUUAGGACUGAAUGUACUAAAAAUAUAGCUGUUGUAGUUUGUAACCACUGUUAAUUUAACCAAUAAGGGUUAAAUGCGUAUUUUAAUUUCUUAAAUAUUUUUGGGAUAUUAUAAGUGAAAGCAUCCUUCAUUCGGUGAUUAAAAACUAAACUGAAAUAACUUUACCAAUAAGGUUCGAAAUCCCAAUCAUAACACAACAAAAGGAGAUGCAACUCUAGUUCUGAAAUACAUCGAAAACAUAUAUCAUCUAGUAUCAAAACCCCGAACAGCUCUCUCCCCACCAUCAACUCGAGUACAUGUGUCUGAAAAUACACAGAUACACCAAGGAAACUAAUAUCUAAUGGGGUCUGUGAUAAGCACACGAGUGGCUAUCUAGAUUCACGUAGAACUGAGACUGAAACUCAACAAUGAUGAGAGUGAACUGAGGAUAGAACAUAGGACUCUAUCUAAACAUACAUCUAGUAAAGUGACUAUGUGGUCCCGAUAUGAAUCUACCUACCAUCAACAACCCCUAACUGUGUGUGAAUGGGCUCAUGGUGGAUCCGACCAUGAAACCUCCCUAAAAUAUCGCGUGAGUAACAUCAGUAGGCGUACUCAACAUGUCCUUCCUGAGCCUGAUUAUAACCUGGGCGGUUGCGCAAUCCAAGGGUGGGUGACUAAUGCAUCAUAAUCAUGAACUAGUAUAUAUAUGCCUAUCUUGUCCUAUCAUGAAAUGUGAAUCAAUUGCCACAGUUCGAACGCCAAGAGCUUAUGCUCAAAAUUUAAUUAAUGUAUAGUAGAUCAAACACUACUAUACAGUUCUGAGAGCCCUCGCAUCAAAUCACACUGGGAAUCCAAUCAUUAGAUUUCUGCAAUCUAUUACAGUUCUACGCUUAUAAGGAGAAAAGUAACCCUAAACCCCCACCUCUAAUUAGCUUUCCCAGUUGAGUCUGAUCUGAAGCUGCCUUCCCAGAGCUCAAGCCUCCCGUCCUGAUUUACCUAAAGAGAUCAAUCAUAGGAUUGACAUCCCAAAAUCCUGGCUGUCAAGUUUUCCUACGUGGGUUUCAAACUAUAGAAUUAAGAGAGAAAGAAGAAGAUUGAUUACCUUCCCAUGCGUCCCCUAGCCUCUCUUACCCUCUAUCCUUGAUCCUGGCUGAUCAGCUCUAUCUUCUCCUCUUUCAUCGAUCGCCUUCAUCUCCUGGGAGAGACUCGCCGCCCGUAGGUUUCUUUUUGUUUUUGAAUUCUGAGUUGCAUGUCGUGAUUUUGGCUUUUAUAAUAACUCCACCAUGCCCAUGAUGAACUUACCACAACACCUAUGACUGCUUGACAGCUACGCCCGCAACCUAGUGAUGGUCACAACUAUGAUCUCCUGAUGAUCACGCCCUUAACUGACUGCUAACUAGGGUGAUGGUCUAUCUAGCAAAUAUAUCAUGUGACAGACUGACGGUCAUGCCCGUGAUUGUCCACUUGUCUAACCACAACUCAGCUUAUUAAACCCUGAAAUUAGGUUGGGGGUUAGGAUUACUUUUCUGUUUUAAACGUAGAACUAUACUAGGUUUUCAGGUAUUCAAUGAUUGGAUCUCAUUAUGUUUCAUAGCAAGGGAUCUCAAGACUGUAUAGUAGCGUGUGAUCUACUGCACAGGUGUUGUGAUGUGAUUAGAGCGAGGACUCUAGCGCUGUACAAUAGUGUGAUCUACUGUACAUGCAGUUAUUAAAUUUUGAGCAUAAGUUCAUAGCAUUUGAACUGUUACGUGCAAUUCACAGUUCAUGUUAGGACAUGAUUAGGCUUAGCUAAAUUAGCUCCCGAUUAUGAUUUGUUGGUCACCCACCCAUGAAUUGCGCAAUCCUUUAGGUUAUAAUAAGGUUCAGACAGGACGUGUUGAAUAUGCAUAUAGAUGUUGGUCGCAUGAUAUUUAGGGUGGUUUCAUGGUCUGAUCCACCAUGAGGUUGUCCGCUCACAGCUAGGGGUGGCUGAUGUUAGGUUGGUGCCUAUAAGACCACAGGGUUUACUAGAUAUCUUCAGUUCGACAGACGCGUCAUGAACCUCAAAGCGACCAGUGCUCAUAGUAGCUCAAUAUUGAAUAAUUUGGGCAGAUGCUUCUAUUCGGUGUUAGGCGUAUGUAAGUUGUGCUUCUAACGGAGGAGUUAGCCAUGGGCUUGGAGGAAAUUACAUCAAAGGCGUGAUGGAUAGACCACUAUGAGCGUGGCUAAUAGUGGGUAACUUCUGUGACAUAGUAACGACCACAUGCAUGAUUAGUCAUUGGCCACGGGCAUAAGGGGAUGUGUACCACAUGUGUGGUCAUAUGUACACCAAAGGUGUGGUGAUGUUAGUAACGGGCGUGGUCAGAUGUAUACCACGAGCAUAACCGAGGAUACAGCACUGGCGUGGCAUGUCUGCCAGAGUGAGUGCCACAAAUACCUUCGUAAACCUCUUCGAGUAUGUGUCGGGCCCCUUUUGCGUUCACACACCGGAAAAGGGUAAUACCAUGGUUUCGUUUGUAGAGGGUGGACCAAUUGAUAUAGAAUUCUAGGGCGAGUCUCUCUUAUGUCUUUUUGAAGUUUUUGUUAUACUCCUGGUGGGUAUUCCUUGCUUUGUAUAUAAGUUUUUAUGUCAUGGUACCAAGGUUUAUCGUCCGACUCUUCUUUCACGUUAGCACGUGAGAGGGAUCAUCUUAUGUUUUAUCUGAAUUUGAGGAAUGGAGUCAAGCUUUCACAAUGCGUAUAUCGAGGAUAGGAUAGCCAGAGCAUCAACGAUAUGUUUGUGGUAAGGGAUAAUCUUUCGGAUGUGUUCCAACUUGGUGUUAUUGAAGCUUUCCAUCAUUUUCAUGAUGAGUUUAUGGUAAGGGAAAAGAUUUUCGUUUCUUGUCUCCCACUCUCCUCUUAGUUUGUAGAUGACGAGUGAAGAAUCUAUGUAUACCUUCAAGUUCUUAAUCCCCAUCUUUAUGGAUGAUCGGAUACCAAGCGAGCAUGCCUCGUACUUUUUUUUAUAAAAACAUGCCUCGUACUCAGAGACGUUGUUGGUGCAAUAAAAGGUCAAAUUAGUUGUAAUGGGGUACAUUUUCCCUUUAGGAGAUAGGAACACUACACCUAUACCGUAUCCAAAGGCAAUAGAUGCCUCGCCAAAUUUCAUAAUCCAAGGUCAUUCUUCACCCUCGAUGUCUUCGUCUUCAUCAUCAUUCAAAACAGUAUCGUCGGGGAAUUCCAAUACUAAUGGGUUUUAGUUUGAUAUAGGAUGGUCCGCCUAGGUUGUCAGCGAUCAGAUUUCCCUUGGUUUCUUUCUUUGUCGUAUACAGGAUGUCUUACUCGGUUAGUUAGACCGGCACUUUGCUAAACGACCAGUGAGAGUGGGCUUCUCAAAGAUGUGCUUCAUGGGGUCGACUUUUGAGACAAGGUAUGUGGUGUAGUACAACUUCUAGCGUCUCAACCUUUUAAUCAUUCAUGUUAAUGCUCCACAUUUCCUUUGUAGGUCCGAGUAUCGAGAUUCAUAGUCGGUGAACUUCUUGAUGGUAUAAUACAUGGUGUGUUCCUUCUUUCCUGAUAAGUCUCUUUCGGCUAGCAUAGGCCCUAGUGAGUUCUCAAACACCUUUAAGUAAAAAAGUAGCAUUCUCCCGGGUGUGGGAGGGACUAAUACCGUUGGGCUUUGGAAAGUAUUCCUUAAUAUUUUCAAAUGCCAACUGGCAAUUAUCAUUCCACUUUACUGGUUGGUUAUCUCUGAGAAGUUUGAGUAUAGGCUAGCACGUCGGGGUUAGAUGCGAGAUGAAGCAACCAAUGUAAUUUAAUCUUCCUAAGAACCCACGUGCUUAUUUCAGCGUUUGAGGCAGCGAAAUCUUGAUGAUGGAUUAUAUUGGGUCCACCUUAAUUUCUCUCUCGCUUACUAUGAAUAUGAGAAGUUUCCCUCACAUGAUCCUGAAGGUUCAUUUCUCAGGGUUCGGCCUUAGUUCUUGUUUCUUUAACCUUUUGAACAUUUUCAGGAGCACUUCUUUGUGAUCUUCAUAACUUUUGGACUUGGUGAUCAUUUCAUGACUUUAUGUAUCAUAUCAUGAAAACAGUGACAAUUCCCCUUCAAUAGGUACGUCGCCCUGAAAAUAUAGCUAAACGACCCCUAAAGUGUUGUAAAUGUUGUCUUUUCUCUAUCCUUGGGGCACAUCUUUAUCCAAUUGUAGCCGGAGAAGCCAUCAAUGAAUGACAACAUUUGGUGUCUUGCCGUAUUAUCUACUAGCAUGUCAAUGUGGGGUAGAGAAAAGUUAUCUUUUGGGCUUGCUCUAUUUAGAUCUUAAUAGUUGACACAUUUGCACCUUUCCAUUUAUUUGGGAGAUGAGUACUAUGUUAGCCACCCAUUCCAAAUAUCAAAAUACUUGGAUAAACCCGCCACAUACUGCUUCUGCACUUCCUCGUUGAUUUUGAGAAGCCACUCCAUUUUCAUGCUUCCAAGUUUUCGCUUCCCGUGUUUUCACCCCUCCAUGGUUGGCAAGCAAUGUGUAACAAUACUUUUGUCUAGACCCGGCAUAUUCUGGUAUCAUCAUGCAAAGAUCUCUUGAUAUUCUAUUAACAGCUCUAUUAGCUCCGCUAGAAAGCCUGCAGACUCCUUUCCUCUUAUUCCAAAAUCCAAUCUAUAUCUUACUGCAUCUCUUUCUCGUUCUCUUCUUCAUCCCCGAUUUCCAUUUCGCAAAUUGGGUUAUCAAAGUUAGUUUAGAUAUCAUGAUAAUAGUUAUUUCUCCUACCCGUAUCUGUUACCCAGUUAAAGUUUGCGUGGAGAAGUUAAUAAGAGGAUAAAGGAAUGCAGUUUUAACACUAAGUGAUGGAAAGAACAUGAUUUUUAUUUAGGGUGUUUUAUGUAGAACACUGAUUUUCAAGUAGAAACUCAAAUACAAACACACGAAGGGAAAUUCUUAAAUCAAAAUGCAUGAAGACUUUUAUUAUUUUAAAAUGUGCUCGUGUUUAUUACUUUCCAUGCGGCCCCGGGAGUUUGAUGGUCGUCCAGUUGUUCAGGUCUUCACCCAGUUGUAGCUGUCACAGAAGAUCCUAUUACUGAUCCUUGUCGAGAUCAAUUGUGUUGAUAUUGAAAUUAUAGAGAGCCAUCCUUGAGUCUUUUUAGGUGGAAGGAUCGCUCUUUGUCUGGUUAAUAACCCCAGCGCUAAAAAAGGUAUGGGAGAUGGGUGGGAAGGCCAUCACCCUCUUUCCUAAGCUCUGUUGGUGGGUCAUUUUUCCAUUGAUGAAUCUACCGUGAGUGGGUGUAUAUCCCAAUCCCUCUUGACCCUUAUUUUUCUUUAGUUGCACUGGUUCUUUCAAUAGAAUUCCCACUUUGAUGGGUCCAAAUGACGAGUGAGACAUUGGACCGCCAUAAGACUAACAUGGGAAAGUGAUAUUUGACCUUUCCAUAAUCAGGACCGUGCCUACUAACCCAUCUAUAGUUAGGACAGCGGCUACUAACCCAUCUAUUAUAUCCAUAGUAGUAUUAUAGUGAACAUGCACUUGACUCAAUAUUUUGAGCAGGGCCAGUCGGUGAGUCUUUGAAGAUGUUAUCAUAUCUAGCUGGGAGACUCAUGCGAGGGUUUUUUUAAGUUGUUUCAUGACUUCGUAUUCGAUGUGCUUCAUCAUACCCUUAAGAACUCAUGGGCGGUGUCGCGGAGGUCUCUCAUCCAAGAACACAUUCUGUUGGUGCUCUACCCUAUCCCGCUUGAGGAAGGGGGUUUGGCGCGCUGGCGUCACAAGGUUGUAGCACUUGGUGGAGUCGCCAUCGAUCAGAAGAACAUUUAGGGUGAAUGUAACAUCCUGCCCGUCCUUCCAAAUCAAUGUGGCUUGGGACACAAUUUUGACUUGAUCUAUGAAAUUGAGAAUUGUGGGUACGGGGUGAUGUUACGAUUUAUGGUUGUCGGGUUGACCCCAUGUUGACUGGUUUUUACUCGGUUUGACCGAUUAUUUACUCUUAUGUCGUGAUUGGUUGAUGAAAAUAAGGGAUUUAUGAAGUGUUAUCGAACGGAACAUUUAGGUCUUUUUAACAUGUCUUCUCAUGUUUUAUUAGGCUUUCAGGUAUCCGUUGGAUAGAAGACGACAAAAAUAAUCCAACGGGACCAAUCGGAGCUCAAUCGGAUGUCGGUCGAGGGAGAUACUAGCAAAAGAAAGAAAAUUACCCAGGCUGGAAUCAGGGCCACACGGCAUGUGGAGGCCAUGUGGGUGUGCUGACAAAUGAUAUUUAUGCCCAAUUUUGAGGAGAGAGGUGGCAUUCUUUGGCUUACACACAUUUUCAAUCAUCCACUACUCUCCCAAGAAUCCUAGUCCAAAAAGCACCAUCCAUCCACCAAUUAUUUGAGGCCAUUAAAGACCAUUUGGAGCUCUUGAAGAUCUAGGAUUGGAGAUCAAGCAUUGUUAGAGGUUGAAGCAAGGAUUUGCAUUCAUGAUCACCUCCUCCAUUCUUGUAGAUUAUGGUGAUUAUUGUAUUCCUUCCUCUUUGUUAGUUUCAUCAUGAGUGGCUAAGCGAUUAGAAUUGUUCGAUUAGAGUGUUUGUAAGUGCUAGGAUGAUCCCCUCAUGAUGAGGGGUUGGACAUGUUCGGAUUCUAGUUAUGAUUAUGGUUGUGCUUGGAUUAUGGAGCUAUUCAAUCUAUCUUACGCCAUGGCUUGAUUUAGGUCAAAUUAACUCUUUCCUUUGCUUAAUUGUGAAUGAAUUGAGUUAGAUUGUAAUCCAAGAUUCAAGCAAGGUGUAUGUGGAACAAGACACACCCCAAUUUAACCUUUAGUGCUUCUUUAGGGACAUUUCAUCGAACACUAGAGUGCAUUCUAUAAAUCAUCUAAGUAGUGACAAACUUGAGUGAUUGGGAUGUUUGGGGUGUCAAUUGGUGAUUAGCACCCAUUCCUAGGUGAUUGUGGUGUCCUUAAGGAUUUCUAAGUACCAACGUAUUUCAUCGAACACCUUCUGUUCACUACUAUUUUUGCUUGAUCUCUUGUGAAUUAGUAGUGGUAUUCCAUUGUAAGACUUUAUUCUGAAUUUCUUCACAUGCCUAGAGACUAAUCGUACCAUAAAUAGUGUCCAUUAUGUCUGAAGUCCUCUAAUGAGUCAAAUUUGAGUAUUUCCAACACUCGACGUCUAGCAACCUUACUCUCUUCGUUUGAUCUUUAUACUCUUUUGCAACAUUUAAUCUCUUUAAUCGCUUUGCAUACUUUGCAGUGAUUGGAUAGUAAACCUAGUUAGUAACUUAGAAAAACCCUUUUACAAACUUUCUUUGGCUUAAACCGUGAACGAAGUGUUGAGUAGAGAUUUGUGAACAGACCUCGUGGGAUACGACACUCGUGUCAGUUAGGAUUUGGGUUUCAUAGCCUCUGUUCUAUCCUAUCAAAUUUUUGACGCUGUUGCCGGGGAAUGUUCACACCUUUAAAAGACAGCAUUCACCCUCUCCAAUUUACUUCGUGCUCCCCUUGUUUUGGUAUAUCCCCCUGUCUGUGUAUUACUUUGGUUUGCUCGUUUUGGUGUGUAGGACUCUCUUGUACAUCCUCAUUGUAUACUAGACAUUUAAAUAUAAAUAGAUGUGCACCAAGGUGGCUCCUAGGGACUCCACCUCACCCUCUAUCACGCAUAGCGACUCCAUCCCGUUUUCCAUCAGUUGCAUCAUCAUCUACACUUCCAUCAAUCCUAGAAUCUUCUACACCAACAUCUUUACAGGCUUCACUAGUUGACUUGAGCUCCAAAGCAGAACUAGAGUCGUUGAGAACAUGUUCGAAAUGGCUCCACCACCACCUAGAACUCUUGAGGGAACUUCAUCAAGUGUCCUUCGUCCACGAGUCGACAACCGCCAAAAUUCCAAUACAUUCAAAUGGUGCAACAAAAUGUCUAUCAUGGCCAUGAAAAUGGAUGUCCGAGUAGCCCCCUUCGAAGCUUCUUAGAGAUUGUGGACCUCACGAAGUCCAACAAUGUCCCUCAAGAGGCCACCAACUUCGACUCUUUCUUUUCUCACUCCAAAGUUAGGUGAAUCAAUGGCUAGAUAACCAACCCAACAACACCUUGCAAACUUGGGACGAAUUGGCGAAGACUUUCUCGGAAGAGUUCUUCCCCCCUACAAGACGGAUGAGAUUAGGGGAAGGAUCUCUCACUUCCAACAAAUUAAUGGUGAGCCUUUCUUUGAAGCAUGGGAUCGAUUUCAAGACGGAUGAGAUUAGGGGAAGGAUCUCUCACUUCCAACAAAUUAAUGGUGAGCCUUUCUUUGAAGCAUGGGAUCGAUUUCAAGACGGAUGAGAUUAAGGGAAGGCUUUACCCAUGCCCUCACCAUAACUUUGGAGAGUGACAACUUGCGGAGACAUUUGCUAGAGGGCUUACUUAUGAGGAUACGAAGAUGAUCAACCAAGCGACGAAAGGAGAUUUAAGAUCAUUCCUCCUCGAGCGUUGCCUUCAAAUCUUCAGAAAGAUGACCGUGAUGACAAAGAGUUGGUCAAGGCCACAAUGUCUUAAAGACAUCAAAGCGAUGACCUGGGAUGCUUAUAUCUCCACCAACACUACUGCUCCCAAAACUCUCAAGGAUAUGCCCAAACUUUGAGAGAAGGAUGAAGAGCAACCAGGCCACUUAAUUGUAUCAAGGAUGGAUACAAUGGAUGCUCUGCUUUUUCCUUAGCUCAAGCAAUUGCCAAGCCUCAAGAAGUACAAGCACUUCUUCCCAAGCCGACAAUCAAGCCUCCUAUCGCACAAAUCUUUGUAUCCAAGAGUUGUGGCAGUGAAGGGCAUGAUGCUUCGACUUGCUAAUCUUUUGCUCCCAACUUUGCACUGAAAGAGGAUUGCAUUGAAGAAGUGGACUAUGUACAAGGAAGCUACCACAGAGGCAACCAAAGUGGAUCAACCACAGAAGGCGAACAAGAAAGAGAUCAACCACAGACAACAAGAAGAUGAUGCGGUGGUGAUGUUGAUGUCUGGUAGAACCUUCCAAUUAUGUAUUAUUCAAUUCAGUUGUUGAUGGUCAUCCGAGUAGUAUUUUUACUGAGCAAACAUACUGGGCAUUGGAGCUGGCUAUUGGCUAAUGUAGACGCAAGAAACAUUCUCUAAACCCUCAGCAAGUAAUGUAGACGUAGUCCCUUUCUCCAGUAUUUCUCUGUGUUUCAAUGAUGUAAGAAGUUAAAACUCUUAACAUUUUAAUACACCAGCCGCGUAAGAUAUUAUUUUCUAGUUAACCAAAGUCUGUAUAGAAUAUUACCUUAUAUUGAUAAGGAAACAUCCUAAAUUCUUACUAUUUAUUAAAUGAUUAAAAUACCUCAAUCAGAGAACUUUAAAAUAAAGAAAAUAAAAUAAUAAAAUAAAAAUCUUUAAAACAAGAGGAACUUAAGAAGAAUCUCGAACACUAAUUCUUACGAUUCACUCUCCUAUAAUAACUUUCAAAUAUCUUGGUGGGUGGUUCGGGGUCAGUCUUUCGUGCUCUAAUCUUAACAAUCAAUAAUUAUUAAAAGCGUUAGCCAACAUAUUAUACAAUUUCAUCUAAUCAUUUAGAGCUAUUUUCAUCUCUAGAACUAUUCCACCGUUAUUAAGGUUCUCUAACUUCUACUAACUUCUACUAACUUCAUACAUUUAGGAUAUCAUGAUCUGAAAUCAUUUACUAACUCAAAACUAACUAGUCUUAAUAUCCAUUUGACGGACUACUCUAAUGGCCCAAUAUUUAAUCGUAGGAGUCCCUAGUGGCCCAAUUAUAAGUAUUGGAUUUAUAUUGGUCUGAGACCAUAAGCUGCCAAUAUGGAUCAGAGGUCUAAUAAGAGAGGUAUAUAUUACUAGAUCAUCUAUUAAUCAUCUAGACUUAGAGUAGCUCUUGUUGUUCGCUAGUUAUCUAAUCACAUCAUACUCUAGUUUAAUCAUAUAGGCACGUCAUAUGAGCAUCAUAACUGAACAUAAGAAAAUAAGGACACAUAUAGAUUCAUAAGUACUAACUGAGUAACCAUAUUACAUAAAGUAGUCCUAUUUAUGUAAUCCUAUCAUAAGUAAGAGUUUAACACGAUAAGUACUUAAUCAUCAACAAGGAGUCUUUAAUCAUCAACAAGGAAUCAUCAACAAAGAAUCGUCAACAAGAAAUCAUCAACAACUAAUCAUCAUGAAAGAUUGAAACUAAAGUCAAUCAUGUUAGGUGCAUUAUGAAUCAUGGAAUUAUAGUUCUUGUAACUUGUCAUAUCAUCAACAUCAUUGAGGAAGUCAAUUUACAAGACUCUGAUUCAUGCACUAUCAUUGACAUUAUCUAAGGUAUCUUAUUCCUCGUGGGGCGUCCCCCAACUCAACCAACUAACCCACCGCCCUAGCGCGGAGGUCUGGGAGUACAUAUCCAUCAGACGGUAUCAUAAAUCAUAGAAGGAAAACUGUGACCGUAAAUCAUAGUGGGUAUAUGCCCAAAUCAUAGGGGCAACUGUGGCCCGAAACAUAAGGGGCGGUGGUCUAACUAGUAAGUUUCAUGUUUUAAAUCCACCUAUUACACAUCUAAGUGAAGUGUUCAUGUUUCUUAUCACUGGUUAUGUCUAAACUUAUCAUCGUCUAACAUUAAUAUUAGUCUAACCUUAUCAUAGUGUUAACAUUAUCAUUAGUCUAACCUUAUAGUUAUAUAGGAGGUAUAACUUGUACAACAUCAAAGUAAUAACAUGUCACAAAUAAACACUCAAGCAUGGAAUCAUGGCAUAAACUAAAAUGCAUCAAAUUAACUAACUUAAUCUACCCCCUUAAACCAACCCACCUCAUUGGCGAGCUGACGUCUCAGAAAUAUAUCCGAGAUGAUUCCCUUUGCUGCCACGAAACCACAACCUCAUACGGUGCUUCGUUCUGAGCUCAAACGACCAAGUUAUUCUCUGUUUACUUCUUUGCAACUUGUUGAAACUUGAACGGCAGAAUUUUCAUUUCCCUGUCUAACUUGGCAAACUUCAGAAUCAGUUCCCCAACUUCUGGUCCUUGCAGUUCACUCCAUAUCAUACAGAGAACUACAAUCCAGUCAUCCUAAUUUCCAGGAAGAACAGUUCAGUCUAACACCCCAACUUUACAGGUAUUGCAAAUUGGUCACUUAUCUUCCAUAAUUCGCUAGGUGAUCACUCUUCCCUAACCUCUGCAUCUGCGAUUACAGAGGAUGUCGCCGAUGACCCGAUUCAAUCCGUCGAGCUUUCCACGAAUCUUGGAAUCCGCUUCUUCUCCUCGCCUUUGACUCUACCGCCAGCCGCUUCGCAUGGGAGAGAAGGCUUCUCCCUCGAUCUAUCUUUGUCAGAUCGAUUCCUCCGCCAGACACCCAACAUCGGCUCUUGUUGAUGCUCAGACUCCAUCCAUCCUUGAUCCAAGGUGGUCGCCCGAUUGGUGGUUCGUUGCCGAUCCGACGAGGGAACGACACCAUCCCUCAUGGGCCCUCUCUCGUUCCAGUCGCCACCAAUGUCAGCCUCUCCCUCUCCUCUCACCGAUCGAUCUCAGGCCACCAAGGAAGCUCGCCAACAUCGCCUCCUGGAUUGCCUUCCCCAAACGAGAAGCCGACUUACCUGCGUGGUCACCAUCAACUCCUCUCGUCGGAUCUGCCACACUAGGGUUCCCUCCCAGCACGAAACACUCUCAAGCUUAAAUAGUUACAGAGGCUCACAUGUCGUUCGAUCCAUCCAACCGCCCAAUGCCCAUCACGUCAUCAUAAUUUCAAUUGUGUAUUAGGCCCACAACCGAAAUCCAAAACCAAACAAACAACAUCAUCUACUUUCUCUUGGACAAAUCAGGCCUCACUUCUCACCGUAGAAUCUAUCCAACCGUCCAGAUUCCUCCAGACCCCCAACUAAUAGACUAAUGGCUUCAUUCCAUCUCCGAUUAUCUAACCAACCGAUAAUAGCACCGCACCUCAUAGGUCUCCGGAACUCGCACAACUCAACAGCCAAACUCCUCGAAUAAAACAAUUAAUUCAACACCAAACCUUCUAUUCCAUUCUUCGAGUAGGAUUUCUAUCAAACCGAAAAUUCUAACUAGUAGCCUACAACCGAUUUAUCCAAUUUAAUGUACCAUGUACUAAUGAGUUGGACACUUCUAAUAAUUCACAAUUAGGCUAACAUUAAUUUAGUAACAGGAUCGUAUCCAAACAUGGAAUUUACAUUAUUGUACUUUUGCCAAUUUAGUGUUUUACCCUCCAUUUCAAUUUUAGGGAAGCGCAAAACCGCUUUUUAACAAUAAUAAUGGGGUCAUUUUUGGAAAUAAAAAGUAUGAUUAAUUUAAAAAUUAUAUUGACCGUCAAGUUGAAACCUAAAUUAUAUAAAUUGGCCAUUAAGACUUAGGAGCCUCUAAAACAUGCGGCACAUCCAAUAAACACAAAGAAGAAGUAAAAUGCGAUUGCAGGUUACGUGCAUCGAGAUGCUAGGUUUCUAUUCGAUGUUAUAAAAUAGUCACUAAGUAAAUACUAAUAAGUAAUGAAUCAAAAAUACUAUGCAAUUAUUAAUAUUCUCUAACAUAAUACUCGAUAAUUACUAACAUUAUCUAACACUAGGCAAUUAUUAAUAUUCUCUAACUAUGCAAUUAUGGUAAUGAUACCAACCUCAUUAUCGCAUAUAUCACCGACGCGAUGUCAUUUGCGGUGGCCCCAAAGUAGUUUUACAUCGAUUGGCUCAGGGUCGACGCACGGGGAUAUUGGUCCAUACAAGUAAUCCAUCCUACAACAAAACAAAAUAUUAAUAAAAAACAAAACUAAAAAAUUACAAAUUAAAAAAUAAAAUUAUAGAAUUACCGAUUAGUUGGUUGCAGAACGAGGACUCGUUAUCGGUACAGAAAAAUCAAGAAAGGAAGGAAUGAGAAAUAGUGGAUUGGUGUGGAAUGAAAGAGGAGGAGAGGGUGAUAUUUAUAGAACAACUGGAGGCAUACUAGAACGUGCGAUGCACUGUGCCUCCAACGGUUAUAUUGAAACGGUCAUCUAACGAUCGUUACAAUAUAGCCGUUGAUUCCACCUUAAAACGCUUCACACAUCCUAAGACACGCCGCGAGUUGUAGAGGGUACUAGUGAUCAUUUUGUAUAAUUUAAAUUUUAAUUUAACUAUCUACAUAAUUUUUGAUUUAUUCAUGUCUAAAAAAAAUCCCCAUUUUCUAAGCCUUAUCUCAUCUCUUUCCUGCUCGUAUAAAAAAUUUCAUUAUUUUAUUUUUAGAAAAUUGGCCCCUUGUAUUUUAAUUUUACCAAAUUGGUGAUUAGCCCCUUUAUGACAAAAUUGCCCACGUCCCCUCUUACAUUAUUGCUAAUUAACCAACCAUAUUUUCUGUUAUGGUUUCGGUUAGUUUACUAUUAAAACCUAACAAAUCAGCAUGCCAUAUCACUAAGUCCGUUUAUAUCAUCAUGUUUAUGUUGAGACCAUCCAUUAUGGUGAGCUAAAUAGCUAAAAAUGCUAUUAUUUAGUUCCAAGUAGCUUCACAAUGGGAGAGCUAAAUAUCCAAAAAGUAAAAAAAGCUAAAAUAGUUGGUAAAAAAUAAUUGGGUCAAAUAGCUAAGACUAUCUACAUCAAUACAAUUCAUCUCCAUCUAUAAAAGUGAUCCACAUUUUCACAUCAUUAACUUUUGCAAUUUCACAUUCUAUAUUUUCAUAUCAUUUUCAUCCAUACAAUUCAAUUCCAAUUGCAAAAAUGAGACCAAUAUAUAUAUUAUUUAUAUUUUCUUCAAAUUAAUUCGAAUGUUAACAAAAAGUGGACCCAAAUGAAUUUUAAAAUAUUGUAUGAAUGGUGUAGCCCCAAAUAAAAUUAUCACUUGACUUAUAACAAAUGUAAAUUUGCAUUUAAAAGUUACAUUUUUUCAUCUAUGAUAUUUUCAAUUGAAUUAUAAAAAUUUAACACAUAAAUUCCAUAUCAUUUUAUAAAUAAAUAAAAUCUCAUUAAUGGGAUGCUUUAAUAGUCAAAUUUCACACUACCUGGCAGACCCAUAGUAAUGGAAGGCGUAUGGAAUUAAAAACAUAUUAGGAAAGAGAGUGACAAACAAUGCCCAAUGAUAAAUCAAUAAUCCGGCGAGUGGAAGACAUGCGGACUUGCUGCUGCUGAGAUUCCUUGAAUAAUUAUUCAUCAGUACAAUCCAGCUGGCACAAUUUGAUUGGCUUCUUUGUGUUGUUGUGAUAAAUGGUUUUGCUGUUCUUUGUUAAAAAAGGGAAUUGCCUUCAUUAUUUCACAUAACCAUCCGUCAUGUUUGUUCACGAACAUUAAUAUUAUUUUUUGACAUUCAUUCAUAAAUUUAAAAUUUAAAGUGCCUUAAUUAUGGAUAUAAUUUAACGAGAAAUUGAAAUAUUUGAAUUUUAUCUUAGAUCUAUUUUCUUGCAACUCAAGGAUAUAUGCAAAAUAAAUAUCAUAGCCCAUCAAGUGGUAAAAUUAUCACAUGAGACCAAUUUAUGGUGAACCAACACAAAUAUGACCAAGAUUACUACUUCAAAACCGAGUAGUUCUUGUGUUUGAAUAAAGGUCGAUUAAAAUUGACAUAGAGUCACAUAGUGAUCUUACUACCAUCCUGGCAUUGAUAGCCAUGUUAUAUCCAUAUAACUUUUUGUUGGAUAUAAUUAGUAUAUCAUUGAUGAUAUACGAAAAUCAUGUUCGAGAGAGAUGCACAAUUGGCAAGUUAGUGGUAAUCUUCCACAUCUUUCAUCAAAGACUUGAUGUCUUAAAACUUUUCAUUUCUCUUGGGAAUUUGAAUUUGCCUCAAAUUGAAAUUUUUUUUUUUAGCCAAUCAUUUCUAUCUGUGCAUGCAUUUUGGCUAAUGAUCCUCAUUUUCAACUAUCAUAUUUAGCGUUGCACUAUACGCAAAUAUUUCGUCGACGUUGACUUCAUUGGGGUUCCAAUAUUUUCCAUCCAAGAUAUAGAUAAUUGAGAUAUAUAUUCAUAUCUUUCAGGUACCUGAUACUCUUCUUGAGCACAUUAUUUGUUUCUCUUGGUGGCUUUGUUUAAAUAAUCUUAACCUCAAUUUGACCAUCUUGAUAUAUAGCUCCAUUCCACUUUUGAGGAUUUUUUCUUUGGAACCGAGUGGUCUAUCACGCCUUUGCGGGUUUUAGACUCAUUUGUGAUGUCAGAUUGCCCAAUAUUGGCAUUAUUGUUAUUGGAGCAUUUUGAGUUGGCACAUGAAAACUUUACUCUCGUUGGGUCAGUAAAGUGUCUGGCAGAUAAUGAAUUAUAUAUUUUUGAACUUCAAGCUCAUAUUGCUUAGUGCGAGGAUCAAAAUAAUAUGAUCAUUCAUCUAAUCUCUUGGCCAACUUUUGUUUUGUCCCCCUAAUGUUGGGAAGUUUAAAUAUAAACCUCCAAACGAGUCAUCAAAAUACUCCCGACAACGAUGUGAUACUUUACCAUCGAUGAACUCGUAAUCAAAAUUCAAUCUUCAUUGAGAACCCAUCCUAAUAAAUGGUGGUGGAGCAAUUCAGAUGUGUAUAUCACAUCCAUAUAUCCAAUGAUGGGAAGUAUAAGGUUUUGACCCAAAAACCACAUAUAAUGGAGGAAUUCAUAAUAAUUUCUUGGCGUAAUGCGAAUUUGUGUUGUUCAUGUAAAUGACAUGUUCACAAUAAUAUAAAUGGAAAAUGUUCGUCUUAAUGACACAUUUUCGUUAUUGGAUAAUCAUGAAAAUAUGCUCAUAACCAAAUGGUUGAGCUAGUAAUCUCCCAAAUUAAAGUUUGUCAUGAUAUACACAUGUGACUAUCUAAUUGAUGCAUCAAUUAAAAUAAUUGGCUCACAUGUUGGGUGUAUUGAUCCCCAAAUAUCACCUUUGUUUUGUUGUGUGGAGGAGAAAUGAUCUUACUUUAGUUGAUGAUUAUCCAACAAUCUACUCUAUUUGAGAAUAAGCAACCAAAAACUGAGUUAUGUUGCGUUGGAGAUUUACCCAACAAUGGGUAACGGAAAGGUCAAAAUGCUUUCCUAGAAACGAAACAUUGUUGACAGAACAGAAAACCGUUCGUGUUCCCAGGAAGUAGGGGAGUCACAAGGACUACUUAAAUCCAUAUAACCUUAGGAAUCAUUUCUUUAGAAUACCCAAGUUGAGACCAUCAUGCACAACAAUGUUCAAGAGAACAUACUCUUUAGAUUAUGGAAUCAUCAAAAUUGACCAUAGAGGUACUUAUCGAUUCCCAUCAUGAUUGAACCUGGAUGGUCUCACCGGUUAUGCCAAAUAAUAGUUGUCAGGACUAGUAAACUUUUGUUUUACAUUGACAUAUAUCUCAAUCAUGGUAACAUAUGCGUAGUACGAAUUGGAGGAAAAUAUUCAUAUUCUAUUUUAUUGAUGGUCACAAGAGAUAGGAACAAUAAUGUGGUCUAUGACCAUGCAAAAGGUUUUCGCUCAUGCAUGAACAAUAUAAUAUCUCGAUCUAGAGUUUGAAAUAAAAUAUAAUAGCUCGAUCCAGAGCUUGAGAGAAAUGUUGUACUACACCAUAUAUCUUGGUGCACUAUCGAUGUGAUAUAUAUCACAAUUAAUUAUGGUGAUUCGCAUCAUAAAAUACUCAUUUUUGUCAUAAGAAUGGUACAUGGUUUAAAUGAUAAAUAGAGAUAUUUCUCAAUCAUCUAUGUCACCAAUUAAUUGAUCAAUAAUUCUCGUAUAACCACAAUUGUUAUGUCUAUCCGAAUAAAAUGGUUCCUUAUGUGAACAAUGAUAAUAUGUUGUCACUUAUGCUUUCAGGAACAAUGUAACAAAAUAAAAGUGUCUUUGCAGAUCGUAUGAUGUUACUUGUGCUUUCAAGAAUAAUGUAACACAUGUGUCUUUCCACAAUCACUUUGAGGGCUAAAUUAGUAUCAGUUGGAUAUGAUCAUCAAAAUAAAACUGACAGUUGUACCACCAAUCAUAGGAUUAAAAUUGUUCAACAUCAAUUCACAACUCUCUUCCACGCGAGAAGAUAAAUUUCACAAAUUUCUUUCCCAUGACCAUAAUAAGAGGUAUUGUCCUCCACAAUAGUGUAUUGUCGUAUCGCCUUCGUGGGAAUAUAUGUAUUGUCACAAAGGACAUGAUAUAAUCAUNNNNNNNNNNNNNNNNNNNNNNNNNNNNNNNNNNNNNNNNNNNNNNNNNNNNNNNNNNNNNNNNNNNNNNNNNNNNNNNNNNNNNNNNNNNNNNNNNNNNNNNNNNNNNNNNNNNNNNNNNNNNNNNNNNNNNNNNNNNNNNNNNNNNNNNNNNNNNNNNNNNNNNNNNNNNNNNNNNNNNNNNNNNNNNNNNNNNNNNNNNNNNNNNNNNNNNNNNNNNNNNNNNNNNNNNNNNNNNNNNNNNNNNNNNNNNNNNNNNNNNNNNNNNNNNNNNNNNNNNNNNNNNNNNNNNNNNNNNNNNNNNNNNNNNNNNNNNNNNNNNNNNNNNNNNNNNNNNNNNNNNNNNNNNNNNNNNNNNNNNNNNNNNNNNNNNNNNNNNNNNNNNNNNNNNNNNNNNNNNNNNNNNNNNNNNNNNNNNNNNNNNNNNNNNNNNNNNNNNNNNNNNNNNNNNNNNNNNNNNNNNNNNNNNNNNNNNNNNNNNNNNNNNNNNNNNNNNNNNNNNNNNNNNNNNNNNNNNNNNNNNNNNNNNNNNNNNNNNNNNNNNNNNNNNNNNNNNNNNNNNNNNNNNNNNNNNNNNNNNNNNNNNNNNNNNNNNNNNNNNNNNNNNNNNNNNNNNNNNNNNNNNNNNNNNNNNNNNNNNNNNNNNNNNNNNNNNNNNNNNNNNNNNNNNNNNNNNNNNNNNNNNNNNNNNNNNNNNNNNNNNNNNNNNNNNNNNNNNNNNNNNNNNNNNNNNNNNNNNNNNNNNNNNNNNNNNNNNNNNNNNNNNNNNNNNNNNNNNNNNNNNNNNNNNNNNNNNNNNNNNNNNNNNNNNNNNNNNNNNNNNNNNNNNNNNNNNNNNNNNNNNNNNNNNNNNNNNNNNNNNNNNNNNNNNNNNNNNNNNNNNNNNNNNNNNNNNNNNNNNNNNNNNNNNNNNNNNNNNNNNNNNNNNNNNNNNNNNNNNNNNNNNNNNNNNNNNNNNNNNNNNNNNNNNNNNNNNNNNNNNNNNNNNNNNNNNNNNNNNNNNNNNNNNNNNNNNNNNNNNNNNNNNNNNNNNNNNNNNNNNNNNNNNNNNNNNNNNNNNNNNNNNNNNNNNNNNNNNNNNNNNNNNNNNNNNNNNNNNNNNNNNNNNNNNNNNNNNNNNNNNNNNNNNNNNNNNNNNNNNNNNNNNNNNNNNNNNNNNNNNNNNNNNNNNNNNNNNNNNNNNNNNNNNNNNNNNNNNNNNNNNNNNNNNNNNNNNNNNNNNNNNNNNNNNNNNNNNNNNNNNNNNNNNNNNNNNNNNNNNNNNNNNNNNNNNNNNNNNNNNNNNNNNNNNNNNNNNNNNNNNNNNNNNNNNNNNNNNNNNNNNNNNNNNNNNNNNNNNNNNNNNNNNNNNNNNNNNNNNNNNNNNNNNNNNNNNNNNNNNNNNNNNNNNNNNNNNNNNNNNNNNNNNNNNNNNNNNNNNNNNNNNNNNNNNNNNNNNNNNNNNNNNNNNNNNNNNNNNNNNNNNNNNNNNNNNNNNNNNNNNNNNNNNNNNNNNNNNNNNNNNNNNNNNNNNNNNNNNNNNNNNNNNNNNNNNNNNNNNNNNNNNNNNNNNNNNNNNNNNNNNNNNNNNNNNNNNNNNNNNNNNNNNNNNNNNNNNNNNNNNNNNNNNNNNNNNNNNNNNNNNNNNNNNNNNNNNNNNNNNNNNNNNNNNNNNNNNNNNNNNNNNNNNNNNNNNNNNNNNNNNNNNNNNNNNNNNNNNNNNNNNNNNNNNNNNNNNNNNNNNNNNNNNNNNNNNNNNNNNNNNNNNNNNNNNNNNNNNNNNNNNNNNNNNNNNNGUUAAAUUUGAGUGGGAAUUUGACUUUUUUAGGUUCAACUUUUCUAAAGUUAAAACGCUAAAUUUGAGUAAAUUUUUUUCCCCACCGCUAGUAUAGUUUCAUUCCUGAUCACGGACACCUGUGUAGGAACCACCUAUGAUCUCUUCACUUUCUUUAUGGUUCUGAAUACAACUAUAUUCACACCAUCUUCCUGCUCUUCACCCAAAUUCGACAAUGAUAUCAGCAAUACUUUGUUAUUUUAUUUAUGUCAUUAAUAAAUAAGUUUAUAAUUAAGCUGAUUAGGAUGUUGACUAAAAUGAUGACCCCAACUGCCACGUCAGUGUUGGACAGAAUUAUUGACGAAAUUGGACGGAAAAUAUAAUGGAAGGAUACGAUUGGUUAAUUGGCAGGACUGUAAGGGAANNNNNNNNNNNNNNNNNNNNNNNNNNNNNNNNNNNNNNNNNNNNNNNNNNNNNNNNNNNNNNNNNNNNNNNNNNNNNNNNNNNNNNNNNNNNNAUCCAUUUAUUUAAUUGAUGGUUUGUCAUUAGGUCCGCUCAAAUUCACAACAGUUCAAGCACAUGUAAUUCAUUUUUCUUCUUUCCUUUUAUAAAUGAAUUUUAGUUCAACAUUAAAAUGAAUUAUAUAAGUUCAAAAUUAAAAUGGUCCUGUUUUUUAAGGCCCUUGGUUUUUACUUUUUGGCUACUUCUUUUUGGUUGGCCCAAGUCAUCUAGAGUGAACAAUGAUUGAUUGUUAGCGUAUGUAGUUGUAUGGGUUUUGAGCCCAACUCGAGCCUAUGUUAUUUUGUUGUCUUUUCUUGAAACAACGUUACUUAAUUAUAUAAAUAGUCCAUCAAUUGUCUCCCUAUAUACAGGUGAUACCAGAGAACGAGAUCGACGAGCAAAGUUUGUGAGAAACCGUGCUCCUAUAUUUUCUAACCCACUCAACCCUGAAUAUAGGUCUACUAUUAAGGAUGUGUUGGCAUCGCUCCAUUAUCGGGCCAAACUCCAUGCUACCAUGUCCCAACGUUACUUCUUGGUAAUCUGUCUCAAUGAUGGCCUUUUCAUAGCCCAUGUCUCGUAUCCAUUCGAAGCUAUCCUUCACUGCAUGCGCUUCUUCUUCCCCGCUCUUGUUAACCUUGUUGCCUUCUACAUGAGGAAAUGUAUUAAACCACCUGACUCAUCGCAAACCGCUAGUCUUACGCCAUGGUUUCUAUCCUGAUGGAACAGGGGAAUGUCAACAUUGCAGUUGACGUACCCCACCGGUGGUGGGUGCCAUUAAGGACAAGCUGUGGGUUGAGGUUGUUGUGGUCGCUUCUCCUCCGUCCAAUAAUUCACCCAUUCCAACAAGUCAUCCAAAGCAUGUCGUAUAAUCACCUCUGGUGACUAGCCUCCCCAUUCCAUACUCGCUCGUUCCUUUCCCGCCAGACUACCUUGAAUCUGUAAAUUCGCGUUGGAUUGCAACAUUUGGAAAACCCAUCCCCGUACAUCAUCCACUUGCAUGCAUACCGAAUGGACCCACUGCCACAUUCCCAACAAGGUCUACCAAUUUCACACUCGAAGAGCAAGUUAUCGAGAUCCUCACCCAUUUUCAAACAACAGUCGCAAGUAUCCAGUACUAUGACUGCUUGCUUGCCAGACGCACUCUAGUUGGCACCACAUCACGAGCCACCCGCUAAAUUAUGAAAUUACUCGAAUGAUUUAAGUGGUUACGUUAUGUCAUGUCAUUCAUGUGACUAUGUUAUGUUAUGCUAUGUUAUUCAUGUGAUCCGGAUAAUUGUAUGCCAAUAUCAUUGUGAUUAAGUGGUUACCUUAUGCUAUGUUAGUAUGUAAUGGUUAAGUGCCUAUCUUAUGUUAGGUUAUGUCAGGUUAUGAUAUCUCUUGAUGAUGUGCAAGUUACAACUUUCAACUACAUUAAAGCAUGUCAUGUUCCCCAACAUUAGUGUCCACGUUAUGUCCAUCAUAUUCAUGUUAUGAUUAACUGCUUAUGUUGUUGCUUGAUGAUGUGCAAGUUUGCCCUUUUAAACUAUGUUAACUCAUUUCAUGUUCUCCAAGAUCAGUGUUGUGAAACCCCAUCCUAAGAGUCCUGAUCGAACCACUAGUUCAACCAAUGAGGAGUCCUACUCGGGUUUCAACUUGAAACACACUGAACUCUAGGCUACUAAUAAAAACAUUUAAAACAAUAUCCUCUGAUAUCAAAACACCGACAAGCUCUCUCCCCACCGUGAGCUCCAGUACCUGUGACUGAACACACAAAUAUGCCAAGGAAAACAAGCUAAGUCUAAUGGGGUCAGUGAUAAGCAUUGAGUGGCUAAAUUAGACUGGCGUAAAACUAUGACUAUACUGAGAAGAUAGGGAAAGAAAGUAUAACUAAUCCCUGAAUCUAGUAAUGUGACCUUGUGGUCCUAUAGGCAACAUCCUAUCAAUAGUCACCCCUAGCUAGUAGUUGAUAGCCUAUGGUGGAUCAGACCAUGAAACCACCCCGUAGAUACAGUGCGAGUAACAUCAGUAGGCAUACUAGACACGCCCUGCAUGACCGUAUGUCACCACAACUUUAAUUGGACUCAAGGCCCACACCUUAAGUUCAUGUCCAAUUAGAGUGGAAGUCCUCACCCUUCACUUGAAUAGUUCAAUUCCUAUCCAUAGCCAUACGAUCAAUCUAACGAUCUAGAAAUCUCCAAGUCCAUAACUAACAAUUCACAGACUUAACUCUUCCUCCGAUUGACUUAGUCAACCCGGUAACUACCCCGAGCCUUACAAACCCUUAAUACUUGGUCAACUGUGAACUCAACUCCUCAAAUUAAUUAAAUUAAUUCAUUUUCCAACUUCCGACUUCUACUCAACGAGUAAAUUUUGAAUCAAACCGAAAUCAAACCAAAAAUUGGGGUGUCACAACUCUCCCCUCCUACAAAAGAUUUCUUCCCGAAAACCGAACGUCACCCCACUGAGCGGGAAGGAUUCGGCGCAAUAGUGUUCAACUAUGGCGCUUGCACUCCUACUUGGUAGCAAACGACCUUGAUGUGUCGUCCUUCUCAAGUACUCAACCAGUCCACUCCUCGAAAAUGACCCAGGGUCAAAUCAAAGUCUAACCACAACCUUGUCCUCGAAGACCGACAGUGACACCUUUAAAGAAAUGAGUCAACCCAUGGGCAAUACUCAUCAUCCUCUGGACCUUCAUUUCUUUUCCACUUCUUGUUCCCCUAACUCUCCUUCCUCCUGACUAGAACAUCCAAAGCUCGCACCUCGCUCAUGACCUCUCAGCCCUGAAAUGCUCAUUCCUUAACUGAUUUCCUUUGAAAUCUGAACACACCUUCCCCUUCCUAGAUGAUACUUGGCCCUUGGUAGUCACCAUCUGGCGGAAGGACUUCCCUUAACCUACCGAGCAUCAGCUUUGCACUUUCAGUAUCCUUACGAUCUUUUUGCACCCUAAGCAUUGUUUCUAGCUCGUCAACCCGCACUACCAUGUCCCAGACAUAGAAGUACAUAGACCAGUCCUUGCCAUGCUGCUUUGAAGAUGCAGCUAGUCGAGCAGCAAGCUCAACCUCGCAACUUUGAUCUUGAUGCUUAUACUACUAUUCCCCAUUUUCUUACUGAUAGGUAAUACUAAUCAUAUAGUACUACCAAGACCUUAGCCAACUCACAGAAUCUUGUCAUCCUUUCCCAUGAUGACGGUUCCGACAAGUCUGAUCACGCUUGUGACCGUUGUCCCGCCACGCCCAUGGUAUUCUCCUCACCACACUCGUGGUCCUCUCCUUACCACGCUAGCUUGUGGUCGACUAUCAACAACGACCGUUGCCACUUGACUGUCACAGCCGUUGCCUCAUGAUCACUGCACCAUCACACUCGUGAUGUACUACAUGUCAUGACCAUGACUGUCAUCCAACCAUACCCGUCACGGACUAUUCGUCAUGCAUGUGACUAACUGUCAUCCACGACCGUGACGACCUUUUUGUCAAGCCCGUGAUGUAUCAUCCCUCACGCCUGAGGCCAACUCUUUGACAAGCCCGUGGCUGAGCUUCACCACGCCCAUUGCUUGUUGAUCAUCGUGACCGAGGUUAACAUCCCGUCACGCCCGUGACUGACUUCUUUUUCCUAGAACUACCAGAGUUGCUACAGCUGUUACAGUAACACGCCUUACUGUCUUUCUGAGACCAACAAAGACCUAUCUCUACUCUUGCCCUAACUACUCCAUCGGCCCUCAGAUGCUUCCCAUCCUUGCCUUCAAGCAUGGUUCUCAAUUAAAUACUAGAGGCUAACUGUCUCUUUGACGUUACACCUCAAGGAGCGAAAGCAUCCUUUAAACUCUGAAUUCCCUUCCCAUUGGGGUCCAAAAGGAUCAUCCGACUAAUGGCUCUAAUGAAGAGUUCCACUGGAUGAAAUUCCCAGAUUCCAUCCAAUGCAUCAUGUAACACCUUAGGCAAAUCGCACAUCGACAAAGUACGAGAGAGAUCAAUGGGUUAUGAGUAAUACUCUAUCCUUAACUGACAAGAUACAUUUUCGGGGUGAGAUGAAGGAGUUCGUGUAAAGAACUCUGAAGUUAAUCAUGCUCAAGUGGGAGCGGUUUAGAAAUGGGUGACCUCUUGGGAAGUCAUUGUUCAGCACCCGAAAAAAAAUCCGUGAGGGAUUAGCUAUACCCAAAGCGGAAAAUAUCUUAUCAGAAAAGGUUGGGGUGUUGCACUUCCCUUAUCACUACCCCUUGUCUUACUAGAAUUCUUAAAGUUCAACAACAAGCCUUUGAAUCAAGAAAGUAAGAUACUCUGCCCCUUGGUUCCUUAAUCCCUUUCUUUUCUCUUUCUAGAGCUGGUGAGAGAGUGGUCGUUCAAAUCCUGACAAACUAUCGCAAUGUUCCCUUUUAAAGCACCUGAAUCCUGAAAACUCUUUUCUUAAUAUCUUUUGCAAAGACUGACUCACCACAUCAUUUUUUUCUAGACACUCACCUACUGCCCCAUGAAAGACUAGUACCGUUACAUGUGUCGACUCACCUUCUCCCCUCUGAGGUUCGUGACGCCUCUGAGGAGUAGGUAGCAUACCGUUAGGGUUACAAGAAAACCGGGCUCUAAUACUAGUUGUCAAACCCCACCCUAGGAGUCCCAGUCAAACCACUAGUUCAACCGAUGAGUCUUACUCAGUUUUUAACUUGAACCACACUCAACUCUAGGCUACUAAUAAAAACAUUAAGACAAGCAUUAACAGCUUAAACUGAACACUUCAAUAAAAUUGACAAACUAGGAUCCGAAAUCCCAAAACACAACAAAUCAAAAAGAGAUGCAACUCCAGUUUAAAAAUACAUAAAAAUUAUAUCCUCUAAUAUAUAAAAACCAACCAGCUUUCUCCCCUCCAUCAGCUCCAAUACCUGUGACUGAACACAUAGAUAUGCCAAGAAAAACAAGUCUAAUGGGGUUAGUGAUAACCAUUGAGUGGCUAAACUAGGCUCGCAUAAAACUGCAACUAUACUAAGAAAAUAGGGCAAGAAUCAAGUAAUGUGACUCUGCGGUCCUGUAGGGAUCAUCCUAUCAAUAGUCACCCCUAACUAGUAGCUGAUAGCCUCAUGAAGGAUCAUACCAUGAAACCACCCGUUGAUACCGUGUGAGCAGCAUCUGUACGCAUACUCCACACAUCUUGCAUGACCGUAGAAACAUCCUGGGGGAUUUUGCAAUCCAUGGGUGGGUGACCAACACACAUAAGGAGCUAAUCUAGCUAAAUCUGAAUUUUGUCCUAAGCAUGAACUGUGAACCACAGUUCAAAUGUCAUGAGCUUAUGCUCGAACUUAAACAACUACCUGUUCAGUAGAUCACACGCUACUGCACAGUGUAUGAGCCCGACUCUGUUUCAUAACCCAUGUAUAGUAGAUGACACGCUAUUGCACAGUCUUGAGAGCCCGGCUCCGAAACACAACACAUGUACCGUAGAUCACACGCUACUGUACAGUCCUGAGAAUCCGAUCAUCGCAUUCCUGACAAUCCUAAUUACAGUUAUAUGCUUAAGUCAAAAAGUAAUCCUAACCCUCACCUAUUAAGAAGGGAUGGCAUUUCUGAUUCUCACUUGACAUGAUUCCUCUCACUGCCACUAAUCUAUAGCUUCUGACCGUGCAUCAUUUGGAGUUUAACCAAUUGAGUUAUACUCCAUUUACUUGUAGCAAUCUGAAACUUGCUAGGACAGAAACGUGGCGCUAAUCCUCCAACUGCCUCCAUUACACUAACUGAUCCAAAACUUCUACUCAUUGACAAAACUAACCCAAGUCCUUAACUAUAAAACAUCCAAAAGUUCAAAGUUGCUAAAGGUCCUCAACGCGUCCUACACACCACCAAAGCCGUUGCACCCUUGCCGAACGCGGAUGGCGCCACCGCUACUGCUAUUCCUAAAGCUCCGCCUUGAAUCUCCUCAAUCUCCUCCGAAAUAGUGAUCGGCACCGCCACAACUCCAUCCUCGUUUGCCCUCGAUCGAUGGAAUUCAAAAUCCUCACCUCUUGGCGUCAAAACUAAUGGCAACAAGUAACUUACCCUGCUCAUCGUCUCAGUGCAUCACCAGUUAGAUCAUGGAAGGGAAGUUAAACCAUUCUCCCACUUGAUGGUAAUGGGGCCCAACUCCACAAUCUGAUCCAUCAUACGGCCCAAGGCCCACCUCAACUUUAAUUGGACUCAAGGCCAUAAUUUAAGCCUAGGGUGGCAGUCCUCACCCUUCACUUGAAUGGUUCAAGUCCUAUCCAGAGCUAUAAAAUCAAUCUAACGGUCUAGAAAUCUUCGAGUUCAUAACUAACAAUUCACAGGCUUAACCCCUCUUCUGAUGGACUUAGUCAACCCAAUAACUAUCUCGAGCCUUACAAAUCUUUAAUACUUGGUCAAUUGCUGAGUCAACUCAUCAAAUUAAUUAAAUUAAUUCAUUUUUCAACUUCCGACUUCUACUCAACGAGUAAGUUUUGAAUCAAAAAAAAUUUUAACCGAACCAAAAAUUGAGGUGUCACAAUUGUCUACAGUAUGCUUAGCUUAUACAUGUGAUGGUUAGACAGUUAUGUUCAUGUUUCUACUUGAUGAUGUGAAAUUCAUUAAACUAAGAUAAGUUGUUAAACUAUAAUAAGUCCUUAAAUUAUGAUAAGUCAUGUUCAUGAGAUCCAUGUUAUGGCAUGUCUUUUUUCCAGGAUUAAUGCUCCCAUUAUGUCCAUCAUAUUCAUGUUACGGUUAGGUAGUUAUGUCAUGUUAUGUAUUAUUUAAUGAUGUGCAAGUUGUACCCUCGAAUUAUGAUAAGUCAUGUCAUGUCUCCCUGAUAAGGGUUUAUCUCAUUUUCAUGUGAUCCAUGUUAUGGUUAAGUGGUUAUGUCAUGAUAUGUUGGGUUAUUACAUGAUGAUGUGCAAGAUGUGCCUUGAAUUAUGAUAAGGCUAGACUACUUCAAGGUUAGGGUGUGAUAUGUCUACAUGACUAGUGAGUAGUGAAUAAGUACACGUUACUUAGACAAGUAAUGUGUAUUAGAAACAUGUAACUUUCUGGCUAGACCACCACCCCCUAUGUUGUGAUCUCAUGGUACCGUCUGAUGGAUACAUACUCACGGACUCUCACGUUCACGUUUGGGCCGGUAUUGCCCCUCAUGUUACCGUCUGACUGAUACGUACUCGCAGACUCUCACGUUCAUAUUUGGGCUGAUAUUGCCCCAUGUUUCUCACGUUUGGGCCACAUUUUUCCCCUUAUGUUACCGUCUGAUGGAUACAUAGUCCCAAACUCUCACGUUCACAUUUGGGUGUUGGACUAGUUAGUUGAGUUGGGGGGGGACGUCCCGCUAUUGAAAGUUCAAGUGAUAAGAUACCUCAGAUAAGUUCAUGUACAAGUAUGUCAAGUUCAAGGGAUAAGAUAACUUAGAUAAGAUCAAGUAUAAGAUUCAAUGUUAUGUGUUUUCAUGUUCGCUAAGUGAUGUUGGUGAUAAUGACCACCUGAUAUGAUAUGUUCAGUGAUUGUCAUGUGCUGAUGUGUUGUGAUAUGUUCAAAUGUUUCUUAGAUGUGAUAACUAUGUGUUGGGAUAAAUAUUCAUGUAAUGAUGUGUUCCUUAUGUUCCAAUGUGCCAUGGAUUUGAUGACUAGUUGUGAUCAAUAUUCAUGCAGUGAUGUGUUCCUUAUGUUCCAAUGUUCCUUUAGAAUGGAUUAGAGGUUCAACCUUUGAUGAUGACUAUGUUACUUGCCAUGUUGAGUUCUCAUGUGUUAGGAUUACACAAAGAUGGAUACUAUAUCUUAUAUGCCUACUUAGCUAGUAUCAAUGAUGCCUUAUACAAUGAUAUGUUUUUGUCUUCCCUAUGUUCUAGCAUGAUACUCAUGUUAUGUGUCUACAUAACUAAGUCAGAAUAUGUUGUGGUUAGAUAACUAGAAAGCAUGUCCCUAAGUAAAGGCAAUGUUUGAAUAUAGCAAUGUCUGAUUAAGGUGAUGUCUGAAUAAGGUAAUGUCUGAUUAAGAUGAUGUCUGAAUAGUUUGAUGUCUGGAUGAGUUGAUGUUUGAAUAAUUUUGAUAUUGUUAAACUUAAGUUGGAAAUCAUAUGUGUUAUAUUAGAGCAUAAUAGACUAACCCCAGAACCACCCACUAGGGUGUUUCUAAGUUGAUGCAGUAGUAGAGUUGAGCUGAUUCGGAUGUGCAGCGAUGGACUUGGUAUUCAAUGUCGGGUUUGAGUUUCAAGUGUUUAUUCUGAGACUUGAUUCUUUUCAUGUUGUCUUAUGUUGGAGCACUCUCCGCUUUUGUUAAAGCAGAUGAUCAUUUUCUAUCUUUUUGGUUGUUCUAUUUAAAUAAAGUUUUUGAAAUUCCUUUGAGUUGAGUCCCUAUAGGGCAAUUUGGUUAUUAAAUAAAUAGAAAGUUUUUGGGGUGUGUCACAAGCGCCCGCGACAAAGAGUAAAACCUGCGACCAUUGUAUGAGCGCUAAUGGAUUUAUUCAAACGUUGUCGCAGUCCGCCUAAAACAAGAGCUCGACUGCGAUAAACAUAGUGAAUGACUACCCUUCAGCAGCCGAUCUCCACUCAUUCCACACAGCUUCAACUCUCCUCCCAUCUGAAAUCCUCCUAUUCCUCUCAAUUUCCUCCAUCGAUUUUCUCCUCUUCUCUUCUCCAAUUUUGUCACCCCGACUUCCACCCUUUUCUCGAAAUCGCCAAUAUCAGCUUACUGUUACUAACAAGAAGCAUAAGAGUUCGAUUUUGAUAUAGUUGUGUCGGGCAAUCGCAUUGUGUUUGAGUUGAAGAAUCAGGGGGUUAAACCUGUAGGUCCACUUCAUUCCUUCAUGGGAUACUACAUAAGUGAGUGUACAAGAAAUUAUGCUUACUACCCGGUCUCUCCAAUCGAAUGGAAGAAGUUGUCGCCCCAAUUGAAGACACGGGCUUGGGAGCAGUUUGUGCUAGUAAGUAUUAUUUUAGUUUUUUUAAUUAGAUAUAUUUUUGUAGUUAAAAUUGUAACUAGUUAGUGCUUAAUUGAUUUAUAUUAUAAACCUCUUUUCACAUUGAGGCGAAUGAGAUGGUUGAAGCUCGCAAAUAUUGGGAUCGCAAUGUUGGAAGACUGUUGGGGGAAGUCAAGGAUCACAAUUUGGCAAGCUUAGUUGAAGCAUGCACAAAUAAACCAACUCCCUCCAUAGUGGAUUAUGAAUAAUUCCUUGACAGGUUGUCCAAUGGCUGAUUGGAUAACGUACUUGUUGCGAGUUAACGACAAGUAGUUCGAGAUAGUACAUAUAUUUACAGAUUUCUAAUUGUAUUUGAUUGUAGUUUUUAAUACCGACUCAAGAACUUUUAUGUGCUUGAGUCAUAUCAAAUCAAGCCGCUCAAAUGGAAAACCAUAAAGGAGGGAGAAGGCCAUGUGAUACAUAUGUCAAGGAAACCAUUGAGAAGAUGGGUAAGCCACCUUCUCUACGCCAGAAGUUCAUAAAGUUCUUCCACUAACUAGAUGGAAGUUACAAAUCAGAACAUGGAAUACUUGUGGUGGUAAUGACUAGUUUCCAUAUAUAUAAUAGAUAUAGCUUUAAACUAGAAGACAAUAGAAUUAAUUGAACAUCUGUUAUGUAGGAGACUAUCAGCAACUAGAGCGGGAAGGAGCACCGACUGAGGUUGGGCCUAAUGACUCAUUGGCUCAAACACUAAACAAGCCAAAGCAUCGAGGCCACGUUCGGAUGAUGAGUUUGGGGUUUACCCCACAAUGGUAAUAAUGUUCAAUUUCAAAUUUGUUCUUUCUUGGGUCGUUAGUGUUUGUACCUUGUUUGGUGAUAUUUGUACUGUUUUUUCUUUAAGGUAUUUGGUGGUGCUAGCACUUGUUCAUCAUCAUCAUCAGCUCCUUCUGCCUCUGGGAAUGCAAGUGUGUCCUCAAAUGCUGCUCCUAGUGCUCCCCCUCCCUUACGAGAAGAGUUUGAUUGGAUGUCGUAGCAGAUGGCAUUGAUGUUGCAACAGUUGGCUACAAUGUAUUACAUGAUGUCGUCGGAGCUCGCCGGUGCUUUUACCUAAGUUUUGACUCCUGGGAUAGUUCCUGGUACUCCAUUCAAUCCAAGUCCUCUAUAUCUGUAUUAGGAGCCUAUGCAGCAGCAACAACCAUCUCAACAAUAGCAACAAGCUCAUGAGACCAAUCUUAUGGGUUACUUCCCAUUCUCUCAAGAAGCCAAAAAUCAGUUUCGCCUUCAUGGGAUGAUGGCGAAGCCUUUUCUUCCCUUCUUCAUACAUUAGAAAGAGUGAGUUUUAUAAUUAGUUUCUUGAAAUUUCAAUUAGAAUUCAUGUUUGUACUUACUUGUGUUUUUUAUGUUUAUAUAUAGGUCCCCAUUCCAGACACGAGGGAGCAACGAGAUGAUGAUGAUUGUUCGUAGUUGUAUUUCUAGUUAGUUCUAGCUCUCUCCCCAUCCCUAUUCCCAUAUAUUAUGUAGUAUUUGAAACUUCUAAGAUAGUUUCUUAAGAUAAUUUCUUAACGUUUGCAUAUUAAUGUUUGUUAUUGUAGUUUGGAAUUAUUACAUGAGAUGGUAAUUAUGGAAUUAUUAUGUGUUAUUAUGGAAACCUAAAAACUGCUCUAAAUUCUAAAAUUCUGCUCUAAAUUCUAGAACAUUGAAAAAGCUCUAUAACUGCAAAGGUAGAUCAAUUUGAAAGUGAUAGGUGGCACCAUACCAGAAUAGACACAUCUCCAGCAUUAUUGUAAUAGGCUAGUCGCAGGCCCUUUCUCGCAAGUGUUGACUACGAUUGGCCGGUCACUGGUAGCGCCUGUGAUAAAGCGCCUACAACCAGCCAAUCGCAGCCAACGGCUACGACAAGGCGAGCUUUGUCACAUCAAUAAUUGUCGCAUGCCUAUUUCUAUUUGUCGCAUGCACUGUAUGUAACCAUCCUUCUAUUUUAUGGCAGGCUGGCCUGCGACAUUGUUUUGUUUUUGCUUGUGACUGUUUUCCCUUUUUAUUGCAGUGUAAGUUAUACACUUUCAUGCAUUAUUACGUGUUGAAGAUGGAUUCUAACGUGAUUUUGAAAGCUCCUAGACCGAAACGAGUGACCAUUUAGUUUGAUUCUUUUAGUAAUGUGUAAAUGAAAAGUCUACAUGCUAAAUAUAAAUUCAUAAAUUUGUUCUCAAUAAUAAAAAGUUUACUAGUUAAGAAUAGUUGAAAUAUUGAUGGACGAUGUUAAGUUCAUCCUUCCAUAAAUUUAAUUCACAAACUUAAAAUGAUUCGUAAGUGAAAUGUUAGUAUUAAGACGUUCACAGAUGAAAACAACAAAGAUUGAACAUCAAACUGUAAAGAUAAAAAUAAACUGUAUCUCAUAUUAUUUGGAAUUAAGNNNNNNNNNNNNNNNNNNNNNNNNNNNNNNNNNNNNNNNNNNNNNNNNNNNNNNNNNNNNNNNNNNNNNNNNNNNNNNNNNNNNNNNNNNNNNNNNNNNNNNNNNNNNNNNNNNNNNNNNNNNNNNNNNNNNNNNNNNNNNNNNNNNNNNNNNNNNNNNNNNNNNNUAAUAUAAUACUCAUAAGUGGACAUAACAUAGACAUAAUCCACCUAUAAAGUGGACACAAUGAUUAUAUAUAUAAUUUUAUCAUAAUAUGAACAUAACAGUGACAUAAUUUACUUAUAAAUGUAACAUAAUAGUGAAUUAACAUACUCAUAAGGUGAAUAUAAUAGGGACAUAAAAUGUUCGUAAACCAAGCCUAAAAGAUGCCUAAUAAACUUAUAACUUAGACAUAACAUAGGCAUAAAAGAAUUGCAGUAGUACUGAUAUUUAGGUUAUGUAGCAUAAUAGCCUAAAACAAGUGGUCUACUCAAAACACUAAAAAUUGAUAUAUAAUCGUAAUAUAAUUGUUCUAUGACAGUUAUCCGUUAUUAACAUAGAAGUUGUACAAACAUAUUGUGACACCUUGAUUUUGGGUUGAGUAUGAUUCUAGGAUAGUAUUGGUUUUUGUGAGUCGGUGAGAAUCACUGUCAGACGGUCCGUCACGGGCGUAUCGGACAGUCUCUCAUAGGCGUGAUCAUCAGGUAGAUCAUGAUCGUGGUCAAUGAUAGUCACGAACGUGGCAGCCGGAGGAUGACGGCCGUGACCAUCAGUAGGUCAUGGACGUGGUUUCCAUGUCACAACGGGUGAGGUAAGCAGUACGCCAUGGGUGUGGUGGACAACUUAUGAAACCUAAUUUUCUUCUUCCUUGCAAACUUCUGACGAGCGACGAUUGUUCCAGGCACAGGGGAAAGUCUUGUUGAUCGAUCCAGACCAGUAGGAGAGGCCUAGAGAUCAUCGAGGAAGCUUUAGGAGGUAAUCUACCUUCUUCCUCGUUCGUCAAUCCUUUUCUUUGAAUCCCAUGUAGGAAAAUCCUGACAGGUUUGGAUUUGGAGUUUUGGGAUUUCAAUUUUAUGAUUGUUCCCUUCAGGUUAUAUGGAUUAGGCAAGCAAACUCUAGGUUUCAGAUCAUACUCUUCAGAGGAAAGCUUUCAGAGGUAGGGGUUAGGAUUACUUUUCUGCUUUAUGCGAAGAAUUGUAAUUAGUUGUCAGGAAUCCUUGUUUGGAUUUUCAGAAUUGUACAAUAGUGUGCGAUCUACUGUAUAGAAAGAUUUGUUAUGCAGUUUAGAGUUUCGGGUUGUACAAUAGCGUGUGAUCUACUGCAUAGGCAGAUGGUUAUGAUUCGAGCAUAAGCUCACAACGAGAAACUAUGCAUUUAUACAGUUCAUGUUAGGAUUAAGAAUCAGAACUAGAAUAUACUAGCUCACGAUAUACGUUGGUCACCCACCCUAUAGAUUGUGCGAUCCCCGAGGCUACAUUUACUUUCAGGUAGGACUUGACGAUAAUGCCUUCAGUUGCUGCUCUCACGGUCUGAUCCACCAUGAGGUCAUCCGCUCAUAGCUAGGGGUGGCUAAUGUUAGGAUAAUACCUAGAGGACCACAUGGUCACAUUACUAGAUACUAGUUCAGUUUUUCAUGUUCAGGGUCAGCUGCUCAGUGCUUAUCACUGACCUUGUUACAUUUCAUUAUACAUGAUCAACCUUGGGACUUCAGGAGCCAAUGCCGCUUAAGAAAGGAGCAUGAGUAGUGACACCACCUCGCAGUGAGUCUGGGAGUCACACAGAGAGGUACCAUCGAGUACCUCAGCUGUCUCUUUCAGUGUUUUCAUAGUUUUAAGACAGUCUUUCAUGUUUUUUCAGUUGUUUGUGAGACUUAUUUUACAGUGGUUGUUUUCCCAGGUUUGGGAUGUCUUUUAGUGAUGUUCAUUUUUGAAUUCGAGCCAUGAUGCUCUGUUUAUUUUUUGCUGUCGUUUUACUUAAGUAUUGAGGAUUUUCAGUUCAGUUAAUGUAUGUCAGUUGUUAUGAUAUAAGUUUGAGUGAACCCAUGAGCAAUGCAUGGAUAGAACCGUGUGGUUUGAUCGAGUCAUCUAGGGGUGGGUUUCACACAUAUUAGUUAUAUUAUGUGACAUUAUAAUAAAUAAUAAAGGGAAUAUUGUCAUUUACCCUCUUUUACUUCACCCAACUCGCAUUAAGCCCUCUAUACAAUUCAAUGUUCCAUUAACCCCUACACAUUGCCCACUUUACCAUUCGUCUCCUUCCGUUACGCUUUCCAUAUGUACACCGUUAAAACCAUACAACUCAACAUGCCAUGUAAGUUUUUCGGCACCACAUCAGCGUUUAAUUCCUUUAACAAUUCAUGAAAUAUAAAAAAUUCCAGACACCCUUCUUUCUUCACUCUUCUCCACUCGACCCCCAACCUUUCUCACAUCCGAUGCAGCCGAACUUCGCCCCGAGGGUGAACACAAGGAGAGGAGGGUUGCUAGAUUUUGGGUGUUGUUUUUGCACUCAAAUCCGAUUCAAAAGAAAUAUUGGCCACACUGGAAAAAAGUUAUGGUUUGAUCAUCCUCUAAACAUUCGUAGCAGUGUAAUUCAAGGUCUUAAAUUGGCUACCACUACCAAUUGGAAAGUGAGCAAGCCAAUUUGUAGCGAACACCAAGUGUUCAACAAAAUUCUUAGAUGCUAAAAGACUCUUACUGGCAUCACAAACACUUGACAAGGGUGCUAAGUCACUAUUUGACACCCCCUAACAUUCCAAUCACCUAAAUUGUCACUACCUAAGUGAUUACCAAAAUGCACUCAAGGUGUUAGAUAAAAUGCCACUAAGAGAAUCCUCACACUAAUGGUUGAAUUGGGGUGUGUGCUUGGUCCACACACCCUUACCCCAAUCUUGGACUACACACUUACUCAAGUCAAGCACAAUUAAGUAAUUGAAAGAGUACAUUUGACCUAGAACAAGCCAUAGCACAUUCUAAGUUGCAAUAACCAUAGUCCAACCAUUCUCAAAUACCAUAAUCCAUAUCUAACAUGUAUCCAAAUCCUCGUCAUGAGGGGAUCAUCCUAGUACAUAGCAAUACCCUAAUCUAACAACUAAAGAGUCUAGCCACUCAUCAUGACACUAAAACUAAAGAAAAGGGAUACAAUCACCAUCAAUCAACUAGUAUGAAGAAGAUGAUGAGGGUAGGAUCCUUCCUCAAAGCUCUACUAUUCCAAUUCCUUCAAUCCUUGGUCUUCUCUAGCUCCGAAGCUUCUUCAAGGUCUUCAAUUGAUCUUCUAAGGCUUCAAAUUGGGUGAAAAUCGAGAGAGGAGUCGGGUCUCAACAAUUGUUAUGACUGUAGUGUGAAUUGUUCGUCCAAUCUCCAUGGACCAUAUGCCAUGUGGACCAACACGGGCUCCAGAUGCCAUGUGGCCUAAUUUCCAGCUUAGGACUUUGUUCUUUGAUCGCACAUAUCUCCCUCGUCCGACCUCCGUUUGAGCUCUGGUUGGUCUCAUUGGAAUUUUCUCGUUGUUCUUUAUGCAUCGGAUACCUACAGCCUCAUAUAUACAAUGAGAAACGAGGUCGAACGGACCAAAAUGAUCCAUUUGACAAAAUGAAACAAGAACCCCUUUUUUUCUUCCAACCAAUCACAAAGGAGGGUCAAAACUAGGUCAAACAAGGUAAAAAACAGUCAAGAUGUGGUCAAAUUGGCAACAAAUAAUCGUGCUAUCACAUCCCCCCACACUUGAACGUUGCUUUUCCUCAAGCAAAUCUACUAAUCACACUCAAAGAGAACUCGAAACAGGGUGAAAAGAAAAUAUUUCCUAGCAUUUCAAGCCUAUUUCACGAUGCCAAGAUUGCAAGUCAAUCACCAAACCACUCAAUUAUGUAUAAGACAUUGAAUCCCUUAAAAAAUUUCACACCAAACUCUAAUAUAUAGAUAUUAUGAUUAGAUACCUAAACAAGCGAAUGUACUAAAGUUUCUCCAAUGCACUUAUGUCAUAUGGUACUAGCGGAAGAAAUGGACAGACAGACGGUCCUGGCUGGGUAUUUUUCCCGUCUUGAGGGAGGGGAUGCCUGAUCUAACAUAAACAUAACUAUCACCAAGUAUACUAGCAUCUCCCUCUUCUUUUACUCUACUUUGCUUUCUUUUGUAUUUAGUUUUCAACUAUCUUUUCUCCCUCUUUUUUUUCACAUGGAUGCUUUUUCCAAAUGAGGUGGUUGUGAUUCCAAUUAGGCUCAGAUCCGGUGAAUACCGGGCACCAGUACCGCAAUCCACACAUCGAAGGGUUGAGAAGAGGAGCCCGAGGUGUUGAGCAUACGAGUGGCAGAUCGAAAUCUACCUUGCGUGUUUGAAUCACAACCUUCCUCCAUAUCAUUCUUAAGCACAUUGGCCUCCUGUCCAUUUUGACUUCAUAAUACCAUAGACAAGUUCAAAAAGGAGAAUCAAUCAUACAUAUCGAGCAAGUAAAGGUGAAAACUCAAAACAUCCAUAUGUGCGAGUUUGAAGCAAACUAAUUUCAGGAAAAUGGGAGGUAGUCCACAAAUGAUUACUCAACAACCUAUUCGUCCUCAAGUAGUAUGAAUAAACUAGGUAUGCAUCCAAAGAGAUUCACAUAUUCAAAUUUGAGAGGGAGUAUCAAAAUUCAAGAGCAAGUCAGAAAAAAUGCUACCAAGAUAUGCACAAAAAUUCUCAAACCCGAAUAGUAUAAAAAAAUCCUCCCCCCCCCCACACUUGUACAACACAUUGUCCUCAAUGUGAAAAGAUAUAAGGGGAAGAGGGGUACCAAACGGGGGUGAGGAGUGAAGCCGGAUGAGAAGAUGAAGGAUCAAGAUCGAGUACCUAGAGUUUCACAAAAGGCAAGAACAAAAAAAAAACAAAAAAAAAACGCAGAAACAAACACGAAUAAUGGUCGAGUCAAGAGAAAAGAAGAUAUCUCAAGGCCGUCGAGGAGCUGUCUCAACAAGAAUCCAAUCCACUUAGGCAAGAGUAUACAAGAAUGUGCACAAGUAGAUAUGGAAGAGGCAAGAUGCAUAAGAUAUGCAUAACCAAUAAAGAAGAUAACUAGUUAUUCUCAACCAAGACUAACUAGCAAUCCUAAACAAGAGCAUCCUAUAAUCCAUAAAUGAGUAAGACAAGGGUGAGAAAAAGCUAUGGAACCAUCUCAACUCAUUUAGAAUCAAUUCCAGAAAGUUAUCAUCACAAACGUGUACCAAGUCCAAUCAACAAGAAUGAGCAUAAAGAGUGUAUGCAAAGCAUCAAGUGAACAAAGUAUGCAUCAUUCAACUAUAAUCAAUUUGAGAGCUCAAUGGACUACUAGUAUGCAUCAUUCUUCUUUGACUCAUUAACCAAAACAAUGAGCACAUAUGGAUAAUCAAAAGUAGUGGCAUGAUCAAAAUUCAAGCAUUAGAAGCAAUGAGCAAAGUCACAAUCAUCAAUUCAAUAAUUGGACGCAUCAAAUUCACCUAGCAACAACCUAGGUUCAACCAUACAAGGGAGCACAAAGAUGCAAUUCCAAAUUCUCAUCGCAAGAAUUCAACAACCCACAUAAUUCUUGUUCAAAAAUAUCAUAUUGGCAAAGCUAGACAUUCAAGUAGGCACAACCAUCUGAAACUGGCAAUUGCAAUGUUCAAAUUAGCACAAAAGCAUCAUUUGACCAAAUUUGACCACAAUUCAAACUUUCCACACACUCCAUCAAUCAAACCAGAGCAAACAGAACACAGACGACACAGAUUCAGGCCACAUCAUCAACCAAAAAGUCGUAGGCAGUCAAACGAGCUUUCCAACGCCGCUGGUCUUGCGAAAAACAAACGCUCGAGCAAGAAGUUAUGCUCAAAAUACCGAACCACAGCAUUUUUUCGCACAAGGCGACCAAUCAACGGAGGGUCAACGUCCGGUGAACCGGUCUGGUCAAACUCAGGUUGGUUCGGUUUGAAAAUCGGUUAAACAAUGCACCCCCUUCUUUGAAUAGUGCAUCUUGGCACAUUUUUAACACAAUCGAGCACGUUUCGGAGCUGGAAAUUCAAGUUUUUUUUUAGAAAACCCAUUGGAACUGUAGAUUUUGCAUAAAAAGUACGCUUUAGCCUUUUGUUUCCAAAAUCAAGCAAAUUUUAGGAUCUGAAAGUUCAAUUUUUUCAGAAAACCCGUAGGAAGUGUAGAUUUUUCAUAAAAGUAAGUCUGAGCAUAUUUUUUAGUAAAACAACCAUUUUUUAGCUCUCGAAAAUAUAAAAAUUUCAAGACUGCUUUUUUUCUUUUUCCUAAUGCAACGAAACUUCCUGCUAGCCUUAGGCACACUAAGAUAAGAUCAAGCAAAUCUCCAAACACUCGUUCUCUCGUCCCGGUCAUCACAAGAACACAAGAAACAAAAACACAAACAAAACACGACAAACACACAAUCAUGCAAGUUUUAUUCAAUUUUCCUACUCCUAAGCUACACUAUUCAUGACGAGACACCUAUGGUAUCACCAACUUGGUAAUGUUCAAGAUGCAUCCCACAAAGUAGAAGAGGGUCAAGAUGAGUAGAGGAGGUUACCUCGAUCUUGGAAGGAACGAACUUUUGUUACCAUAAAGGGGCCGGAGAUGAGGACUCUAUCGCCCUCUUUGAGUGCUUGUUUGGUGGGGAGGUGCAAAUCAUGGAGUUGCUUGAUCGCUUUCUUGCAACUCCCAUCCUUGACCUUGUGGACACUUUUUUGGUGAGAAGAAGGAUUCUUGGGCUCAAGGUCUGGUGGUUCUUCAUGCAUGUUCCUCGCCUUAGCAUGCACUCCCUUGAUCGAGAUAGCUUCGGUUUCCUUAUUAUACUAUUUCACACACUCGCUCAAGGAUGGAUCCAAGGCUUCAUGAUGAAGAGAUACAUUAAUAGCAUAAACUAAAGCCAUUUCAACGGGCUCGCCAAUAUCAUUAUCAUCUUGAGGAUCCGGGUGCUCCAUACCCCCGAUCAAUUGAAAUGUGGCUUCCUUUUGACCCACUCUCAAGGUAAGCUUACCCUCAAACACAUCUAUGAUUUCCUUCGACGUGUUGAGAAAUGGACGACCCAAAAUCAAUGAAACGUCGGUGUCUCCGGUGUCAAUCACAACAAAAUCCACCGGAAACAUGAACCUUCCAACAUGCAUAAUAACAUCUUCAACUACACCACUAAGCAAUUUUGUAGUUUUUUCCGCUAGUUGGAUGCACAUCUUAGUUGUUGUAAGUUGACCUAGGCCUAGUUUCUUGUACAAUGAAUAUGUCAUGACAUAUAUACUAGCACCUAGAUCUGCUAAACCUCUUUCAAUCACAACUUGACUAAUCAUGGAAGGGAGAAAGAAACUACCCAGAUCUUUGCGUUUGCAAGGGAGGUCCCUUGAGAGGAUUGUCGAGCAUUGCUCAUUGAGAUUGAUGUUGGAAGCUUCUAUGAGCCUUCGCUUGUUGGUGAAGAUCUCCCUUAGGAACUUGGCGUAUUGAGGCAUCCUUUCGAUUGCCUCGACGAAAAGAACGGUGAAGUUCAUAUUGCAAAGUCGAAGCACAAGUUGCUUUAAGCUCUUCUCGAGAAGAUCCUUAUCCAAUUGGUUGGGAUAAGGUGGCUUAGGGUUGUAUGGAGCCGACUGGGGCUAGGAGAUAGGAGAAGCCUCAGUUGAACUCUUCGUAGCCUUCUUGGAACCAACUUCAGUUGACACCUUUGGCUUUCCAUUACUCUUUGGAGCUUUCGGAACUAAUGCAUGCGGAACCGGUGCACUUUCUUCGACCAUCACUUCAUUCUCUUAAUCACUAGAUGCUUCAUUUUUCAUUAACAUCUUUCACAAGAAAUUCAUUAUCAUGCACAAGCUUGCUAGGUACAUCGAUAGGAGGAUCGAUUAAAUUUAGGAGUUGUGGACACAUAGUGUCUCAUGCUCCUAGUUGUGAUAGAUCCACAAGUUUCCUUGCUCUUUGGAUUGGUUAUGAUAUUUCUAGGUAGAGUGCACGGUUGCCGACUUGAAAGAGCGUGUGUGAGGUAUCCAACUUGAUUCUUAAGAUCCACCAUUUGAGCUUGAGUUGAGGCAUUGUGGGUGUCUUGAAAUGCUCUUUGCUCUUGAGUCACCUUGUUGUGCUCUUGGAAGAACUUAGCUUGAUUCUCAAUCAUUUGGUUUCCUCCAUUGAAGCUCCCUUGAACAUAAUCAACUUCUUUAAUGAAGUGCUCUUCCUCCGGUGCGAAAUCGGGAGCAAGGGAUUGGCAAGUAGAGGUGGCAUGCCCUUCGUUCCCAUAACAUUCACAAACAAAGAGUUGCACAACCAGUUGAUUCACCUUUGGUUCUUGUACCUCUUUCUUUUGAGGUGGAGUGGCGGUUGGUCUCACCACCGGUUGAGCCAAGGCAAGUGCUUUGAUUUGAGCCGCCAUGCCAUCCAUCCUUGAUAGCAUCAAGUGAACAAGAUGGUUGGGAUCUUCCUCCUUAUGUCCCGGCAUCUCCUUAAGGACCUUUGGAGCUUGAGUGCGAGUACAAACAUAAGGAUCUAUGCUCACCACCUUAGCUUCUAUAGGACCUUGUUGCCUAGACCAACUCUUCAUCUUCACCGCCAUUUCCCGGAAGACUUGAAGCCAUCAUUUGGCGAGGAGUGAUCUCAAGUCUCCUCCCGCCGCUUGAUUGGUCAUCUUGGUGUCCUCAUAAGUGAGUCCUCAUAAGUGAGUCCUCUAGCAAAGGUCUCCGCGAGUUUCCACUCAUUGAAGUUGAAGUUGUGAUGAGGGCAAGAGUAGAGAAGGGCUUGGGACCUCUCCCAAGCUUCAAAGAAUGGCUCUCCAUUAAUUUUCUCAAAGUUGGAGAUUCUACUUUGGAUCUCAUCCGUCUUGUAAGGCAGGAAGAAUUCCUCCAAGAAGGCCUUUGCUAGAUUGUCCCAAGCUUGGAAGGUAUUGUUUCGUUGGUUGUCGAGCCAUUGAUUUGCCUUCCAUUGGAGUGAGAAGGGAAGAGUCGGAGUUGAAUGGCUUCUUGCGACACAUGAUUGAACUUCAUUAGAUCCAUGAUCUCGAGAUAGCUACUUGGACAUUCGUGCUCGUGCCCAUGGUAUACGUUUUGUUGCACCAUUUGAAUGUAGUUGAACUUCAACUCGAAGUUCCGGUUAUCAAUAAGGGGUGGAGCACACUUGAAGAAGUACCUUCAAGAGUUGGCUUAGGUAAUCACCUAGAGUUCUUUGAGGUUCUUGAGCCAUCUCAAAGAUGUUAACAAAUUCAUCAGCCUCUCCUUUGCAAGAUGAAACAAUUGAUGAGUGAUCCAGGGUUGUUAAAGAAGUUGCGAUGUGAGGUGGUGGUGGUGCUUGAGGUGGAGAUGAGAUGAAUCUCUUUGGUAGACGCCUUGUACGCUUCAAUCUUCUCAUGCACUAAUAGUGCAUGAACGGAACCUACACAACAAAGCAAACAACCAAGGGAACACAACAAAGGAAUAAACACACAAGAAGGGGGUAGCAAUAAGUAAAAUGGAUUAGGUAGAAUGCCUAAAUCGGUGUCUAAUCUACUCUUUCAAGGGGGUGAUUACACUCCCCAACAAUGGCGCGAUUUUGAUCCUCUAAAAAAGAACCAAACAAACAUGAUCGGCUAAGAAAAGGGACUAAUCCCAAACCCAAGGUCUCAAGUGACAAUUUUCACGAGGAACAGACCACCAACCCUAUACUCAACUAUUAAAGACACGGUUUAAGCUCACAAAAGUUCAAAAUGCUAGUUCCUUAAAUUAUCCACUAAAGUACAUAUCAUUCACAAGAGUAAUUGGAACUAAAUUAAGCUAACGAACUAAGCAAACAAGAUACUAAAGAGGGUGAACACAAGGAGAGGAGGGUUGCUAGAUUUCGGGUGUUGUUUUUGCACUCAAAUCCGAUUCAAAAGAAAUAUUGGCCACACUGGAAAAAAGUUAUGGUUUGACCAUCCUCUAAACAUUCGUAGCAGUGUAAUUCAAGGUCUUAAAUUGGACUACCACUACCAAUUGGCAAGUGAGCAAGCCAAUUGGUAGUGAACACCAAGUGUUCAACAAAAUUCUUAGAUGCUAAAAGACUUACUGGCAUCACAAACACUUGACAAGGGUGCUAAGUCACUAUUUGACACCCCCUAACAUUCCAAUCGCCUAAAUUGUCACUACCUAAGUGAUUACCAAAAUGCACUCAAGGUGUUCGAUAAAAUGCCACUAAGAGAAUCCUCACACUAAAGGUUGAAUUGGGGUGUGUGCUUGGUCCACACACCCUUAAUCCAAUCUUGGACUACACACUUACUCAAGUCAAGCACAAUUAAGUAAUUGAAAGAGUGCAUUUGACCUAGAACAAGCCAUAGCACAUUCUAAGUUGCAAUAACCAUAGUCCAACCAUUCUCAAAUACCAUAAUCCAUAUCCAACAUGUAUCCAAACUCUCAUCAUGAGGGGAUCAUCCUAGUACAUAGCAAUACCCUAAUCUAACAACUAAAGAGUCUAGCCACUCAUCAUGACACUAAAACUAAAGAAAAGGGAUACAAUCACCAUCAAACAACUAGAAUGAAGAAGAUGAUGAGGGUAGGAUCCUUCCUCCAAGCUCUACUAUUACAAUUCCUUCAAUCCUUGGUCUUCUCUAGCUCCCAAGCUUCUUCAAGGUCUUCAAUUGACCUUUUAAGGCUUCAAAUUGGGGGAAAAUCGAGAGAGGAGUCAUAUCAUCAUACAUCUUAAUAUUAUCUCUAAUUGGGACCACCUCAAUAUUAUCUGCAACAAUCUCAUCCUCAGUGUCAACCUCUAUGGCAAGUAGCUGUUGUAACUCCGUUUCUGAAGAUGAUGCAACCACUCCACUAGAGGAGGCAUCACAAUGAACAGCAAACCUACAUGAACAAACUCUAUACGAUUGAGGUUACCAAACAAAUCACCCCACACUUAUCUUUUGCAUAAACCAAUAUGCAUUAAUCAAGCUGUAGAAAAAGAGAAGAGUGGGCUUAGAAGCAACUAUUGAACAUCUCAUCCAAAUAGGAAAUCUGUCAUAAUAAAGAAUACUCAACAUCAUUAAGGCAAUCCACGUAAGGUUUAGGGCACUUAGAAACUAUCCACAAAGUCACACAAACAAUGUAAGACAUGUAAAAUUUCAUAAAUUCUUAACCCAGAAAAAUACCGAGCAAAACUCAACAUUCCUAUGACACCUAAUCAUAUAAUUUCAAAGUGCAAAGGAUGUCAUUAACAUCCUAUAUCAUACCCAAUUGAAUUCUAGCAUCAUCAAUUUCACAAAACCUCAUAUUUGAAAUUUCAAGUUCUUCAAGCUAAUCAUCAAUCUCAACAAUUUAACCAAUCAGGGCAAAGUGAACAAGGAGAAACUGGGCAAAAUUCAAUGUAAACUAGCUCAAAACUCACUCAAAGUUGAUGAAAAACGAAGGGGGGAGAUUGGGGGAGGGUUCGGCGGUGACCGACAACGGUUCUAUGGUGACAGGAGUGCGGAGUUUUGAAUGACGGCAAAGGGGUAGGAGGGUGGAGUCGGCGUCAGUGGAAUGUUUGAAAAAAAUAUGGUUCAAAAAUCGGCUAAGGCUAGAAUAUUUAGAAACCCGUGUCAACUAUUGCAUUGUAGAAGUGUCAAAAAUGCGGUAUGGACAUAGCGCAAUGUUUGACAAAUCAUAGCGCAAUGAUUGAAAGGAUUUCCAGAACUCAAUGUCAACAUUUUUUCUAUAGAUGGUCAAUUAUUGCGCUAUGGGCAUAGCACAAUGCUUGACACAGAUCCAUAGCACAAAGGUUGACAUCCUAUUAUGUGAACUUCCAUAGUUCAUGAAAGAAUCAACACUCUUUGCAUUGACGACUGGGGACAAGAAUGACACUCAAGUAUCACGUUCUAGACUCGAUCUAACUCCUACACAUGCAAAUUGACUCAAAGAAUAUGAAAAAUACUGACUCCAGACAUGGGCUUCCUUCCAUGAAGCGCUCUUUCUUUAACGUCUUUGAGCUAGAUGAUACAAGGACCUCAAUUUAGCAUCUUCAAAGUAAUGAACUUUUACUCCAUCGGUAGGCUUGGUACUGAGAUAUAGCUUGAGACGUUGACCGCUGAAUUUAAUGUUCCUUGGUCCGGAUGUGUGAUCUCCACAAAUCGGUAGGGAAAUGAUUGUGUGACUUCAUAAGGUCCCGACCAUCUUGAUUGUAAUUUUCCCAAAAAUAGUCAGAGCUGGGAGUUGUAGAGCAGCACCUUAUCUCCCUACUUGAAUUCUUUGACCCCUUGAAUAUUAGCAUCGUCGAUUCGUUUCAUCCUUUCCUUAUAUAUACAUGAGCUCUCGUAAGUAUGAAACAUGUGCUCCUCUAGCUCAAGGAGCUAAUAUUUGCAUUCUGAAGCUACGAGACUAUCAUCCAUGUUUAGCAGCUUCAUGGCCCACCAUGCAUUAUGCUCAAGCUCGACCGGUAAAUGAUAAGCCUUUCCAUAAACGAAUCGAUACGGGAAAGUGUAGAUAGGGAUCUUGAAGGCGGUUCGGUAAGCCCAUAGAGCUUCAUCGAGCCAAAUCGACCUGUCCUUAUGAGACUGAUCGACUGUGCUAUCAAGAAUCUGCUUAAGCUCACGAUUCUUCACCUCCACUUGACCGCUUGCAUGUGGAUGGUAAGCGGUCAUCAAUCAAGGAGCUAUGCUAAAUGUUUGGCAAACUCAAUAGAAUUGACCCUGAAAGUGAGUGACUUUAUCGCUAAUGAUAGCAUGAAGGCCGCUGAAACGCAUGAAAACGCAUGUAAUAAACUUUCCCACUGUCAGAACAUAGUUAGUAGACAGCGGUUGCGCCUCUGCCCACUUUGAGACAUAAUCCACUUUGAAAUGUUACAUGUACGUUGGCAGUUGAUUUUGGGCUUUAAUCUGAAUUCUGUGAAUUUUGGAAAUUGGCUGAUCAAUGGACAGUCACAGGCAUGACAGUCAGUCUAUCACGGGAAAGGUUGUCAGACAGACCACGACCGUUGUCAGCAAACAUUCAUGGGCGUGACCACUGGAAGAUCAAGGGCUUGACCAUCAGGAGGUCAUGGUUGUGACCAUCAGUAGGUCACGGGCAUGGUUUCUAUGUGGCCACGGGUAUGGUGGUAAGUUGGACAUGGGCGUGGUGGACUUAUUAUAUAAGGACAGUUGCAACUUACAACUCAGAAUUACUGAAACCUAAGAACUUUGAAUCCCUCUGCAAAUGGCAAUCAAUUUCAGGAGAUGGAGAAAUCCCAUUUGAUCUAAUCCCAAAUCAUUAGGAAAGGUCUAGAAAUCGUUGAGGAUGCUUCCAAAGCUACUCAAUCUUCUUCCUCCUUUCUCAAUCCUUGAUUGGAAAUCCUACGUAGGAAAUUCCUGACACAUUAGGAUUUGGGGUUUUCAGAUUUCAAUCCUAUGAAUUAAUCUCUACGGGUCAGACAGAACAUGAGGCUUGAUCUUGGGAAGGUAGCUUCAUAUUAGACUCUACUAGGAAAGCUAAUCAGAGGUGGGGGGUUAGGAUUUCUUUUCUGCUUUAAGUGUAGAACUGUAAUUAGGAUUGUCAGGAAUCCGAUUAUUAGAUUCUCAGACUGUGUAGUAGCAUAUGAUUUAUUGUACAUGUGUUGUGAUUUGAAGGGCUCUCAAGACUGUGCAAUAGCGUGUGAUCUACUGUACAUGUAUUACGAUUUUUAGAGCCAAGCUCUUAGUAUUGUGCAGUAACGUGUGAUCUACUGUACAUGGGUUGUGAAACAGAGCCAGGCUCUCAGACUAUGUAGUAGCGUGUAAUCUACUGUACAUGCAGUUGUUUAAUUUCGAGCAUAAGCUCAUGGUGAUUAAACUAUGCUUGUGAUUCACAGUUCAUGUUAGGACAGGAUCAUGUUUAGCUAGAUUAGCUCUCGAUAUGCAUUGGUCACCCGCCCAUGGAUUGCGCAAUCCCUUAGGUCAUGUUCAGGCUCAUGUUGGACGUGUCGAGUAUGCCUAUAGAUGCUGCUCACACGGUUUUCAGGAUGGUUUCAUAGUUUGAUCCACCAUGAGGCUAUCUACCAUAGCUAGGGGUGGUUGUUGUCAAGAUGAUGCCUACAACCUGUGAGUAAUGCAUGGGUCGAACCAUGUAGUUCGAUUGGGUCUUCUAGGGGCGUGUUUCACGGUAAUCUUCUAUAUAUGUCCCGAAAGCAAGGAUGGUGGCUAUCUCGGUAAACCACUAGCGCUUGUAGAGGUGAUGAUCCGAGACUUCCUUUGCUUCUUCCAAGAGAAAUAAUUGAUCAUCCAGAAAGAGCUCAUUUAUCUCUGCUUCAGCGAAUCGACCCAGAGAAGGCCCUUCAAGGUGCGAUAGGUGGUUAGCUGCAACGUUCUCUGAUCUCGCCUUGCCCUUAAUAGUCAUGUCAAACUCUUGAAGGAGUAGCACCUAGUGAAUCAAUCUCAAGUUCCCAUCCUGUUUAGCUAUAAGAUACUUAAGAGCAAAAUGGUCGCCGGAAUCUGGGCAGAGGUCGCCAGCGGUAACGGCCUCACUAGAGAAGAAGGGUGACCUCCCCACAAUCAUGAGGAGUUCAGUGACCAGAUCUGCAAAGUCUGAAAGAUAAGUUGCUGUUGUGCAUUUGAAUAUUCUAAAGUCUAGCUUCCGUAGCUCUGAAGUUUUGGAUGGUUUACAGUUAUGGACCUUGGUCAGAUUUUUUAUCAUUUGGAAGUUCUAGAUCAGUUAGUGUAAUGGAGGUCAUUAGAGGACUAGAGUAACAUUUAUGUCCUUAAAAUUUUCAGAUUAUUGCAAAUAAGUAAAUGGAGAAGAACUCGGUCGUUUGAGCUCCAAAUGACGCACGGUUAGAACUUACGGAUUUAUGGCAACGAGAGAAAUCAUGCCAAGUUAGGAUCAAAGGUGUCAGAUCUUCUUAACAGGUGGGGGUUUAGGAUUACAUUCUGCUUAUAAGCUUAGAACUAUAAUAGGAUGUUAGGGAAUCCGAUUAUUGGAUUCUUCAUGUGAUUCAGAGCAAGGGCUCUCAGGAUUGUACAAUAGCGUGUGAUCUACUGUAUAAAUGUUGUGAUGUGAUUCGGAGCAAGUGCUCUCGGACUAUAUAGUAGCGCAUAAUCUACUCUAUAGAUGUUGUGAUGUGCUUUGGAGUGUGGGCUCUUAGGCUGUACAAUAGCGUGUGAUCUACAGUAGAGGCAAUUAUUAUAAUUCGAGCAUAAGCUCUUGGCGUUUGGACUGUGGCAUGUGAUUCACAGUUCAUGUUAGGAUAGGAUAGGCCUAGAUAGACUAGGUCACAAUUAUGAUACGUCGGGCACCCACCCAUGGAUUGCACAAUCCCCCAUGUUAUAAUCGGGCUCAGGCAGGACGUGUUGAGUAUGCAUACUGAUGCUGCUCAUACGGUAUUCAGAGUGGUUUUAUGGUCUGAUCUACCGUGAGGUCAUCCACAUAGCUAGGGGUGGCUGAUGUUAUGUUGAUGCCUACUGGACCAGAUGGUCACAUUACUAGAGUAGUGACUACAUAGAAUUCCAUGUUCUAUUCUUAGUACAGGUCAGUUUCAAUCUCAGUUCUACGCGAGUCCAGAUAGCCACUUAGUGUUUAUCACUAACUCUAUUAGAUAUUAUUUUCUCUGGUGUAUAUGUGUGUUCGGUCACAAGAACUGGAGCUGAUGGUGGGGAGAGAGCUAGUCGGAGUUUUGAUAUCACAUGAUAUAUGUUUUGAUGUAUUUUCAGUACUAGAGUUGCAUCUCCUUUUAUCAUGUUGUGAUUUGGGAUCCGAGAUCCUUGUUGGUCAAUUUUAUCAAAGUAUUUCGGUUCAACUUUUAAUGCUUGUUUUUGCUCAUUUAUUAGUAGUAGAGAGUAGAGGUUGGUUCAGCUUGGAACCCGAUAAGAUUUCUUGAUUGAACCAGUGGUUCGACCAAAACUCUUAGGGUGGGGUUUCAGAGAAAAUGUGAUAGUGAAAUAUACAUUUCCCAAAAAAAUUCAUCUUCCCACCGAUAAGUUUUGGCUAUUUUCGUAUUUUCAUAAUUACCUUUAUUUUAGAUUGUAUGAUUCAAUUCAUUACCAAUUGUCAGAUUAUGUUGUGACAUCAUCAUUUCUAUCAAACGAACAACAUUGGCUCCAUUUAUAGGAUUUUAUCUAUUGCAUAUAAGACUAUUGGAUCCAUUUUGAUUUGUAAAAGUGGGUCCUACUUCCAUCUCAUUUUGUUUUGAAAUUUUGCAUACUUCACUUUGAAAGGCUUCUCAUUAAUGCAAUUCAAAAACAUUUGCAAAAGUGGACUUACAUGAAUAAAAUGAUCAUUUCUUAUAUAUUAUUUUAUUAGCAAAUAAUGAUAUGAGAAGGCCCAAUCCAUUGGGUCUUGAUCAGAAUGGCACAACCUAUUAAAAAUACCUAUUUUGGCAUAACAUAAUUAUAAUUUUACAAAAUAAAAUAUUUAAUUGACUUUUUAAAACUCAAUACAAAAAACUAAAAAAAUAUCAAAGUUCAUCAUAUUCUUCUCCCACCACCAUCCUAUCUCCACUAUCUUCUUAUCAUCCCCAUCAUCCAUUGCUAAACCCAACAAUUACUUUCUCUAAAUCUAUCACUUACCAAAUCCAAAAUCAUAUUCAUUUGUACACACAACCAAGUAUGCAAAUUUUAGAUAUGAUUUGUGUUGGUUUUUUAGAUCUGAUUUUGUCGAUCUCGAAGGUGAAGAUGAUUGACGACGGGGAAGGGGACUCUAAUACCCAAAUAUGCUACUGGAGAAUAAUCCAUCUUUCCAGACUAUUGCAAUUCAUACCGCUCCUUGAAUACUUACAGAGAAAGACGGCGCAUCGAGCUCAAAAGGAGAGGGUAGCGAGCAAUCGAAGGAGAGUAGAAAAAGCCGUUGCAAGCAAAAGAGAAAUCGACCACCAGAUCUCCUAGGAUUCCUCAUCUGAGGAAGCCAUCAAGAGAUUUUUUCCUAUAAGUCAGUUCAGCUACUAAAGCUACAAGUGGUGAUGAUGAAUAAGCUUCCAUAAGUGGUUCGCUGGGUAUCUCUACUUUGACCUCCUUCAUGGGAGCUCCGUCGUCGCCGCUGGCGACCCUAAAAAAGAACAUGCAUUUAAACGCGUUUACACACUAAACUAAAAAGGAGAAUGAAAGACUAUAAUUGGAAUUUCAACAACAAGAGAAAGUUAACUUCUUUUUUCUAAUCCACCGUCGGGAGGAGCAGCAGCAAGCUUCGCCCGUCUUCUUCCCUUUUGGGAUUUUUUUGAAUUAAUUAAGAAUUUUAUUAAUUAGAAGUUUAAAAUUAUAUGAUGUGGAGCCUAUAUUGAAGUCAAGUGGGAGGUACGUCAGGGGUGUUAAGUUUGACUGUUAAGUUGAUGGUCAAAUUUCAAAUAUGUGCCACAAUAAGUAUUUCUAAUAGGUUAUGCCAUUCUGGGUUUAGACCCAAUAGGUUGGGCCUCCUUAGAUCAUUAUUCAUUUUAUUAACUACAUAUAUGUUAUAAAAAUGUAUAAGUGACAAGUGGGUCUCAAAUGAUUAAAAAAUAUAAAUGAAAAAAUGGGCCACAAGUGAGAUUAUCACUUUGACUUGGAACGAGUACAAAUUUGCACUUAAAAUGAUCCUUUCCCAUCAAUAAUAUUCUCAUUUAAAUUUAAAAAUUGCCACAUAGGCUCCAUGUUACUUAACAAGUAGGGAAAAUCUCAGUGAUAAGAUGCUAUAAUAACAAAUAAUCUUGAGGCCAAAUCCAAUAACUGAGCAUGCCUUCUACAUGUCGGACUCCACCAUAUAAACACGGCCCACGUUAUAAUUGAUUCAUUAAAAAAAAGAAACAAUUUGAUGAAUUGAUGAAAGAAGCGAAAGGCAAAAGAUGGAAAUUGUCGUUUCUCUUCCUAAAACUAGGGUUUUGUUUCUCUCACUAAAAUUAGGGUAUCUCUUCGUCAUGAAGACUUCCUACACCCCCAUCGCCAUCAUGCUCAAGCACAAACCUACUCCUAUCAUCAACAAACCCAUCCCACCUACCGAUGUUGUCAUCAAAACAAGACCGACCCUUACUGCACCCAUGGCCUCCCUAUCGUUGAAGGAGAGUCAUGGCUCGGAGGACCUGACCGGAAUGACAUGGCUGACGAUUGGAUACCAGAGCUGCAGCAAUCUGGAAAGCCCCACAAAGAUUCUCCGCCGACAAAGACCAGCAGGUCAACACUAAGGAGAGGCGGUGUUCCUCCGAUCUUCGAGCUACAGGGGAGCGAGACGACUCUACCCCAUACACCAUAGUGACAUCGCCGGUGUGGACAUCCGAUCAUUCCAUUCAAAGCUCAUGAAGAUCGGCUACACUUGUGUUUGGCUUUCUUUAUUUUUGUUUAGUACUCUCUUUUUAGACAUUUGGUUGAUUUUCAGUCGUACGUUGCACUUCAUUUGUUUCCUUCCUUGAGUCGGGGUAUAGUUUUGUUAAUUUUUUUGUUUAUUUCGUUGCAUCUAAAACCGUUGAUGGUCGAAGAGAUUAAAACUGUAAAUAAAAUAUUCAAUUACCUACUUUCCCCUUACAUCUUUUCUAAAAAACAACUCUCAAUUGCAUUUCUCAUGGUCAAUGUUAUAUCACGCCUCCCUCUAUAAAGAAAUUAUAUUUUGUAAAAAAAAAAAGCGAAAGGCAAAAGAUAUCGCGAGACCUAGUUCUAUAUAAACCCAUUCCAUUCGCAGGUUACGAGCGGCCGUCAUCGCUGUCACAGGGCCAGAUAUGGGAAGCGCUAAAGCUGGCAAACCCUCAAAGAAGUCUCUCAGAAACCCUAAUCCGCUUCGCAUUACCCAUAGGAAGAUUACGAAGCACAAACGGCAAGACAUUGCUGUUGAUACAGUUCCCACCGCCCUGAAGUAGAAACACAACCUCAUAUCGGAGAAGAGGAGCCCCUUCCUUCAGCUUCCCAGCAACUCAGCUUUUUCCUCAGCAAGUUCCAGUCAGCUAAUGGUCUUCAAGGUUAGUCUCUACCGCUGGAGCUCCACAAUAUUGUAUCCCAUGACAUCUCUAUUUGGUUGCUGGACAGAGGGAUUAUUAACAAUUUGUGUAUUGUAUUUGCAGAAACAUCCUUUAUUCAGUUAUUUUGAGAGCUGCCUCAGGAUGUUGAGGGCCUAGGCCAGCAUUUGAAGACUGCUUUCGGAAAGUCAUGGAAAGAAGAACGCUGUGAUCGAAAGCUCGUGGAUAGGUAAACUGAACCAGAGAGUCCUGCUGCUCUUUUCAUUUCUACAUCUGCAUUGAGAGCAAUAGAACUUUUAAGGUAUAGAUUCUCUCAGUUCUUGUUAAUGAUCUUUGUUUUGCUCGAUUUAAUCAGGGUUUGGGCUUGAUUCAAUCUUCUUCUUUUAGGGGUGUGCGUUCACUGAGCGUUCACUGACGAAAGAAUGCCAUGCUGCAAAGCUCUUCUCUAAGCACAUGAAGGUUGAAGAACAUGUGAUAUCCUUUCCCUUUUGUCACUUGUUGUUCCUAUUACAUCGUUAAACAAAAUACUAUCUCUUUAUGUUUCGAGGUGUUGUCAUUUGUUUUGGAUAUCAUUCAGUUCCUUUUAUUAUUACUGCUGCUCGAGUUACGAACAUCUGAGGAAAUAGCAAUGCUUAGGAUGUUAUUGUCCACUUCACUGUCUCGAGACACCGACAUUGUCUUUAGUUAUUAUUUAUGGGUCCAACAAGUUAUGACUUGAACCAUGGUCACAUGGAACAAAAUUAAUUUAUAAAUUCGGACUUCUGUUUCAUCAGUGACAUUUUCACUCUUCGUCAUCAUAUACAUUUGGUGUUUGUUUGUUUUUGGUAAAAGGAUUUGAUAUUACCAGUUAUAAAGAUCAAAGGGCAGUAGCAGUGCAGGAUAAGCUUUUUUCACAUCAGUCUGCUUCUAGUUCAGUAUCUUAGUUUCAAUGAUUUAUGGCUGGAAGCAUGGAGCAGUAUGGAAUUUUUGCAAACAAUUGUUGGAUUAGGAAUUUCAUACUUCUUUUCACUGCAUUUUGAUGUUGGGAUAUGAUGAGUUACACGGAUCAAAUGCUCUAGCAGUGCUGAAUAUGUUUUUUGCACGUCAGUCUGAUCCCAACUUACCGUAUUUUUACUGCCCCUACCUUUAAAUGCAUGUCCGAGUUCUAACAAUAGAUGACUUGAGACAUGGAGCCUAUGAAUGGGGGUUCUCUGUUUGAUUUUAUGACAUUUUACAAUAAUUGUCACAAAUUUUUUUGACAUUGGAUAUGAUGAUGAGUUAGAAUCAAAGGCACUAGAGAUGCUGAAUAUGAUUUUUUGCACGUCAGUCUGAUCCCAGCCUUUCGAUUUCUGAUUACUGGAAUUUAAAAUUUUACUUUGUUUUCGUCAUUUUGACAUUGGGAUAUGAUGAUGAGAUGUAGAUCAAAGGCAUUAGCGGUGCUGAAUGUUUAUUUUGCACGUCAGUCUGAUCCCAGCUCACUGUUCCGAGAUUGUGCUGCCUUCUUGCAUUUCCUAGUUAAAAAAAUGUACUCCUUGGACAUGGAUCUAAACGAACUUCAAAAUAUGAAUGAUUAAGAUUUCGUGAUCAGUGUCAUUCAUAGUUUAUGAUCACUAAUUUAAAUCUCGUGGCAUAUCUUGCAGGGUGUUUAUAGCCAAUUAGAUGCCACACUCACUGAAAGCUUAACUUACGAUUUAGGUUCUGGUUGUGUAUCCCCCCCCCUGUCCACCGCCUUUAACCUUGUACUUCUAAGCAAUUGAUUGUAUUUCCUGAAUAAUGGCUACAUAUUUCGUAAUUGUUCAUGCUCUGCUGAUUAUAUUUUUGCACGUCUCUGUUCCUAAUAAAACUGCACACUAUUUUACGAAAAAAGACGUGCACGCUAAUAUCGUACACCAAUGUAAUAUAACACUAUUAACAACAAAAAGUUCUUAGUACGGGUUCAAUGUCAUCAUGCAACAUCCAUGAUGCCGUUCCUUAGUCUCUCUACGUGACUCUGUGUUGCAUUUGGUAAACUAUUUCUUAAACUUCUGGCUCCGUUUACUGCAGGUCACUUUCUUCAAGAAUCGUGUCAAUAUUGCCAGCGGCACACCAAACAGGUUAGUCACCAGUCAUUUCAUCUCGAUAUUGAUGUUACAAUGGGUCGUUUGGAUGAGGUAUUUGAAAGUGGUAUUUUGGCUCAAGUAACUCAAACUAAAGUUAUAACUGAGUUAUUUGGGCCAAAACACUUCGUUUUCCAUCCGAAAUAAAAGUCGUUAUAUUUCAUAACUGUGAUAUUUGAAAUAAUUAUGGAUGUGAUAUUUGAAAUAACUCAAUUUAAAACCAUAACUCAAAAUGAUAGCUAAACGAAUAAUUCUUAUCCCCCAAAUUCUUACAACUGAUCCAAACGAUUAAUGUUUACUUGCUCAUCCUUUUCGUUCUAGCUGAAUAUUUGCAUUUCCGAAAUAAUGCGCCCCACAUGAGUUCGGUAUACAUUGGUGAUUGCUUUUGCAAGUUUUCCGUGCAUGAAUUGUUGUGGUAUUCAUCAGAAAAUUACCAAUAGGAAAUAGUUAAGAGGUCGUAGAAAAUGCAUCGGGAGUGUCAUUUUAUAUUGUAGGGGCAAAAAUUGAUUUUGAUGAAUUUGAACUUUCUUGACUAGAUUCUUGAUAAAAAAAACUAUCUUGACUAGGUUGAAGAAGUUGAUAGAUAUAAAAGCAAUGGGGCUCUCGCGGUUUUAAAGUUAUCGUGCUAGAUGUCCACCAUGAUGUAAAGGGUUAUUCCUUGCUCACACUUCCACAAGGGGGAGAUAUAGAGAGAAUGUCCGGUCUCUUUUCAACACAGCGAGGAGCAUAGUCGAUUUUGUCAUGUGAAGAGUUGCUGUUGUACAAGUGUUAGUUUGUUAUUUUGACAGGACACUUUUUCAAUUAUUCAAAACUUAUAUUCUAGCUAAGCUAAGGGUAAAUAUCCAUUUUGUAAUUUCACUUGUUGCUGCUUCUACCAAGAGACAGCACACAAGGAAUUAUACUCAUCGGCUUCCUGGCCGCAAUUGAGUUAAAUCUUCUUUUCGGCCCCUAGCGUUUAAAAUAAAAUAAAUCUUUCACCGGCUACCUUCAAAAUCCUCUGUUUAUCUUUCCUUUGAUCUUAUCAAAUUUUUAUAGUGACAAAGUUUGUGAAAUUACUUAAUAAAAAAAAGAAAAAAUUAUUAAACAAUUGCUAAUAUUUAGGCCCGACAUUCGAUAUAGCACAUGUUUUUUAUAAUAUUUUUUUUUGCCCAAAUUUCAAAUUAUGUUAAUUCCUUUAAGUUAAAAUUAACGGAUUGGUGACAAAUGCUGACAAGGCAAACAAUGUGUCUGAUGUGGAUGGAUGAAAAGAAGUCAAUCGGAAAUAAAUACACAGUCAACAUACAGUUAAAAAAUUUUAUAACAAAAACCACCCACAUUCCUUAUCCUCUUCGUCGACCAGCCUUUUAUCACCCACCUGUCACCUCCCUUCUAAAUUAAUUUUCAUCAGAUGGGGAGAAAGAGUGGAAGAAGAAGAAGAAGAAAGAAAGAUGGAGCAAGGUGCAUUUGAUUUGAAUCCCGACAAUGUCGACAACAAUCUUGUAUCUAAAUUCUUUGUCGAUUUGAAUUUCGAUGAUGCCAACAACAACCUCAUUCUUGAACUCUCCGUCGAUUUGAAUCCCGACGAUCCCAUCAACAACACCAUUCCUGAACUCUUCGACAAUUUGAAUCCCGACGAUGCUGAUAACAACCUCAUACCUGAAUUCUCCGUUGAUUGAAUCUCAAUGAUGCCAACAACGACUCUCUAUCGUUGUCGAUGAAAUGCCCAAGCUUGUGGAGAGAUGGAUACAGGGAGUAGUAGCAGGUACAUGUCCAAAUAUGGAUGUUGAGAAAUCCUCCUCGGCUGUCGAUUUCGAAUGGUCCCCACGUUUCAAAUUGAUUUUAGUGUUCUUGCUGGGAGUAGGUUUGCACGCGGCUGAGAUUGGGUUUAUCUGUUUGUUGCAAAUGAAUGAAUUGAAUUGGUUGGUUUUUUAUUGGGGGUGGGUUUUGCAAGCAAGUUGAGUUGUUUGAUUGGUUUGAAGUUUUUUUUGUCUUGAUUGGGUUUUGUAAAAAAUGCUAGCAGAAUACUGACAAUGGAGGAGAAGGUGGAGGAAGGAAAAAGAAGGUGGAGGAGAUGAAUGAUUUUUUUGGUAGCUGAGUUAUUAUUAUUUAAUGAAAGGAGGUAAAUAAAAUUUACCUAACUAAGCUGACGUGACCAGUGAUUGUUAUGUGGCGUCGGACAUGGUAUCUUGAUGAUUUUCUUCUUACGGCGUUUCGUGUUUGGUUAACUAUAACGGUCAACGACAAAGUCAACUGAUUUUCGUUAGUGUGAUUUGAAUUUUGUCAGAAAAAAAUGUAUUUCGGAAAACAUGUGCCAGAUCAUUUGUCGGGUUAAAACAUUGCCAAUUGUGUUAGCUAAUUUUUCCUAAAAUAAGUUAGUGACAUUUUAUCAAGUCGAUCUACACUACAGGAAACUAGAUGUUUAACAACAUCAUUUUUUCUUGUUGACGACAACCAUUUCCUGUUGUUAUGUAUCAUAACGGCGGCUUUGAUUGCGCUAUUAAGAUUGCCAAUGCAAAGAGAUCCUACCAGCGAAAUAUUGGCCGCGGUUAAGUGGGGAAGCGUAACAGCGAAUAGCUGGCCGCUGUUAGGUUGCAUCCUAAUAGCGAAAUAUGACCGAUGUUAGACGAAAUUCUAAUAGUGGCAUUGUGUCCGUUGUAAGGAUUUCGCCUAACAGCAACUACAUAUCCUCAUAGUUUUCUUAUUAUUUUAUUUUUUUCGUUUGGCUAUUUUCCAUAUAUAUCCAACUUGUUCAAGUAAUUUUUUCGAUAGGUAGAUAGAAAUACAAAUUUGGGAAACACUUUGCUAAAUAUAAAACUAGUCAUUUUGAUUAAAUAUUUGAUUGUUAGGACACAUACUAAUUCCUUGGCUUAAACUACACCAUCCUUCUAAAGUAACUACUUGAUUCAUAGUUGUUCAUCCAACAUGUACAAUCCACUAAACAUAGACUACUCCUCUUGGUCGUAAUCAAGCUCAUCGUCCCUCUCAUUUGUUUCCAUCAUAGUGCUCGUUCACAUUUGUUUGCAUCAAAUGGCUGCCAUCAUACAUUUGGAUUUAGAACAUCUGCCUCAUCUCCUCCAAAUCAUGAGAUAAGCCAACUUGAGAGUUGGCAAGAUGAGCUAUACACCUACAAUACACCAAAUAAAAGUUAGUUUUUUUAUCCAAAAAAAUUUGCAUGACCAAUUCGAAUUCACGGUUUAACUUAUACUCUUUGAUCUACAAAAUGAACAAACGAUACUAGAUUUGGAAGGACAAGUUUCGACAGCUACAAUGAAUCAAGGAAACCUUUUACAUCUACAUUAUCAAAACAUAAUUGCAGAAUUAAAAGUAUAAACCAUGAGUAAGGUUGAAUGAUAAAAUUUUCACUAUUUAGAGGUGUCGGUUAAAAUGUGCAAAUUGGAUAAUAAAUUUGCAUGGGAAGGAUGAUUAUGUAGAUUACGUAAUAAACUAACAAAUACAUAUAUACUUAUGAUUUGAAUGGGACUUGUAAGUUAAAAUUGGAGGCGCCCCUCUUAAUUUGUACCUAUUGUAUGUUCACUAACCACCCAUAAUAAAAACAAGCAAGAAAAAUUGGAUUUGGUGGAUCACUCGAUGAAGAAACAAGAUUCGAAACUAGCCCUCAUAACUUGAUUAGGUGAAGUUUCUACCUAUAACAGUCCAACUUAGUGGUAGAAUUAAUUUAGGAUUAAUGCUGAAAAAUACAAAUACUUAUUCAUUUUGCUUUCACUCUAAAUCCUAAAUGGCGCACCACUGUUCCUGACUUCUCUUUUUUGUUCUUCGAACGUAUACGAUAUGCCCUCGCCAUAGCAUCCUCCUUGCUAACCCCAUGUUAGUAUUUGGUUCCUUCAUAAACUGUUUGACUUCAACCUAUAUUCAAUCUCAAAAUCUUAAAUAUAUUAGAAUUGCAUCUUAUCAACAAAAGGUCAAAACACAAUAAAAUUAUAUGCAACUUACAUAAAAGUCUCAAGUAACAUAUGUUUCAUCUUCUCUUUCAUAACACUUGAAAAAGAACUCAGAUCUUCUUACUUCUUUUCCUUUCGCUUUCUUCUACAUUAUACGUUCUACAAUCAAUACAAAUUAACUUCUCAUGACUUUUGGAACAUAAUAUAAAGACGAUUGAUGAGAUGCUUACUUACCAUCUCUUCACGAAUUAUAUUGAAAGGUUUUGACCCUUUCGUAUGAUAGAUGUCUUGAUUAGAACGAUACCUUGUUUCUUUGCAGAUGCAGUCUAUAAAACUGCUAGUAAUUGACAAAUGACAAUAAUAAAUAUCAUUAUAUCAAAUAUAAGUACAAAUGUAAAACUUACUAGAGUUGGCUUCCCCUCCUAUAUCUGCAAAACAUAUCCCACUCACGUUCAUCAAUAUUUGGUGGUUUCCUGUCUAAGUUGAGCUGAAGACCUUGAGUAGCAUCGAUAUUUGGUGGUUUCCUAUCACGUUCAUCGAUACUAAUCAAUUUUCUUUGGAUAUGACUAAUGUAAUGAAGAAGAUAGAAGAGAUUAAAUCUAAAACCCUUAUGAUUACCCUGCAUUCAUAAAGACUGCAAUGCAAUAUGUACAGAGAGGCGUGGACACAUAGCAAAGUCCUUACAAUUUUGACAAUUACCAUCCAAUACAAUUUUGUAAGCUACAGCUAACAUUCAUGAGCUAAUAAGUUUUGUCAGGUCGGUUACGAAAGAAAACACACUUAACUUCAUAAACAAUAAUAAAUUAUGAAAACCCCCAAAUCAAAGUUAGGGCUCAUCUAAAUCAUUAACAAAUCAUACAAACUGAUUUCAAUCUCAAAAUUAAACUUAGACCCAGCACUAUAAAUAAGAUGUCUAACCUAAAGCUAGAACAAAACACUUCCAAUUCACUAAACGGAAAACAUUUCAAAGAUCUAGAUUUUACUAACCUUUCAAUUUUCUUGCUAACACAAGAUGACUGAUUGAGAUGAUGGACAGGAACCAAAAUGAGCCGCAGCUGGAAGGCCGGAGCAAGCGACGCCGGCACGAAGAAGAAAAACGCCAGCGAACGGCCGUUGGUGAAGAUACUAUCUGGCUGUGUCCUUUGUUCAAUUUGGGGAAAGUUGGGUUUUUACGUGGUGUUGGGGGGUUAUAUGUAUUUGGAGUUUCGUUUAUAUUAAUAUAAUGAAGAAUUAAGUCUCAUUUUGUUUGGGGCUUUAAAUUAAUAACCCAACGUCGGCUUGAUUCUCUACAUAGCCGCUGAUAGGAUUACUCUUAGCAGCUGCCAUCUAAAUAAGAGCCACUGUUAAGUUGUUGUAUUCCAUCAUAUUUUUUAAUUAUUAUCCUAACAUCGGCCAAUAUUAAUCAGGGCCGAUGUUAGGUAGUAAUAACGUAUCAGUAGCCUUCCAUUUAUUGUUAGGAUAUUGACCUAACAUUGAGACCAUGUCCGUUGUUAAAUUUUGUAUGUUAAAAUAUCCUAACUGCAGGUCUAUGUGGCUACAGUUAAAUUGGCAAUAUUAGGUAGUCAGUUUCUUGUAAUGCUACCUUGUUUAUCAUAGAAAAUUUGUUAUGACAAACGUGAUUGUUGUUGUUACAUAACAACACUCUAAUUUUCCAUCUAUUUUUAAUUUUAAAAAUUUGACAGUCUUAAUUUGUUGAAUAUUUUUAAUCUUUUUUACAUUUUUAUCUCUCAUAAAUAUGUCCUAAUUUUUAGUUAAAGAAUCCUCAUUCAAUUUCUAUUUCUAUUUCUAUUUUUUUACCUAUAUUUAAUUAAGUUAAUAACUUAAUAUUUCCUUAAUUGCUUUUUACAGGUUGUCAACGGAGUUCUGGUACUCCCAACAAGUGAGAAGAACGAUCAGAUUAGUAACAGAGCACAAACAAAGGUACAAAAUAAAUUACCAUAUCACAGUCUCAGGUAUAUAACUCCAUACAAUAGCACAUUCAUGGGUACAUAACUAGACAAAAAUUAAUCAAAAAUUGAUACUUCAAUACACGAGGUAUAAAAUGCAGUACCAUAUCACAAACCCCUUUUUUUUUUUUUUUUUUUUUUUUUUUUUUUUUUUUUUUUUUUUUUUUUUUUUUUUUUUUUUUUUUUUUUUUUUUUUUUUUUUUUUUUUUUUUUUUUUUUUUUUUUUUUUUUUUUUUUUUUUUUUUUUUUUUUUUUUUUUUUUUUUUUUUUUUUUUUUUUUUUUUUUUUUUUUUUUUUUUUAUUUUUUUUCUUUUUUUUUUAUUGUCUGUUUUUUUCUUUUAUCCUGUUUUUCUUCCUUUUCAAGAUCUUGAAAAGAGAGAGAAAAUGAGAGAGAGAGAAUGAGAAAGAGAAAACGAGGGAAAGAGAAUGAGAGCAAGAGAGAGAGAGAGGAGGAGAAAUUUUUGGAGUUUUUUUAUUUUUAGUGGCUUUGAUAUUGAAAAUACUAUAUAAAGAAUUUUAGAUGAAAUCAGUCAGUUGAUACAAUUAUUGUUGUUAUGUGCUAUUAUCGUAUGAUAAGCGGGUGGGGCUUUUCUUGUUUUCGUAAACAUCAAGAUUUUAUUGGUUGGGUCUAUGAUUCCAGCCUACAUGAUACUCAAAAGGGCCCUGGUUCAUCUGGAAAUGAAAAGUGCUUUAUGAACGUUUGGAUUGGUGCUUCCUUGACUCGGUUUGGUAACUUCAAUUUCUACCCACCUAUAUCGUGUUAAGUCGGAUCACCGACCUAUUUUCAUGGUUGCGACCAAGCUCAAGAAGUCAAAUCUUCCUCAUACCUUUCGCUUUAUGGCUUCAUGGUUGUCACAUGUUGAGUUUAAGCCUUUUUUUGUCGGAAUGGAAUCGGUCUUUUACCUUUAUUCAUCAGAUGUCCAUUCGAGCUACCAAACUGAAAAAAUGAAAUAAGGAAAUUUUUGGCAACAUCCAAACGAAUAGAAGGAGCUUAUCUUUAAACUUGCUGAUGUUUAAGCUCUCGCAGCUCCUCUACUCAUUCAAGACACCACAAUGGACAUUGCAAGUGACCGGAAUACUCAUUUUUUUCACGUAUCCACCUUCCGUAGGCGUGCUCGGAACCACAUUAUUAAGUGAAGGAUGACUGUGGGGUGUGUAUUCAUUAGGUUUGGGAGUCGGUUAAUUUGGUUAAUAACCAUCGGUUAAUGGUCGGGAAGCGCUUUGAUGAUUGAAAUUAAUUAACCAAAUUAACCGACCGAGCAAAAGCCACGGUUAAUCUUACCGACCGAUAACCGACCAAUCAGUUAAAUGAUCGAUUAUUAACAGACUGACUCUCGGUUAACCGUUGUAACCGGCUCUGACCAAUUUAACUCUCUUCUCAUAUUGCAACAAGAUUCUAGGCUCUGGCUCUAGAUCCGUCGUCGAUUCAAGCCUUGGAGACCAUAGCUUCUCUUCUGGAAACAAUCCGGUGCUCUACAACUUGAUCCUUCGGGACUGGAAGCUUUCCGAGACGGCGUUGUUGCGGAUCAGUAAGGAGAGGAGGAAGCUUCAAGCCUAUGGUGUUGCAGAUCGAAGAAUUGAGAGAGUGGAGGAGGAGAGGAUUGGCCGUGGCGACGAAGGAAGCAUGUGGUGUUGCAGAUCGAAGAAUCGAGAGAGUGGAGGAGGAGAGGAGCGCUUGCGGUGACUCGUCGUGGUCGUCGUCGUGACUGCCGGCGAGAUGCUGAAAUUGAAUCGCUUGGAUUGAUAGAGUUGUCGAGAUGGAUUGAUGGAGUUGUCGAGAUGGAUUGAUGGAGAUGGCUCGGAGUUAACCUAAUUUCAGAAUGAGAGGUUGUGAUGGAGUGGGAGGCUGGGAGGGGAGGGAGCGAUUCUGCGAUUGUGGUGAGCAAAGCUUGAUUUCCUAAUUGGGGACCUUGGUUUUUUUAAUUACCGGUUAACGUUGGUUAACUCGAGUUAACCAACGAUUUUACCCUGCUCCAACAAGUACUCCCAACUGUUCCCCGACCGACCCCUACCUCGGUUAAACCGACACUCUAACCGAGUCGAUCAGUUCAUCUGUUUAACCUAUUAACCGAGACUGAUGGCCCACCCUUAGUAUUCAUCCAGCUUGUUGCUGCAAUUAGUGUCGUAUUGAUAUGGUUGAGAGAGGAUAAAAUAUGCUUGAUUUCAAGUUCUCCAACUUGAAAGGUUUAGCUGUUAAAAAUGUAGAGGUCAUGACUGAGUACUGAUUUCCAGCAAGGAGAAGUUGGAUAUUUGCUUGCGAUAAAAAAGAAUUUGGACAGUCUAUCUUAGGCACAAAAUCUAACGGAUGAGAUGGCAACUUUACUUCAGGGGCCUAUUGGUCAUUUUAAAAUUUUCUUGUUUUUCAGUUUAUUUUUCCAUUCUGUUUAAUAUUGGUUCAAGUAAAAUGAUUUCUUGUAAAUUGGGUCUAUUGAGUAACGUGGGUGGGUAGACUUUAUUGCUCCCAUCGAGCUUGACGUGAUAUUUUCUUCUUCGUUUCUUUAACAUGCAUAAAUUGUAUAUAAUACGAAAGGUUGGAAAUAUAUGUGAAGCUCGAGGUUUAUUAUAUAUGUUUCGAGGUUUAUUAUAUAUGUUGAACCUUUUUGCCAAUUGGUUAUUUUUAUCAUGUAGUGCCUUAUCAAGUAAAGGGAAUGGUUGUUUUUAUCUACUGUCACUAGCCAACUUUCUUUCUCAUGUGAUCAAUUAUUUGAUCACGCAUGAAUGACUACAGUACACAAAAGAUAGAAAUAUUAUAAAAACAAAAAACAAAUAUUAAAAAAAAAUACCUAAAAAGCAGGUACAUAACAACAAAAACAAUAACCGUAAAUAUCAAGUACAUGAAAGCGGAUGCUCAAAAUAAGCACGCACACAUUAAAAACUUUGGUACAUACAAGGCAAGAAAAUCGAGAACAUAUUGGAACUCGAGUACCGGAAUUGGUACGGUAUUAAGUACAACGUGAAGAAAUAUCAAGUACAUUAAAAAGCGAGUAUAUAACAAUAGAAAUAAGUACACGAAAACAACUCAGAGAAAUGAUAAUUUGAUUGCCAAAAUUGAGUAUGAUAAAGUAAAAUGCAAGCACGUAGUACAUGAAACAAAUAUGAGUAAGAGUACAUAAAUUUUUUAGUACAAUACAAGACAAAAACUCAAAUACAUAUAAAAACUGGACACUAAAAAAAAUAAUUAAUUAUUCACAAUUUUAAAUAAUAAUAGUCACGAUUUUUAUCAUGAUUAACAGAAGCUAGUCACGAAAAUAAAUCCGUAACUAACCUAACCGAUGCUAGAUGAACUUGUCACGAAUCUGAAUAACCUGUAACUAAGUUGUCACCGAAAUUUUCCGUGACCAACUCAUCACGGAAGAAACCGUGAACAUAUGUGUUUUUGUUUUUGUUUUUUAAAUUAGUGGCACGGAGCCAUAUGCUGUGAUAAUUGAUUUAUUAAUAAAUUAAUCCCACAUCUCCGUGGCUACUAUAUCACCAGAAUUUCCAGAUUCCGGCAACCACAAUUUCCAGAAUCCGGCAAUAAGAUAGAGUUGAUAAUUGCUUUUUUAUUAGAGUAAAAUGUUCUACAUCUAUACAUUAUGAUACCCAUAUCAAAAUUCCAGAAUCCCAAAAUUGAACAUAACGUCAACGAAAGGCACCAUGCAACAAUGGUGACACUAAGGGUUACAACAACCAGCAAAACCGAAACACAGACUGGAAAUGCUACCAAGAGAAGGAUGAGACUAGAUGAUGAGAUUGAGAUUGAGAGAAGAAAAAUGAUAGUAAGAAAUUUUGUUUUCGAGAGAGAUCAAAUGAAGAUGAGAUCUACUUCUAAUUUAAUAUAAUGGAAAUGGAGAUAUGGUUGUUUAAUGGCAAAGAGAGAAGAAAGGAAUAGCCCAUUAAACGAGGAUAGAGUCUGCAUCAUUUCUUUUUUCGACCUUUUCCCACUAAAAUGCUAAUUUUAAAAUUAUAAAUAAAAGUUGGUCACGGUUCCAACAUUUACCGUGAGUAGUUGGUCGCGGUAUUCAACAAUCCAUGACUAGUUAUGGAUUUUUUUUUAUCUAUAAGUAGUUAGUCAUGGUUUUUAAAGCCGUGAUUAAUAAAUCGUGAUUAAUCGUUGAUUUUUUUUGUAGUGCGAGUAUGAGUAUUGAGUAAAACGUCAUGUACAAAAACAAGUACAUCAAAAGCGAGUACAUAAUUAUCAAAACAAGUACUAAAACGAGAGGAAAAGUACAUAAAAAGCGAGUAUAUAAUAAUAGAAACAAGUGCAGUAAAAAUCAAGUGCAUGAAAGGAAAACGAAACUCAAACUAAACACUAAUACAAAAAAAACUUUAGUACGCAAAUAAGUAAAUACAAGAAAAUUAACAUACACAAACGAAUACAUAAGAGUAUAGUGUUUAAACAAAGCGAUUAUACGGAUCAAUACGAUGUUGAGUACAAAACAACAACUUGAGGCUUUAUCCCUCAUUUUUAGAUGAUUUUGUACUAAGUUCUUAUAUGUAUUAGUUUUUAUUAAUGUAAUCCCUCGUGUACUUUGUCUUUGGAUUUAUUUUUAUGCCAUAUCUAUUUAUUUACGCAUUUGUGUAUACUUAUAUUUUUAGAACUUUAUACUCAAAUCAAUUAAUCAAACAAUAAAACUAUUUUCUCUUUACACGAACCAACAUAAUAACCCAUCACCCCAUACAGGGUUGUGAAGGAGGUGCAGUGACCAGAAUUUUCUAGUUGUUGCUUUUCUAUAGUUUGAUAAGGGUAAGCAUCUUGUUCUAGAAUAUAUGUUGUUAGGUUAUAACAAUGCAUCUAGUUGAGCAUGAUUCUUUGGUCAAGUGUUACUGGGAUUCUUUUUGUUCCACAUCAAUGCUCGGAGGUCGAAGAGGCAACGAGGGUGACGAAGAAAUCGGCAUCACCACGUGAGAGAAGAUGAAGAAGAGGUCAGAGAGUGGAGCCGGUGGAAAAGAUAUACUAGAAGAGGUACUUAAAGUUACUUGUACGACAAAACUGCCCUUAUUCAAUUGGACAACCCCUAGAUUAAAAUUUAAAAAUGAACGGACGCGAUUCGUUUGCGGCCAGCAAACACAUAAUAUCAUGGCUGCCUAUCCGGACUCGUCAUAACUGGCGUCAACAUUACGUAGUGUUGUCAAAAAUUAAAAAGGGGAAUAUAUAAUAAUAAUAAUAACAGACGUAAUCUUGUGUAUAUAAUGAUAUUAAAACGUUUUUCAAUCGACAAAGCCAAGUCUGCGGGAGGAACAGCUAAUGGACGAACAGCCUAAGCAUAAGCCGCCUUCUUCGUAUUCUUCAGAUUCUCUGAAUCUCUACCCUUUUUUUUUGUUACGCGGAUUCCCUUCCCUCGUCUGCAAACAAAAAGCUCUUCGUUGACUUUUUAGCAGGCUUUUUUAAAAAACCUUAAUUGAAAAAAUUUGUACAUGGUUGUUGCCUUUGUUGGCGUCAGCAUGACCCAAUGCUGUUGUCAUGUUCAUGAUUGCUCCAACUCACCUGGCUGCGCAUCUGCCUUCUGACCUGACCUGCCCUCCUCCUUUUUUUUAAAUUAUGUUUCCCCAAAAUUAAAUUUAAAUCGUUACAAAAUUGGUCUCUCCUUCUCCUAUAUAUAACGUGGAAGAGCUCCUGCCAAAAAAGUCAUUCAAACUCAAAGCAGAUAAAUUAUCAAAAUAAAAAAGAAAACCCCAGUGCUCUGCCUGCCGUUAAGAAAUUAGUUUAUUGGGUUUGUUGUGUUUAUGAAAGCUGUGUUCCAGAGACUGAUAUCGUCAAGCACCCAGAUUGGCUGUAGGAAGAAAGUUGCAUCUUUUCCAUUAAUCAGAAGCGCUAAUAUGUCUGAAUCCUCUGCCUUUGAUUCUCCGAGAUUGGUGACCAAGAAGGUCCUUGCUAAGCUUCAGCGUGAAGGGGAUGGUGCUUCUGUCAGGAGAAGCAUUGGAAGGUAUAAUAUAAUAUAUCAUGGAUGGAUGGAUGGAUAUACAAUUUUCUUCUUGUCAAAAUUGAAUUAACUGUUUUCGUUUCUGUGGUGAAAUUGAAUGAUUGAAUGUUGAAUUAUUUUGGUUCAGGAGUGAGCUCAGGUCUCUGGACCCUUUCCUCAUGUUGGAUGAGUUUUCAGGUCUGCUUUGCUUAAUUACUUGAAACCAAAUUCCUUGAUAUUUUCUAGAAUUAGGAUGAUGAUGGAUGAUGGAUGGUAUUUAAUUUGUUGUUGCAAAUUGCAAUGCAUGAAGUCUCAGCUCCUGCUGGAUUUCCUGAUCAUCCACACAGAGGUUUUGAGACUGUUACAUACAUGCUGGAGGUACAGACAGUACUGGAGUUAAUUAUUUAUUAUGAAUUGAAGGCUGUUUUUUGUCCUUGGUAGUCUAUUUAUUGAUGUCUGUGAAAUUCGUGGGUGGCACUGGCAGGGAUCAUUCACUCAUCAAGAUUUUUCUGGGCAUAGAGGGACUAUUCAUGCCGGGGAUGUUCAAGUAAAAUAAUUCACUCAAUUACAAUACUACGACGUUUACUUAAUUAGCUAGCUUUACUUGAUCAAAGUCAAAAACUCUUUCUUUUUUUAAAGUAAACAACAACAACAACUUGUGUGUUUUCCUGUUGGGCAGUGGAUGACAGCAGGUAGAGGGAUAGUCCAUUCAGAAAUGCCUGCAGGAGAAGGAGUCCAGAGAGGCCUUCAGCUUUGGAUAAACCUCUCUUCUCAACAUAAAAUGUAUGUUUUUAUUUCCUUUUUUGUUUGUACUUUCCAACUUCACCAUUCCAACAGUUUGUAAUAUGGAACCAACAGGAUUGAGCCAAGGUAUCAGGAACUUCUGAGGCAGGACAUCAAAAGAGCAGAGAAAGACGGGGUUGAAGUCCGAAUCAUAGCAGGGGAAUCAAUGGAAAUCGAGUCUCCAGUUUAUACAAGGACCCCAACAAUGUACCUUGAUUUCACACUGCAACCAAGGUCCCAAAUGCACCAGCCCAUUCCAGAAUUAUGGAACGCAUUCAUUUACGUCAUUGAAGGUGAGGGAGUGUUUGGGAUCCCAAACUCCUCACCAGUUGAAGCACAUCAUACACUCGUUCUAGGCCCUGGUGAAGGAAUGAGCGCCUGGAACAACUCCUCUUCCAAACCCUUGAGGUUUGUCUUGAUUGCAGGCCAGCCACUUAACCAACCAGUGGUGCAGCAUGGUCCUUUUGUCAUGAACACAGAAUCUGAAAUCCACCAAGCAAUUGAAGAUUACCACUACUCCAAAAAUGGGUUUGAAAUGGCGCAGUAUUGGAGUUCCCAAUAGGGAACAAGUAAGUGCUUGGAUCACUCAAAACCAAAUCUCCACAUUCCCUCUCAACUUUGAAGAAGAAAAGAGUAAAGAAUAAAAAUACACAUCCACAAACACUAAAGGCCACACGCAUAUGUGAGUGAUACUCAUUUGUGUUCCAUCAUGUAUUAAUUUAGCUUUUAUCCUCUUCCAACCUUUUACUAUUCCAAAUCAAAAGGUUGAUUAUUGCAUUGUCACACAAAACAAUGAUAAUAAAAAUACUCAAUUCAUAUAAUCCUUAGAAUUAAUUCUUUUCAUAACUAUAGUAGAUGUUUGAACAAGUGAGAACAAAAUAUAAGCUUAAUCUUAAUAGUAAUAUCAACGGAUAAUAGCACUGUGUGUCACUUAAUUAUUACCCAUGUCGCACAUAAACUACUUAACUUUCUACAUUGCACAUAAAGCCACUUAACUUUGCUUAUGCUUGCAACAUCCAAAUUUUCAUUCAAUUUAUGGAUAGACUGAUCGAAUUGAUGAGUUCUUAUUCGAGAUCUUCUGUAUGAAUAACCUCCAACACAUUAAAGAGAACAAUAAUUUAUAAGAACUGACAGAAUAACUUAUUACUUGUUUACAGAAAAGAAUGAUAAAAUAAAAAGGCAAGAAUAGAUUAUAAUCAUGCCUUGGACACUGCUUUCGAAAAAAUAUUUCCCGAAUUUAGAACACCAAUACAACUAAAGGUUAAUCACAAUAUUCACUCAAACUCUAGUGUAGGGCUUGAAUGUUGGAACUUGGAAACUUAUGCUAUUUUGAUUCCGAUUUUGAGAGUGAAAACAAAGUUUUCUGCCCAUAUUAAUCAACUAGGAUUUCCCUUUUUAAAGAGAACGCAUCCACUAACCAACAUCAAAUCCAGAUUCUCCUUUCUGAUGAUCAUCAAUGAUAAGCAGAUAUGGGGAAGGUGGAGUUGAGCUCCCGAUUUCUAGGAAGCCAACCAAAUACUUCUGUUAAGCAUAAGUCUUGAGUAUAUGCGGUAUGUAACUGAUCAUUACUGUUACUUCAAGUGGUUAGAUAAUGGUUACAUCAUCUUGCUGUUGUCCGUUGAUGACAUGUUGAUAGCAAGUUCUAUUGUAAAAGAAGUAAACAAGUUGAAGAAACAGUUAUCUAACAGUUUACUAUUAAGAAUAUAGGAGACGCUAAACAGAUUUUGAGUAUGUGCAUUGAUCAUGAUAGGCAAGUAGGAAAGUUUUAUCUUUCGCAAGUUGAAUAUAUCAAGAAAGUCUUGAAGAGGUUCAAAAUGCAGGAUGCAAAACUAGUAAAGAUUCCUUUGGGUGGCUAUUUCAAGCUAUUUGAGAAGGAUAUGCCUAAUAAUGAUCCAGAACGUGCCCAAAUGCACGAAACACCAUACAUUUUUGUAAUUGAUAGCUUGAUGUAUGGAAUGGUGUGCACAAUACCAGAAAUUGCACAUGUAGUGGGAGUUGUCAAUAGAUUCAUGGGAAAUCGGGGGGAAGCGAUUAAGUACUCCUGAGAUAGUUGAAGAUUACUACUAAAAGGGUCUUGGGCUUUGAGGGCAAAGUAAUGUAGUUAGAAGGAUUUGUCAUCAAGUGACCUUGAUAGAAGAAGAUGUACAACAUGGUAUAUUUUUACUCUUUGAGGUACCAUGGUUUCUUGGGCUUUUAAGUUGCACUGUCUAACACUCAAGCUAAAUAUGUUGCGGUAACGAAGGCCAGCAAAGAGAUGGUAUGGUUUUAGAAUUUCUUUGGUGAAUUGGGGAAGAAGAAAGAGGAUAGCAUAUUGUACAUUAGUCUUAUACACUUGCAAAAAAUUCAGCAUUUCAUUCAAAAUCGAAGCUCAUAUUGAGUUGAUGUAUCACUUUAUGGGUUGAUCUCUUGGAAAGGAAGAUCUUACGGCUUAUGAAGAUUCUAGGAAGUGAGAAUCCUAUGGAUAUGCCGACUAAGGUUGUAAAGUUGGAGAAGUUGACACUGUGUAUGACUUUAACUGGUUUUGUAACUGAAGUUGAAGGUCAGAUGCUGCUUGUAGUAGGAAGACGUUGAACAUGGAGAACCAAUGAGAGGAGUAUGUCUUCAGGUGGGAGAUUGUUGGGUUAUGGUGCCUAAGAAACUGAAGGCUUGGUCCAGUUAGUUUGUUUAGUUAGAUAAAAAUUAAGAUUAAUCUUGUCUAUUCUAUAUAGGAUUAGAAUUAAUAUGGUAGCUCCCUAUAAAUAAUCUAUAUUCAUAUCAUUGUAAUCUGUAUCACAACAAUAGUAGUCGAAAUCCUAACUUGGUUUGUAAAAAAAGAAAUUCUAGCGUGGUAGCGCCCUAGACAUACUCUUCUCGUGAAGAGGAACUAGGUUCUUAAUUUUUCAGUUUAUGAUUGCGUUUCAUUUUUUACAGGAACGACCAGAUCCAGCUCAGAAACUUCCUCAAGAUGGCGACGUUGAAGAAGCUCUGUCUCGCUAACGCCUAACAAUGGCUUCUCUAGACUGAUUCAGACUGUCCUCACCGCUGGAAAAGGAGAUUAGAUAGAAAUCCAUCUUUUAUUCCUCUUCAUUGUUUUUAUGACAAUUUCUUCUUUUCUUUUAUAAUAGAGAACUAUUUAUCACUUUUGUUGGACAUUUCUUGUUUGUUUCCCUCAAGAACUAAUAAUUUUGGUCAAUGGGUGACCACUGAUGAUGUUGAUUCUAUAAGCUUUAGUAUUUAGUCAAAUUCUUGAGUUUUUUUCAACUAGAAAAAAAAAGAAGAGAGGUUACAGUUUCAAUUAUUAAGUUUGAAGAAUUAAAGAAAAAAAACUAGACUACAGAUAUGAAAAGGUAAUUCUGAUAAUUUUUAUUGAUGAAUUUUUUUUUUGUAAUGAGUAAGAUAAUUUUUUAGGUUUUAUAAAUGGGUUUUUGGUUAAAAAUCUCAUUUAGAUAGAGUUUUUGAUGGGUAAUUAUGAAAUUUGACAUAAAGGGUACAUGAUUAAAAAGGUGGGAAAGGAAGAUGCGAAAAGAAGGUAAGAAGGAAUCAAUUCAUGGCAAAAAAGAAAAAUAAAUAAGAGGGAAGAAAGAAGACAUAUAUUGAUGGGAGGCGGAGGUGGGAUAGGGAGGUGAGAGAAAGAUGUAACAACAAAGAAGGGUUUAGCGAAAGGUGNNNNNNNNNNNNNNNNNNNNNNNNNNNNNNNNNNNNNNNNNNNNNNNNNNNNNNNNNNNNNNNNNNNNNNNNNNNNNNNNNNNNNNNNNNNNNNNNNNNNNNNNNNNNNNNNNNNNNNNNNNNNNNNNNNNNNNNNNNNNNNNNNNNNNNNNNNNNNNNNNNNNNNNNNNNNNNNNNNNNNNNNNNNNNNNNNNNNNNNNNNNNNNNNNNNNNNNNNNNNNNNNNNNNNNNNNNNNNNNNNNNNNNNNNNNNNNNNNNNNNNNNNNNNNNNNNNNNNNNNNNNNNNNNNNNNNNNNNNNNNNNNNNNNNNNNNNNNNNNNNNNNNNNNNNNNNNNNNNNNNNNNNNNNNNNNNNNNNNNNNNNNNNNNNNNNNNNNNNNNNNNNNNNNNNNNNNNNNNNNNNNNNNNNNNNNNNNNNNNNNNNNNNNNNNNNNNNNNNNNNNNNNNNNNNNNNNNNNNNNNNNNNNNNNNNNNNNNNNNNNNNNNNNNNNNNNNNNNNNNNNNNNNNNNNNNNNNNNNNNNNNNNNNNNNNNNNNNNNNNNNNNNNNNNNNNNNNNNNNNNNNNNNNNNNNNNNNNNNNNNNNNNNNNNNNNNNNNNNNNNNNNNNNNNNNNNNNNNNNNNNNNNNNNNNNNNNNNNNNNNNNNNNNNNNNNNNNNNNNNNNNNNNNNNNNNNNNNNNNNNNNNNNNNNNNNNNNNNNNNNNNNNNNNNNNNNNNNNNNNNNNNNNNNNNNNNNNNNNNNNNNNNNNNNNNNNNNNNNNNNNNNNNNNNNNNNNNNNNNNNNNNNNNNNNNNNNNNNNNNNNNNNNNNNNAUGGGUUUGUGGUUAAAAAUCUCAUUUAGAUAGAGUUUUUGAUGGGUAAUUAUGAAAUUUGACAUAAAGGGUACAUGAUUAAAAAGGUGGGAAAGGAAGAUGCGAAAAGAAGGUAAGAAGGAAUCAAUUCAUGGCAAAAAAGAAAAAUAAAUAAGAGGGAAGAAAGAAGACAUAUAUUGAUGGGAGGCGGAGGUGGGAUAGGGAGGUGAGAGAAAGAUGUAACAACAAAGAAGGGUUUAGCGAAAGGUGAUAUAAACAAAAUUAAUUUUGUAAGAAAAUAUUUUUUUUAAUGCCAUGUCAACUAGUUUGUAACUUUUAGUGUCCAUGUCAACAAACAAAAUUUUAUAAAGUUACCAAAAUUCAAAAUUUGUGUUACGAAAAGUAUUUCUAAUAGAUUGUGCCAUUUUCGGUAAAGGCUUAAUAGGUUGUGCAUUUAAGAAAAAAAAUAUUAUUGUGUUUCUACAAUUAACAUCAAUUAUCACCAAACCAUUAAAUACUAAAAACCAAUUAAGAUAUAGUCAUGUUACAAAAAAUGACUCUUGUUAUGAUUUUUUUGUUUAUGCAAUGAUAGGAUGAGAUUAAAAGGUUAAUUUCUUUUUCGACAAAACUUGUAAAAUAUUAUUAAACUCAAUUAGAUAUAAUAUCAUCUACAGUUGGUCAAUCAAAAAAAUUGAGGGUCUAUCCACCGAAACAAUCGUGGAGUUCCAAUGAGUCUGAUUAUACGCCAUAACAUGGGUAAGCUUGUUAACUUAUCUCCGGCCAUGACGCCAAUUACCACAAUCAAACUUUGCCAAAAGGCAACGAAUUAUGGACUAAAAUCCAUGUUCGGUAUGAUGAUCUUCCACAUGAUGCAAAGUCUCAACCAUGAUCAAGCUAUCACUUUCAAGAACCACAUUAGGAUACCUAUGUUGCAAGGCCAAUUGUUAGCAAAAUCUUGCCUCGACCGCCUCAGUUAAAGUAGGCUCAUAGCAACCCUACAAUUUCAACAUAUCCGCCAUUAAGUAAUGCCGAACGCCAUCCCAGAUAACCACCCCAAUACCCAUUCUGGAUCCUGUAAUGAUAGUUGCGUUUAAGGUAGUGAAACUGGUGAGUCAACAUGGGAUCGAAAAGGGACCUAGAAUCGUAAUCGUAAAAUCAAAUCGCAAAAUCAUAAAAUUUCACGGUUCUUCAAUAAUACUAAAUAUUCAGAAAUUCACCUUAGCAUAAAGACGUAAGUUCAUUAUCCAAUCUAAAAUUAAAAAUAAAAUCUCAAAUUCACCUUAAUAGGUUCUUCAGUUGCACUACUUUGAGCUGAUUUUCGAGUCUAGGAGACCGGAGACAAAAUCUGUGAACAAAAUUGUACAAUCUUACAACAAAAAACAAAAUACCUUCGAACAAAGAACCUAAACACCAAAAAUCCAAAACUAAUCUAACAAAAACAGAAUUAGAGAAAGGAAUGGGAUGAUGAGCAAAAUCAUGGAAUGGGAUGAUGAAGAAUCAUGGAAUCAAGGAAACAGAGAUACCUUCGAGCCGUAGGAGUGGCUGGAGCGAUGGGGACGACCAAAGAGGCUAUGACGAGGACCAUUGACUCCUGGUUCUGGUCUUCUAGACUUCUGGGGGACGACCGACGGGGGAGACGACAAGAGAGAAGACUGAGGAUCGAGCAGAGAUCGAACGAGCAAUCGACGACUUGCACAAUUUUUUUCAGAAGAUAAAUGAAUUUAAGGUUCGAUUUUUUGCCCAAAAUUGAACUCGGAUUUCCGUUUCGGUUCGAACCGAAGCAUAAAAACCAGCGGUCAGCACAGAGUAGUGGACUCGUGAAUCGUUGUAAACUCGUUCGAUUCCACGAUUUUCACGAUUUUGCGAGCGAUUUCAUGCCAUUAUAAGCCAUUUUGAUUGCGCGUGAAAUCUGACUCGACGGACCUAACAAAACUCGUAAAAUCGUCGAUUCCACUUCCUUCGUUGUGUAUGUACUGAUAUGGGGUUCCUGGUUUAGUGGUUGAACCGGGGUUGGACCGUUUUUAAACCGGGUCGGCCAUUUUAAAUAUUACAUAAAGUUAAAUCGGACCGAAAAAAUAUUGGAUUGAACGAAAUCAAACUGACAGUACAAAUAGUCAAAUUUUGAGAUUUAACCUUUGAAAAUUGAACAAUUUUAAAAAAUUUAUGUACAUUAUGAUGUUAUUCUUUUUUAAGUUUAUGUAAUAUAAUGAUAUUAUCUAUAGUUGAAGUCUUCCACACAUAUAUAUCUAGAAUGCUAAAGAAACCCUAAUGGAUCUUUCAAUCUUUCUUUAAUUGGGCUCCAACUACUCAAUACCCUCUCUCACACUUUUUUUCUCUAUAGAGAAACUCUCUCCCUUUUUCAUCAGAUUUUUUUCUCCUUGUAAUCUAAUCUUAUUUUUCUAAUAUUUUCAUUCUAUUUCUUCCCUAUUUGUCUCUUUUACUUUUUUCUUUUUGGAAGGUUAUUAGAAAAAGAGGACCACUAAAUAAUUCCGUCGACGUCCAGCAAUAGGGUUUUCCAAUUUUUUCACAGAUGGAUCCAUGUUUCCAAAGUUCUUUUGUUUUUUUUUCUGAUCUGAUAGUUGGUUCUUUAACUAGUUGAAUUAUCUGGUUUUCCGGGGAAAUCGGGUCAAUCCUCAGUUUUGUUCAUUCUCCUCAACCGCUAACUCAGUAUUGAUCAAAUGAUCGGUUCACAGUCGGACCGGCCGGGCUGAUAUGGUUUUGCUAACAUUGAUCUUAGUAGAGCCGACUAGAGGCCAUUCCAACCGAGCCACAAUGGCCUCAUACGAAAAACUCCUAGUUACCCUGAGUUCUUGAUAAUAAAUAAGAAUUGGAGUGCUUGUGCUAUGAUAUCACACUCCAAUUAGUGAAACUCAUUAAGCAUACACACAUUCCUUUCUUUCCAUCAGAAUCACAUAAGCAUUACCCAUCUUUCCAACUCCAAAUUCAAAACUUUGCGGUUGCUAAGUGAGAACCAAUCGCAUCAGUCAUUAGAAUCAUCAAAAUCAACCAGUGAUCAUGUUUAGAGUUACCUCAAAUCCGCCAAGUCCAUUGGCAAUCUCGGAAAUAGUGAAUUUGCAGGCAACCUGCAAAAUGGGCAUAUAUCACCAUGUCGAGGAUUAUGCUUAUACAUAUUAUACCUGUAGGUAAAAUUUACGAUGAAAUUUUCAUAAGAACUGCUCACCUUCGACGGAAUCUACAAUGACCAAGAACAAUUCCAAACAUCCGAGUUGCAAUUUGGAUUAAGACCCACUAAAAGAAAACCGUGUCCAUUAUUACGGAUAAAACCGGCCGUUGUCACUGAUAUUUCCAUGUCCCUGCCUCGUUGUCGCGGGAAAAUCAUCCGCGACAACGGGCGCCUUCAUAAUGAGGGGUGNNNNNNNNNNNNNNNNNNNNNNNNNNNNNNNNNNNNNNNNNNNNNNNNNNNNNNNNNNNNNNNNNNNNNNNNACGGCCGCCUUCAUAAUGAGGGUUGUGGGGACUAAACUAUCCGCGAAAAAUAGGGUUGGCGCGAACCCGUUAUGACCGGUUUGGUUCAAAUAGUUAGGUUGAAAGGCAUUUUAACAAGUUUAUCCGCAAAAACGGCAAGAGAUAUCCGCGACAAUGGCUAACAACAUUUGUUUUGCCGUCAUAACGGUUCCCCUAACGACGUUGAGUUUAUCCACGGCCAAGGUUGACAUUGUUAGUUUCUCCAUCCUACCCGUAAUGGUUGUUGUGCCAAAUACUAGGCCAUAAUAUCUGCGACAACAGCUCAAGUACUGCCUAAAAUUUUGUUAUUUUUGCUUGUUUCGUCCACUGUGGGCGCCUAAAAUAAAAGUUUAUAUAUGCACUAUUCUACACAUAACACAAUAUAUACCAAUAUCAUUAGCAUAACGAUAACACAUAUGAUCAUCCAAGAGUUAAUACUAUAACAUAAUCCAUAGAUCUACUCCAACAUAAUUCCUUGAUUUUUUACCUAACUAAAGUCAUUAGUUCACUAGACUACAUCACUAUCAACCUAGAUAUAACUACACUAGAGACUCGUCAUCCUCAUCCUCGUCAUUAUGACCAAGAUCCUUAUUAGCUCAAGUAUACAAAAGAAGAUAUAUAAAAUUGAAAUUAGGUUAAAACACAUAAAAUUAAGUAACAUGAACUUUAUAACAUAUAAAGAUUACUAAUAAUUUACCCGCCACAUCGUAGUCGUAGUUCUGUUGGAUGUGGUUAUAUUAUAUUAACCGCUACAAUCGUCGUUACGGAUCAUUAUCCGUGUCCGACGAUGACCUAACCGUGACACCCGUUAUCGCGGAUAUUAUCCCCCAUAACUAAUCUACGUCAGACAUCAAAUUUUGUUGUAGUGGCCAAGCUAUUCUUUAAAGCUAGUCAGCCAGUUUUAAUACCCCUAUUUUUUCGAAUAAACAGCUUUACUACUUGAAAUCCAAAUAAGCAUUCCGAUUCUUGAACAUCGCAAUGAAUAAUUUGCACGAUAGAAGUUGAUAUAGUUGACCAAAAACAGCUUUCAAUAAGAGCAGUAUUCUACUGAUAAGUCGUUCGAUUAACCAACUCACGAACUGUAGCAUCAACAUCAAACCUCAUCGGCGUAGAGGUCACAAAAUUACCGGGUACUAACGGAAGCCAUCCGUCUCCCCAAAUUCUAACGGACAUACAAUUUCCCACCCACCACCCAAGGCCACUCCAUACAAAACAUUGAGCACCAAAAAGGCUAUGCCAUAUAAAGCUAAACCCAACUCAGCUUUAAAGACAUAAUAGAAUUUUUAAAAUACUUAGCUUUCAUAAUUCUUACAAUAAGGGAAGAUGCUCUUGAGUGUAAGUUCCAAAGAUGUUUAGCAAGUAAAGUAAUGUUAAAGCCUAAAAAAUCACAUAAUCCCAUCCUAGCUUCGGAUUUCAAACUCAAUAGAUAUUCUUGACAAAAUGAGGGAUGAGCACUGGGUCGGGUCACCCAUCAAAACCCACCCGCCUAUAAUCACUCUCUACCACUACUACCCUUUUCCCCAUCACCAUAAAACUUUGCAUGCUUGUUUGUGUGUUUUUGUAGUUUUUUUGUGUGUUUUAUGUCGCUUUUCAUCGUUUGAGUAGAGAGAGAGAGGGAGAGAGAGAGGGAGAGAGAGAGAGGGAGAGAGAGUAUUUCAAGGGUUGCAUGUCAUACCAAUGAUUAAGAAUGCAUGAUAGAAGGUCUCGAUUCAAAUUAGGGUUCGGUCGGUGUCUGAUCGAAGGACGAAUGAUGCUUGCAUUAUUUUAUUUUUACUGAAAAAUUGGGCUUCUGGAGCAGCCUUUAGAUCAAUCUCAAGGUGUGUGGCUUUGCAUAGUGUGUGUCGUUUCCUUAAGUUUCUCUCGAUAGAAAAUCGAGUUUAUGGCGUGUGAUCCCACAUGCCAUGUGACUGAUUUUUGACAAAACGAACCGACCAAAGAACAACCAAAAACCCAACCGGCUCAAACCGUAAUGAACCAGAUUGAUUUUCAAACCGAUUUUCAACCAAAUCAAACUGAGUUUGACCAGACGCAUUGACCCUUCGUUGACCGGCCGUUGCCCCCGUUGACCGGUCACCAUGGAAGAAAAAACAUGGCAGUUUAGUAGUAUUUUGGGCAUAACAUUUUGCUCGGGAGUCUGAUUGACACAAGGUCAGUGACGUUGGAAACUUGUUCAGUUGCCUACAACUUUGAUGUCAUGAUGUGGCCUAAAUCCAUGCAGUUUGUGCUCAUUUUUCUUGGUUUGGAUUGAUGGAAUUUGAGAAAGUUUGAAUUGUGGUCUUGUUUGGUUUGAUGAUUUGGUGCGAUCGUGAUCAAUUUCUUGAUAGUAUUAUAGUGAUAUGUUCAUUGCAAAUGCUAACGUUUGGGAUGGUUGUCCAAAAUGGAUAAUUCUAGCUUUGCAAUGUGAAGAUUGCUGGAUGUUGAGACGUGAUCACUUUGUCACUCUUGUAUCGAUGGCAUGUUGUUGAUUUUCAUGAGAACUUGGAAUGGCAUCAUGAUGCUUCAAAGUGUGGUUGAACGUAGGUUGUUACUAGGCCUGAGAGUCGGUUAAUUUGGUUACUAACCAUCUGCUUAAUGUUCGGGGAAAAUGAUUUGGAGAUUAAAGUUGGUUAAUCGGUUUAACUGACCGACCAUAUGUAAUGGUUAAAAAGCCGACCAAUAACUGAUAAAUCGGUUAAAUAACCAAUUAUUAACCAACAGAUUAGUCGGUUAAUCCUAUGAACUGACUUUGAUUGAUUGACCGACUAUACCGACUUAACCUAACAAGAUCUGAAUCUCCAUGCUCAUCUCUGCCAUCGAGUGAGCCACGUUCUGCUCAUGAUAACCGUUCGUCCAAGCAUUCAUACUCUACUAAGAAAGCUUGCCAUGGCCGCCACUCUGAACACCGGUCAAAGAACUGAAUACUUGUUCCAAGAUCCGAACUUCCAGAACCGUCUCCAAUCCAUCUUCCCAAUUGUAGUUUGGACAAAGUUUCCUCAUCUGAAUUUUUACUCAAUCACACAACUACAACCUACACGACAACCAUAAUCAAUAGAGUGGAGGGGGAUAGGAUGAAACAGAGGACUGGUUGAAAUUAUAUGGGCCUAUGUUGCAUCCUCAAUAGCUCGUCGUCGCCAAGCCUCACUGAGCCGUCCCCGAGAGAGGAAGAGACGUAGAGUCUAGAGAUCGUGCUUUACUAGUGCUCAACACUCAUGGAGCCGUCACUGAGAGAGGAACAUAAUCCCUAAUGAAUCGUGAAAUCGAGAAUGAACGGGGAUAAGUGAAUAUGUUUGUGUGUGUGUGAGUUUGACCUAAAAAUGGGGGGAUUGGGAAUACGACGUAGACAUUUGGGUUCAGACUUGGGGUUCUUUUGACCGAUUAAUGUUGGUUAACACAAGUUAACUGACGGGUUUUAACCGAUUCACCGUUUAACUGAAGUCAGUUUUUCUCUUUGACCGUCCCCCAACCAACCUGUAGCUCGAUUAAACCUUCCUCUAACUUAUUCGGUCGGUUAAUCAAUUUUAAACGAUUAACCGAAACUGAAUUCCUACCCUUAGUUGUUACUAGGUGCUUUUGUUGCUCCCAAUUGAUGAUUUGUGAUUAUUUCCAUGCUCAUUUAAUUUGCUUCCAUUGCUCAUAUUUUGUCCUACCAUUACCCUUGAUGACUCAUUGGUUACUCACUGUUUUGGUAAAUGGUUCAAAGAAGCAUGAGGCAUAUUACUAGUCCAUUUGUUCCUGUAAUGAUAUAUCUUUGACCUCACCUUUUGGUAUAACUUGAAUGAUGCAUACGUUGUCACUUCAUGCUUUGCAUACACUCUUUAUGCUCGUUCUUGUUCAUUGGACUUGGUCAACAUUUGUGAGGAUUUCUUUGUGGCAAUUGAUGAUAAAUGAGUUAAGGUGGUCCCAUAGCUUUUGCUUACCCUUGUCUUACUAAUUUAUGAAUUAUAGGAUGCUCUUGUUUAGGAUUGCUAGUUAGUCUUGCUUGAGAAUAACUAGUUAUCUUCUUCAUUGGUUUUGCCUUUCUUUUACAUCUUGCCUAUGCCAUGUCUACUUAUGAGCUAUUUAUUGCCUAUCGUUGCCUAAUUCGAUUGGAUGCUUAUUGAGGUGGUUCCUUAGUGGCCGUAGGAUUAUGGGUUGACACCUCUACAUGCUUGAUGUGUAUGAUUAUUCUCCAUUUCGAAAUUUUCAAUGAUACUUUAAAGUCAAAUUUGAAUGCUCUUUACAAAUGUGUCAAUUUUGGCACAGUUUUCAAGGAUUCAUCAUUUAGUGUUUAUAAUUCAUUUUCGUUUUAAAUUUUCGUUUCCCACAUUUACUUUUCAUGUUUUGUUGCUUUUAUUGUUUUAAAUUUUAUUAUUUUUAUUUUAAUAGGCUUACUUUCCUUGUAUAUCCCCAAUUGUAACUUGGUAUCCGUAUUCUCAACUAAAUCAACAAAUGACACCAAAUAACUUAAAAUUGAGAACUAUAAGAGCUCAAAAGAAGGAGAUUUAGCAGAGUCUCUUAUAGGUUUCAAAAAAGCGAGGAAGGAUCUUCAAGUGGAGAGGACCCUUUCUCCUCCCUAACUCCAAUGGCGAACAAAACUCUAGCAUUAGACCACCUAAAGUCAGACGAUAAGCCAUGCAUUCAUCUCGUGGACUUUAUCUUCUAUUGCGACACCAUCAAGCUACACGGUGUUUCUGUUGAGGUUCACAUCGUGUUCCCCUUGAGUUUCAGCAACCAUCCACUCCAAGCACCUUAAAUCAUCCGUCUUAGUUUCUGCUUGUCCCCAAACACCGUACAUCGCAUGUACUUCGUGAUUUUUCCAUUCUUUGAGGCAUUUAGCUCCUCCUUGUACAUCAUACAGUUAUGAAUAAUGCCUCGACGUUGUUGUGUGCCUGAAAUUGAUAAAAAACACAACGCAACAACAUCAAAUGGACCCCAAACGGGUAUGAGACACUAAAUCGAGAUAGAAGUUACAAAUGCACAAAACAUCAUGUCGUGAAUGUUUCGAUCCGCGACACCGAUGGCUUGAAAUAUUUCAGAGUCGCCACCAAUCUGUUGAAGCGGAUUGGACGCUGUCGACAUAACCCAGGUCCUUUUGGACGUGAGUUAGAACAGGUCUGCGGAACAGAGAUCCUGGAUUCGAGAGGCGGUUACGUGCAGGGAAGGAUUAGCACCCCCAUAGCGCCCGUCAAACCGGUACUACUAAAUUUGAUAAGUUAUGUUUUAUUUUCUUAGUUUAGUGGUUUAAUUAUGCUUUAGUUUGGACGCAUAAGGUUAUGUAAAUUUUUUAGAGAAUAUUUUUAUUCAAUUGUAAGUCUUUAUGAGUUCCCACUCUUGUGGAAAUUUUUUUUUAUGUUGAUAAAUAUUUUGAGUUGAACAUUCUUAAUUUAAUUGUUUGGAUUUACGAAUUCCCAUUCUUGUGGAAAUUUUGUUUUACGCUGGUGAAUAUUUUUAAGUUGGUUAUUUUUAAUUUAUAUGUUUGGACUCAAGUCUUACGACUGCCUACGUACCUAAUUCUUUGGGAUCAAAGAUCAUGUAGUUCGUUAUGGAAAAGUUGAUUUGAGGAUUUUUUGUAAUUUUUACUAUUAUAAAAACCACGUUAUCAUGCUCAUUUUUUAUUUGAAAGACAUUUAUUUGGUUAUUUCAAAGUUGGAACUUUAUUUGCCCACUUAUGAUUAAAUGAUAAUUCUACAAAAUUCGAAACUCUUGUCACGGAUACGAAAUUCAUAUAACAUUGCUAUAAUAUCUUUAAAGGAUUAUUAUUAAGGAAAUUUCACAUUUUUUGCCAAUCGAAAAAUUAAUUGGUUUAUAUCAGUUAACUUAAUUUGACAUAAUUAAAAAUGCAUUACAAGACGGUUAACGAACUUACAUUUAAAUAAAUAUGUCACAAGUAUUUUUGGUGAUUUGACAAUUCUAUUGUGGUUAUGUUAAUGUUAAUUAAAAUGAUACGUUGAUUUGAAUAAUUGUAAAGUUUUGAGUUUUUAAGUUUACAACUUUAAGGUAUAAAUAUCAAAUAGGAUUAAAGAAGGUAUGACGUUUAUUCUGUUAUUCUUCCACACUUAUUUCACUUUUAUUCCACUCUUAAUAUGGCCUUAAUGAUAUAUGAAUAUAAUUGAAUCGACUAAAGGCUUGGCCUUUCUAAAUUAAUUGUGCCCAAGCUCGAGCUCGGCCCAACCGAACGAUGAGCCGAACCGGCGGGUAAGAGGAGGGCAGCCCGCGUGCCAAACUGGUCGAACCGGUUAUCCACGGUUCGAUCAGAAAACUCAAAAAGAUGAAAUUGCCCCUAGCGUUCCGUGCGCUGAAGAAGGGUGGCAGGGGAAAUUUUGUAACUUCACCUUAAACCUAAUCGGCCUUAUAAAAGGGCCUCUUAAAUCGAGAAAUGACUCAUUUGCAACUUCCCACUCUCUCUUUAUCAUCCCUCUUUCUAAACCGCCGCCCUUCUCCCCCCCCCCCCCCCCCCCCCCCCCACCCACCUUUAUCACGGAGUGUGCUGUUUUUUUCUAGUUCCUUUCUCUUCUUCUCAGCCGCCCUUUUUUGCCUCCUCUUACCUCUCAGGACCCCUCUUUCUACCUCCGUUUUUUCGAUUUUUCCAGAUUUGGACUUGCAUGUCAUCGGAGGAUACUCCGGUGAGUCCUCCGGCAAAAUGCAAGUCUCGAUCUGUAGAUCUAAUGUUUUAUUUUGGUAUUAAACAAUUUUGGUUAUUUGAGGGUGGUACCGACGGGGGUGGCGGGGAGGUAGAGAAAUGGAAAAAAGAGAAAGUUAGGUAAGUAAGAUUUCUUCCCUAUUCCUUUUGAUUAAUGUCUGGUUAAUUGCUAACGAAGCUAACUACCGGUUUCUUUGAUGACUUUUUUUAUGUCUUUGAAAAUGGGCAUAGUCGACAUGUUUUGGAAAAUGAGAGGAAAAGGAGAAGAUUGCUUUUAGGAGGUAAGACAGCUAAUUUUGAACCCAUUCUAAUUUUUCUAGGUAGAAGUAACAAUUCUAUUUGUUGAUAAGUUGCAUAAGAAACUAGGUUUGUUUUGUUACUGAAGUUGUAGUAGUAGUCUAGGUGUUUUAAAAAGUUUUGUUUGAAAAACUUUAUUUUUUUUACUAUUGUUUAAAUUUUUUUAGCAACAUUGUUUAUUCCAAAAAUCCGUAUUUUAACUCGAUUUUACUAUGAGUUUCAUAGUUCUUUAGGUCUUUGGUGCGAAAAUGAUGAAAGAUGGCUAUAGGUUUCGUUGUUAAUACUUUCCAAUAACUUUUAGUUCAUUUUUGAAGCUUAUUUGAUUGAUUUGUUGGUUGUUUAUUAAAAUGAAUCAUUUAUUUGAUUAGUUGCAACGAAUCAUUGGGUUCAAUAGUAGUUUAGAAGGUUGCUAAGUGAUAUAGCAUAACAAUGUAUAUGUAUGAAUGAUGUGUGAAUGCUUCAGAAUAGGGAUGUUUUGAAUGAUUACCUUCAUUCAAAAUUUCUCUUUUAUCGUAUUUCAGGUGGCGGCGCCUAUCGUGAGUGACGUCAAACCGAUUUGGCGGCUUCUAUGUGUAUGGCGACAAAAGAUGUUGUAAAACUUAUUUUUUUACAGUUUUGUAAUUAUUUCCCGGGACUUUGAACGAGUGAUGUUGGUGUAUUAUUUUUGGGGGUUUUGGGAAGAACUGGGGGACGAAUUUUGAAAACUGUAAGCUCCUCUUUUUGCUGAUUUUUGUCAGUCCAUUUAAAUGCAGAAAGGGCUACAGUCACUUCUUUUAACCAACCACAUCUUGCAAAGUUUUCUGACAAAAAUAAAAGGUGGCAGCUCCCCAAAUAAUAACCGUAACGGGCCCGAUAUUGGGCUUGAAAUAAGGCCUGGAAUCGGGCCCGAAAUCAAAUUGGGUCUAACACAUAAAUAGUUUCGAGAUAAGGGAUUUUGCCGAAUUUCGAGAUAGCGGACUUGAGGUCCACUCAUUUCGGCCGUUUCCGUUUAAAAAGAUCUAAAACAAAAUCGGCUUAGAACAGUCUGUAACAUAAUAAUUACAUCUCGAAAAUAUGCUAUUUGGCUACCAAGUUCUCCCCUAACGUGCACUUUGAUUAAUUUAACUGAAUAAACUUCGCAACAAGUAAAAUCUCGACGCUAAAUCCUUCCUAGAGAUGCUACGACUAUUUAGUGAAAUGACACUGGCGUGCAUUCUUCACUCGAACGAAAUUUGGUUACUACAGUUGUCCCUCUUUGUAUUACUUUCGCUUGGAAGUGGAAAGUGGUACAAAGACAGAAACCAAAUUUCGGACGAGCGCCUGAACUUCUCACGUCAAGUCCACUAGGGUCCAAGGAUCUGCCACAACAUCGGGUAGAAAACAAAAUUUGCAACCUGACCACACAAACAACAUGCAAUGCAUUUCCCUAUGGGUGUUAGGGUGAAUGUACUAGGGACUCAGCUUGACUUAUCUCCCGUUCCAUGGGUUGACUAUACUAGGGACUCAACUCGACUUAUCUCCUGUUCCAAGGUGCAAUCCGCUUUCCCCAGGAUGCUAAGGGUUGAUGUACUAGGGAUUCGACUAGACUUAUUUCCCGUUCCAACGUGCGAUCCGUUUGCCUUAGGACGCUAAGGGUUGAUGUACUAGGGAUUCAGCUUGCUUAGUUCCCGUUCCAUGACUACAAAUGUGUUGAUGAUGAAUGGUUUCGAAAGAGUUUGAGUAAGGCUCCCCCUUUUUGAAAAAAACAUGCAUCUGAUGGCAAUGCUUGAUUGAUAUUUUUCAUCAUUUUCACUCCGACGAGAUUCACUGUUUUGUUUUCUUGUCGCUUAGUUCGCACUACGUGCUAGCGCAAUGGUGUCAACCCUGCUGAUAGCUGGGUAACCUUUAAUGUAUGUGCCCAUUUUUCUUUGUUUUUCCCCCGACGUCUUCAUAUUAUUCCCAUGCCUUGGGAUUUUAAGGAUCUCUUUCCUACUUUGUCUCUACUUCUAGAUAUAAUGGUAAGAUAACGACGACCUUUGUAAAUUUCUUUCUUCGGUUAGGAAUAAGUGGAGAAAUCCUGCCAUCCGGGCUUCUUUUCUUUAACCCUUCCCUUUUACUAAUUUUUUCAUUCUUUCAACGGUUUUCAUUAUUAUUACUAUUAUUUUUCUCCCUUUUGUCUUCACUUUACCGCUAAUUUCAUUUGAAAAGACCUCCUAAUGAUUAAUUAGAGCGAAGGUGUUUGCACGAACGCAUUUGCCUCAAGUUCCUGUGGGGUGUUGUACCUCAUCCAUUUUGUUUGGUGAUGCGUGAACAAUGGUUAGGAGAGUAGUAUUUGAGAAUUCAUGAAGUAUCCAAAACUUAAAGUUGACUUAAAUUAUCACUUUAUUGAUGGAAAACCGAUCACGUAGAUCUCCGUCAGGAACUUUAAGCAUAGUACUUGUUUACUGAAUAAGAGUUAAAUAGGUAAGGGAGCUUGUCUCCGUCCAUGUUUGCCAGUAUUAAUGCCCCCCUGAGAAAGCCCUUUCCCCUACAUAGGGCCCUUCAUAGUUCGGCUUCCACAUUCCUCUUGGGUCCCCUUGUCAAAUGGAAAUCUUCUUCGUUACCAACUCUCCUUCGCGAAAUUCCCGUGUUUCACUUUUUUUUAAAAGAUCUGAUAAAUCUGCACUGAUACAGGCGUUAGUGGUGGAUAGCUGCCAACCUUUUCUCAUCAAUUUAAUUUAACUGGUCGUAUGCCGCUUUUACCUACUCAACUUGUUCUAACUUCGCCUCCAUGAUAACCCUUAGUGAAGGCAUUUCUACGUCCAUGGGAAGCACUGCCUCCAUCCCAUAGACCAAUUGGUAAGACGUCGAUCCCGUUUAGGUUCUUACUGAUGUUCAGUAACCGUGCUGGGUAAAUGGUAGAAUUACGUGCCAAUCGCGGUCGGUAACGACCAUUUUCUGUAUGCUUUUCUUGAGGUUUAUUGUUUGUCAGCUCGACCGCUCCGUUCAUCUUUGGUCGGUAUGGUACCGAGUUGUGGUGCUUAAUCUUAAACUUGUUGCAAAGCUCAUGCAUCAUCUUGUUGUUGAGAUUUUUCGCAUUGUCGAUUAUUAUUCUUUCCAGGAGCCCAUACUAGCAAAUGAUUUCCUUUUGUAUGAACUUUUUGACAACGCUCUUGGUAGUGUUUGCAUAUGACACAACCUCGACCCAUUUCGUGAAAUAGUCGAUGGCUACUAGGAUGAAACGGUGCCCAUUAGAUGCUUUUGGUUCAAUCAUGCCUAUGACCUCAUGAUGCAAAAGGCCAAGGCGAUGCCAUAAUGUGCAACGAUGAUGGAGACACGUAUUUCUCACCGGCAUAAACCUGGCACUUAUGGCAUUUUCUCACGUGUUUUACAUAGUCAGAGUUCAUCUUCGUCCAAUAGUAACCCAUCCUUAAUAUCUUCUUAGCUAGCGCAUGACCACCGACAUGUGUGCCGCAGACUCCCUCAUGGACUUCUUUUAUUGUUCUCUGAGAUUCAGGGGCAGCUACACAUCUUUGCAGCACAAAAUCAUGGCUUAGUCUGUAGAGGGUAGUCCUAUGAACAUAGUAACCCAUCUCCAAUCUCCGUAGAGUCCUUUUAUCAUUUUCAGAUGCCCUAGCUGCGUACUCCCUUUUAUGUAGGUAGGUCUUUAUGUGAUGGUGCCAGGGAUUCCUCAUGCUCUUUUUGGACUCUACCUAGGUAGGCAGGUGCAUUUUUCUUUUUGAUUUUGCUUCAUGGGUUAACCUCGGUCUCGUCCAGUUUGUACAUCGAGGACAAUGUGGCGAGAGCAUCCGCUAUUUGAUUGUCGACUCGCGAGAUGUGCUCAAACUGUAUCGACUCAAAUUUUGCGGCCAUUUCCCCUAUGUAUUUAUGGAAUGGGACAAGCUUAUGACCCCUAGUUUCCCAUUUUCCUUCAACUUGUAUAUUACUAGCGCUGAAUUACCAUAUGCCUUCAAAUUCUUAAUAACCAUUUCGAGGGCUCCUCGGAUCCUGAAAGUGCACGAUUGGCACUCUGUUAUGUUGUUGGUGCAAUCGAAGCAAAUUUUGGCAGUAAUAGGGCACACCCUCCCUUCAGAAGAGACAGAAACGACGCCGACGCCCUGUCCCAAUGAGUUUGAGGCCCCGUCAAACUUCAUCACCAAUGUUUUUUGGACGAAGCCUUCCACUAAUUUCUCAGUGUUCAGUAUAGUUUCAUCCGGAAAUUCCAUUAACAUCGGAUUCGUGUCCGAGAUUGCAUGCUCCGCUAGAUGUUCUGCCACUACACUCCCUUCAAUGGCCUUCCUUCGGAUAUAAACGAUGACGUAUUCUGCCAGCAGCACUUGCCAUUAGCCUAUCCAUCUGGAGAGGGCCAACUUUUCGUGGACAUCCUUGAUAGGGUUCAUUUUUUAUAUUAGGAGCUUCGUGUGAUAUAACAUGUACUAUCUCAGCCUUAUGGCUACCCAUACAAGUGCUCCGCAAGUUUUCUCGAGCGAUGUAUAUCGAGAUUCGUAGUCAUGAACUUCUUGCUGGUGUAAUAUAUUGGCGCGCUCUUUCCUUCCCGAUUCAACAUGUUGGGCCAACAUCGCGCUUACCAAAUUUUCAAAUACCGUGAAGUACAAUAUUAGUGACCUUCUAGAAGUUGGUGGGGCCAGAACCGGAGGGUUUAAUAAACACCCUUUGACUUUCCGAAAGGCAUGAUGACAACCUUCAUCCCACUCGACAUUCCGGUUCUUCUUUAAAAGCUUGAGAAUGGGUUCACACGUUAAGCUCAAAUGCGAUAUGAACCGACUAAUGUAGUUCAAGCGUCCUAAGAAUCCUAGCACCUCUUUAUGCAUUUAGGGAGGAGGUAUGUCAACCAUUGCCUUCACUUUGUCAGGGUCCACUUCAAUCCCCUUUUGGCUAACCACGAAACCGAGCAGCUUCUCCGAGGUGACUCCGAACGUACACUUUUCUGGGUUCAGCCAGAGCUGGUACUUCCCGAGUCGCUCGAGCAAUUUUCAUAGCACAGUUACGUAGUCGUCUUCCUUUUAUAACUUUGCUAUAAUGCCAUCCAGAUAUACCUAUAUUUCUUUGUGUAUCAUGUCAUGAAACAGUGUGACCAUGGCCCGCUGGUAAGUUGCCCUAGCGUUCUUCAGCCCAAAAGACAUAACUUUAUAGCAAAAGGUUCCCCAUAAAGUGAUGAUGGUCUUUUUUUCUCGAUCAUCCGAAACAUCCUGAUAUGGUUGUAUCUUGAGAAACUGUCCAUGAAAGAGAACAUAUUAGUUGACGGUAUUAUCAACGAGGACAUUUAUGCGAGGCAAAUGGAAGUUGUCCUUUGGGCUUGCCCUAUUUAAAUCUCUGUAGUCUACGCACAUUCUCAUUUUUCCAUUCUUCUUAGGCAUAGGGACCAUAUUAGAGAUCCAAUCGGUGUAUUACGCCACCUGUAAGAACCCGAUUUCGUAUUGUUUCUGCACUUCUUCCUUAAGUUUGAGUAUCCAUUCCGGUUUCAUCCGCCAUAACUUUUGCUUUACUGGCUUGCACUCCUCCUUUAUUGGCAAGUGAUGUGUUACUAUUGUUCAUCGAGGCCCAACAUAUCUUGAUAAGACCUUGCGAAAACGUCCUAGAAGUUCUGGAGUAGUUUGACGAGCCUGUUCUUUUCUGCUUGGUCUAAACUGUCCCCUACCUUAACCUGUCGCCGAUUGUCCUCUGUUCCCAAAUUCACGACCUCUACUGACUCGUAGAAAGGUUUCAAGGAUCGCUCUUCUUAUCCUGCCAUCCAAUCUGUUUCUAGGUUAGAACCAUCACUGGCUUCCUCGGUUUCCAUCUCAUAAACUGGGUGGUGAAAGUCAACUUUAGUGUUUCGUACCUCUUCAUUGUUUUCAAACACAUCUGUAACCCUGUUACGUGACGGGAAAUAGAAAAGGGAAAAAGAAGAAAAGCGGAAGUGAAUAAUAUAGACGAUGCACGGAUUGAGACUUAUGAAAACAUGCUUUAUCAAACAUGUGAAAAUGUGAUACAUGCAUUCAGGAUCACUUAAAAAACACUAGGAAGCCCUUGCUUAUUUUAUUUAGUAGUCAUAUUUUAGAGUUAUUACAUCUGCAAUGGCGAAAGUAACUCCAAAGCCUCCCAAUUGCUUAGCUCUUCCUUUGGACGGAGCUGCCGCACCCAUUUUAUUCCGGUCAUAAUUCCCGUACCCAGCAUGCUGAUGAAGAGAUCUGCAAAAUCCGACUGUAACUCUUUGGUGGUCGGAUCAGUGUAGUUUUUCCUCACAUUUAUCUUUCCAGCAUUCUUGCUUGUGAUGUGAGGUAUGAAAGUCAGGCCUUCAUCAUCUUCUGUCCCACUUAACCUGGACACCCUCCUCCUUAUCCGUUCCUUUUGGAUCCUCCUUAUAUCAUCAUCGUUUAGAAUGUAUCGCAAUCCCGCACGGUUCUUAUUUUCUUUGACCUGGAUGGGUUCUUUCAGCACCUCCUGCCAUUAGUAUCAUAGAUUCCAUACUCGAUAUUAAUCUAACCGAUGUCUCGAGACUAAUUAGAGUUAAUUACCAAGUGCAUUAAUAUAGUACAAUGAUUAAUCUGAAAAUUAAUUCCAAAGCGGAUCGACAUUCCGCCCCUCUCUCAAGUGUAGCGGAGACGACGAUAGACCUUGGCGUUUGGGGAUUUAGUCUCACUUUCGUAUCUAAACCAAAUCCCAACAAUAAUCUUACAACUGGAAUUCGACAAUUACAAAAUAAAGCAGUAGCUAUAUGCAAGAGAAAGACAAUAACGAAAUUAAUGAUAGUUCCGCUUAACACAAUCGAAAUUAUGUCGUAUUAACACAUAAUCAAGGUUUCAUCAAUUUCGGACAGACAGCUUAGUUACACAUGGUGAUCAAAUUAAAAACACAGAAAUCAAGAUAAUACAUGAACCUGGAGCUCCAUGCUUCAUGAACGCUCUGCCGUCGUAAAAUUCAGCAAUGUAGGCGGUCCGAACGGAAGUUCCGAAAUGGAUUUCUUCACCUUCGGAGCUCGAAAUUGCAUGCGGUUUGAAGUGGCAUGUUCCUGGGUUGAAGAAGGACGUCUUGGGGCAGAGUAGGAAGGCUUGCGGGUCUGAUAUGGUGUGUGUAUGGUGUGAUUUCGAAGUGGACAUGACUUGCCCUUAUAUAGGCUCGAAAAAUGGCGUAUUAAGGCCUCCGACAUGGGCAUACCAACUCCAUCAUCUGUAUGCAAGCUGUAGCUGUCCCUGGACUGAUGAUGGACGGAUCUACAUGUGCUGGACGUCCUCAACCAUGCCCGGUUAUCCUUCCGGCGAUCGGUUGAGCGGUGGAUUGUAAAACGGGUCGUAACUUCUUCGUUGCAAAUCUGAUUUAGCUCCGGUUUGUAUCGUUGGAUUUUUAAUUCAUCCCUUUAUAAUACGUGACCUGAAAUUUUAUUAAACACACUAGAAGAAAUAUAAAAUUGGACCAUAAAGGUCCAAGGGUUGAAUUUACGGAAUUAAGUGCAAUAUAACUGAUAUCCGUCGAAACUUUUGUUUGCAAUUGAUAUUAUGACUUGAAGUGUAGAAAGUUUAGUGCCAAAUAUUACGGUAUGUUAUGAUGUGAUCAAAAUACCCCACACUUAAACUUUUCUUGUCGUCAAGAAAACUGUAACUUAACCCACACGAAAUACCAAAGAUAGUUACCAUCAUUUAUACAAGGUUUAGGAAAUGUAAUUUUACAAUUUACGAUGCAACAGAGGUUAAAUGCUUGGCCACAUCGGUGAGAUAAAUCUCUAGUUAGAAAUUCACGAGACAGUGCACACCAGAUUAAUCAAGAUUCAAAUGCUAAAAAUAAAAGGGUUAAAUGCAUUUGUUGCAACUAUAAGAUUCAUUUUGCGCUUCCUUACGAAAUUAUGAAAUUUUAUUUCUUUUUUAAAGUUUCAAAAUUUUGAAUAACCCGUAGCCGAGCAAGACUAGUGAGUACUAUACUCAACCUUUUAACACAUUUCAUUCUUCCCACACACACCUCAAUUAAGUCCCGUAUGGGAGGCAUCUAAACUGGCUGCCUAAUUGGCAGGGCAGCUAAUGCAGAGGUGCUAGUCCUCUACCACACGCGUUAAGUUAAUCAUUGAAUUAUUGAGACAAAUUAAAGAAGCAUUUUGAUUUAAACAUUUUUUUAUGGCGAAAGUUGAAUCCAGUUUUGAAUUUGCAGAUUUAAACCAAACAUUUUAAGCAUUUGCAUCAAUUAAUCCGAGAUGUACUAAAUACAAAAAUGAAAGUCUAGUAAAAACAAGUGGUCAUUCCGCAACAACUACCAUGUCACCCAUAAUCGUUACAUUCCCAUUGUCUAUUUUAAUGUGAUCCCUAAAUUGGUAGAUGUGUAACCGCUAGUACUGUUUGUGAGGAGAUUAAAGUAAAGUACGGAUGAAAUGUUGAAAAAAAUUUAAAACACCUCUCGUUACACCAUCACCCAACACUUGAAUUAUACAUUGCCCUCAAUGGACUAUGAAUCUGGGAUAAGAGGGAAACAAGUAUACCGAGAUAUCGAGAAUGACAAUGCCAAAGUAAACUGCUCUAUAAUACCUGUCUGUCGGAUGAUAACGGUAACACAGUGAUAACAAAACAAAACAAAACUCAAAACACAUUUGGCAAAUGCCACAACUAAAAAUCAUACUAAAUCACACCACACAAUGAUGCAGAUCCAAGAUAAAUAUAUUCGAAAAUGUUAAUAUUUUGAAAUACAUCAAAAAGAAGAAGAGAAAAAUACACAUCCUAGAUCGAAAAAUCAAUCAUAACUAUCGGAUCAUAUUCAAAAUUUUGGGCAGAGUCAAGAUGAUUUUAAGGGUCUUGGAUGAUUUUAUUGAAUGAAAUAAGAAACUUGGGUUGUCUCCCGAGGACCACUUUUUUAUCGUCUUUAAGUUAGAAGUUUCCAAGAAAAUUAUUUAAUUAGCCAGGUGAAACACCUCAUGGAUGGUGAGAGAGUCGCUCGCAAGGUAGAGUUUCAACCGAUGACCAAUAACUUUAAACAUACCAUGAUCAGGGCUCGAGAUUUCAACAAUUUCGUAAGGAAGAACUUCAGUCACUGUGAAUGGGCCCAACCAAUGGGAUUUAAUUUUCAUGGAAAGAGGCGAAUCCUAGAAUUAUAUAGGACUAUGUCUCCCGGACGAAAGUGUUUUCCAGGUUUUAACCUUGCGUCAUGAAGACGCUUUGUCUGUUGCUUAUACAAAUUGCCAUUUUAAUAGGCAUGAAGAUGGAAUUCCUCCAGUUCAUGUAUGUGGAACUGAUGGCGAGGUCCAGCGACACUCAUAACAAGGUUUAGAGAUUUAAAGGCCCAUAAUGCCUUAUUCUCUAACUCAACAAGCAGAUGUCAUGCCUUUUCGUAGAAGAGACGGUAAGGGGUAGUGCCGAUAAGAGUUUUAAAAGUGAUAUGCCCAAAGUGCAUCGUCCAACUUUUUUUACCAAUCCUUGCGAGUCCAGGUGACAGUUUUCUCCAAAAUCUACUUAAGUUCUCGGUUCGUUACUUUCGCUUGACCACUAUUAUGUAGGUAGUAACCAGUGGACAGACGAUGAGUGAAACCAAAGCGGCGACACACAUGAUCAAACUGUCCCUGACAGCGGGUUCCUCGAUCGCUGAUGAUAGUGCGAGGUGCUCCAAACCGAGUGAAAAGUAGUUGCACAACUGGCUUAUAAGCUAGCCUCUUCCAUAAGAACUUUGUGGGUAAAAAAAGAGGGAGAGAUGCUUCGAAUAUCAUAGAUUUUCCAAGAAAUGGCCUUAAUAUGCUCUUUUAAAAGGGUGAUGAGACGUCCCUUUUAUUCCGGAAUGAGGGAGGCAAUGAUACUGACUAGAAGCUUCGAGUAAUCCAUCAGAAAAGCAUACUUGAGGUGCUCCGGUAGUGCUUUCAUCUUCAAUAUUGGAGGCUCCUCAUAUGAGGGUUUGACGGGCUCAAUCCUUGAGAGCUUGACAGGAGGUUCAGGAGCAGAGUCUUAGCAAUCUGCUCAAGUUGUUGUACCUCAUCAGAAGCAUCCCAAACACCAAAAUAAAAGGCACAACUCGAGAGGGUCUUAGCAAAUGCCCUCAGAUAAGAAGAAUACUGAUCCAACCUCAAUGGAGUCAGCAGGAUAGUUUCAGUCAUCCUGGACAUGGGCAUAUUUCAUCCUGUCAGCAUGGCGAAAUGUGGCCUUUCCUUGACCUACUUGAAGAGUAAGCUCGCCUUCAUGGACAUCAAUGAUGGUGCGAGCCGUAUUUAAGAAUGGGUGGCCAAGAAUGAGGGAGGCAUCUGAUUCAUUGGUGUCAAUGAUAACAAAGUCCACCGAAAAGACAUAAGGUCCCAUCUGCAUAAGUACAUCUCUCAGGAUUCCACGACAAAUUCGAGUGGACUUGUUAGCCAACAGGAUGGUCAAUUGAGUCGGUGUUGGUUCUCCUAAAUCGAGCUGUUGGGAUAUCUUGCAUGGCAUUAGAUUGAUACUUACCCCAGAGUCAGCCAAAGUCUUAUCCAUGCAGGUGUUGGUGAUAUAGUAACAUAAGGUGAAAGAAUCGUGAUCCUUAUGUUUCUUAGGUAGCUGGUUCAGAAUGGCAGCAUAACAUUCAACAUCAAGAGUAACAGACUGAAUCUCAUCCAAUUUUCUCUUAUUGGUCAGAAUCUCCUUUAGAAAUUUCGAGUACUAGGGCAUUUUGGUAAUUUCCUCAAUAAACAGGAUAAUGCCAUUUGCCGUAAUCAUAAGUUCAAUGAACCUUUUGUAACUGGCACCCAUCAUAUCACUCCUUAGACGAGAAGGAUAAGGAGGUUUUGGUUUGUAGGGUGGUAACUCUGGCUUAGGGGGAGAUGGUUACAGUAGCCUUUGGAUAGGUGGCCGAGGUGGCUUUCUCAUCCUUCUUCUCGACGCUAAAGUCAAUGAUCAGCGUUGGAGGAAUGAUGACAGGUGUGGACUAUGGAAUGGGAGGAUCCUUACUGGUGGUUCCACUCUUGAGGGUGACACCUUCACAAGAUUCCGAAGUGUCAAAUCCUUCAUUAGUAACAAAGAUUGCUUUUGAUUCUUCUUGCAUAGAAUUGUUUUCUGUGUUGCUAGGGAGAGAGCCUUGUGGUCUCUCACUAAGAAUUUUGGAAAGAUUUUUCAAUUUCAAUUCAAUGUUAUGGAAAGUGGUUUGUUGCCCACGGAUAAUCUUUUCCAACCUCUCGAGUCUGGAAACUUCAUCAGACUUGGAUGUAGAAGAGGCUUGAAUAGGCGGUUAUUCAGGCUUUUGCCCAAAACCAGGAGGUCAUUGGUUAUUAGUAUAGUUCCUCGAUUGAUAGCCUUGAUUAAGACGAGAGGCAGAGUUUCCUUGGUUGAAGGUUGAUCUGUAAUAGGCAUGUUCAUCUAAUUUGUGAAUGUUUUGCUGUUGUGACGGUCCUGAGCAUUGGGUAUCAUGGUUGGUUUGGUAAGAGUUUUGGAAAGACUUGGAUUUAACUUGAUUUCAAAAGUUUGAGUUUUAAUUUUGACCAAAAAUUUAUCAAUCUUGUGGGUAACCACCACCCAAAAAGUCAACUUCUUCUGUCUGGUUAAAAACGGUAUCCCCAGAGUAACAGUCAGUAGAAUCACAUCCUUGAUCCCCUCAAGCAACAUAGACAAAGAUUAUUGCCGUCGAAUUCUAUAGGGUCCUGACGUUCAGCUUGCUCACUUUUUGAGAAAGCGCAUGCAGCUGAGAGAGAACGGGAGAAAUAACCGUCCCAAGGGUUUCAUGACGAAUCACAAAGGAUGAAGUGGUAGGCGGGGUGCUAUGAUGCUUCCCAUGUUGCCUAGUCAAAGUAUGACUACACAUAUCACAUCCAGCAGCCAGGUUGAUCAUUUGUGUGCUUUCCCGAUUGAGCCUUCAAUUGAAAAUAUCGGCUUGGUUUCGGUCAUCGAAGCUGUGAUGAGCGCAAGAGCGGAGGAGGGCUUGGAAUCGAUUGCAUGCUUCAUAUAAUUGUUCAUUAUCUCAUUGCAUGCAAUGGAUAAUUCUCUCUUUUAUCUCACCGCGCUUCUAUGGAGGAAAAAAUACCUUGAGAAAGGCUUUAGCGGGACCGUCCCACAUGGUAAAACUCCCUACUGGUUGAGAAACAAGCCAGAUUUUUGCAGCUCCCUUGAGAGAGAAAGGGAAACGCUAGAGGCGAAUGGCAUCAUGGUGCACCUGUUGGAGUUGUAAGGUGUCGCAUAUUUUGAGUAAGUAUUUGAUAUGUUGGGUGGAGUUAUCGUCCUCUUUCCCCAAGAAUUGGACUGUUUGUUGGACCAUGUAGAUCAUAGCGGGUCGCAAUUAAAAAUUGUUGUCUUCGACGUGGGGUCGGGCGAUGGAGGACCCCAGGUUCUAGAGACUUGGUUUGGCAUAAUCGCCAAGUGUCUUCUCUUCAGCCAUGGUGAAGGAUCCUUUGGGGGAAAUGCUUACGUGAUCUUCGCCAGAGUACUCAUCCUUGGAAUCCGUUCUACCGAGAGCCGGAGGUGCAAUUGUAAUUCCUUCAAGGACAUGUUUAGAAAAUUACCAAGUAAUCCGUCGAGUCAUUCAUUUGACCGAAUAGGAGUUUGGAAGAUGGGAGGAGAGAGGGAAGCAGAAUGAAUGAAUUCGUUGAGUUUUAGGUUUUGGAGGUUUGAAGAAGAAGUUUCGAGAGAGUGUUAAAGAAGGUGAGUGGGAAGAUUAUGGAGUACUUUACUUAGAAACGCCGCCUUGUUGCCAAAACCAAAACUUUCAUUUCAGUUCCAAGGAAAGUAGGGGAGUCACUCAGACUACUUAAAUCCCUUUAAACUUUAGGUAGCAUCUCUUUACGAAAGCCAAAAUAAUCCUCUCAUCUUUUUUAAUUCUCCUUUCUUAUGAUUUUAAAUUUUUUCUAUUUUUCUAUUUUUAGUGUUUAAAUUCAUAUAAAUGAUUGGUAGCAGAUUUUUUUAUUUUUUAAUUAUUUAUUUGGAUUUUUUUGUGGAAUAGGAAAGAUUCGGAGAUGAGUGGAAGAUAUGGAAAAGAUUGAGAGUUCAGUUGAGCAAGAUAAAAUAUUGAAUGGCUGAAAUGUAGAGAGAGAAAAGUUGAGUGACCAAGAGGGGAGCAUGGGAAAUAGUAUCUAGAAAAUAAAUAUAAAAUAAUUUAAGAAAAAGUAUUAUUAUUAAAAGUGAAAAUUUAGUAACUGUUUCGUACAAAAGGAACGAGGUCCACGACAACGACGCCAAAAUUUGAUCACCCCCGUAGGCAAGUUUAAAGAUAAACUCGGAAAAACCGAGGUCGUAUUCACGCGGAUUCAUUCCGAGUAUUACUCCUGAAAGUGCGAAGAUGAAAGUCUAAUCGUUGGAAUAGCGGGUAUGAAAGCACACAAAUCGCAAUCGAGUAUAAUGGAUGAGUGAAACCUGUCCGGAAAUGAAUUCACCAAGAAUCAGAGCAAGGAUGGUCAUUGUAACCCUUCUUCCUUGUUGCAGUUUCAUCAUGAUAGGCUACACCUUUUGUUGUUAGAUUAGGGAUGAUGUGGAUGCAAGGAGAAUCCCCUCAUAAUGAGGGAUUGGACAAGAUUUGGAUGAUUUGUGGGCUUGCUUUGGAUGAAUGUAGGGAGAUUGAUGCAUGUACACACUUGAUUAAACUAGGAGUGUAUCAUUGAAUGAGAAAUUGGUAGUAUACGAGGACCUUCCAUACCCAAUUCAUCCAUCUUUUUUUGUAAAUUGCAUUGACGCAUUUAAUCAAACAUUUGGCGUGCAUUUUGGUUCUUUCUUAGUGGACCAAACUAGGUUUAGAUAGAGUCAUUGGGUGUUGAUGUGACCACAUUAGCAUCCUUCAUAGGUGUUUGGGGUGCCUUAUUUCCUUGUGCAUCAUCAUAUUAUUCCGAUUGAACAUCAUUGAAUGCACUUUUGGCUUAUAAGUUGUUUGUGACCACAACAAGUUAUAAGGUCCAUUGGUACUGUUAGAUAUGACCAUGCAUAUAGACUUUAACGAAUAGGAAUGCAUGGAAGCUUGUAUAGUUUGGUACCUAACAUUACACUUUGGUCAUAAAAUACCCAUCACAUAAUCAUAAAAUAUUCAUAACAUUUGGUUUAUGUUUUUCUCGCAACUCUUUUUGUUGGAUUUAAUAAUCACCACCAGGAUGCCGUUUUUAGAGUCUGUUUAAUGUAUGAUGAUAGAAUUAAAUCAUUUGAUUGGUUAUUCCGUACAUUUUUACAGUGCCUGUGAGGGAAGGCACCCAAACCAUUUUCUCAAAUCAGGACCCGACCAUGGAUGCGGCAUUGAAGAGUGCCAUGCCAAAUACAUACCACGCGACGGCGGUGGGGUAUGAUAGGAAUCCUCUGUCGACACACCCUAACUGUGAUGCAUGUCAUCGGGAGGUUUGAAAGCGAGAAGUUCAACACACUUCCCGCAUAUACAUGUUGAGGAGAUGGACUAGAGGAGCCAAAAUUCGGUUUCAUGACAUAGUUAUUACGCGGCUCCUCUCUCAGGAUGGUGAGGAUGGUGAAAGACUUGCUGAAGUUUGUUUCUAUGAUUAGGGUUGUUUAUAGGGUCGAUCAGUUUCAUAAUAUGUUGGAUGUUGUGGUAGAUGGGUUGGCCAUUCAGGUAUGCAGUAAUCAAAGUAUACUUAUUUGUUAUAUUCACCGUACAUGACUUGUAUAUGGUCAUAAUAUACCUAUUAUGAUAGUGGUAUUUCUGUAGGUUGAACAAGCAUUGACCUUGUAUGAUGGACAACAGCCAAGGGAAACUGUGGUGGCAGAUAGAGAUACCACCAGCGUUGCAGUCGCUACGUGUUGUAGUAGUGUGAUCAGGAGAGAGAUUGCAACGAAGUACACCCCGCAGAGCAGACCAAGUAAGAACAACCAGCGUGGGAAACAUAUCACAGAUACGGUCGCAUGAGGCAGUGUAACAAGUUUAGGAAGAUUCGUGCAAAGGAAGUUCAAUCCGAACAAGCAGUCGCAAUGGACGUGGAAAUGGAGGACUUACUCAAUAAUGAUGUUAUACAUCAGUGCAUCGCAUUUUUGCAGGCACAGGAGAGCACCACUGCUACUGGCAACCCCCCUCGAUUGAGAGUGGCCCUUGAUAGGGUAAUCGUUAAUUAUUUAAUGGUCAUUAUGGAGAAAAGCCUACCUGUAACGCUAGCAGAACUGUAGCAUUAUAUAUGUACACUAGUCACGUAGUUAUGUAAGAACAUUGCCAUAUUAUGGGUAGAUCAGUGACAUAUUUUUGGUAAAACAGUACCAUAUUUUGGUAGCACAGUCUUGUAGUGUUGGAAGAAUAGUGGCAUAUUUUGGGAUGUAGAAGAAGACACAUUGUUCGGAAUUAUAAUAUUAUAUGUGGUGCUAGUAUUGACAUAUUCUGCUACAAGGAUUACACCAUGUGGUAGGUCCACUUCAAGGAAUACAACAAGGAUACUACUGUUACCCUAAACAAUAGGCAUAACAUCAAUGUACAAUAGCCAUAACAACGUUACACAUACUUUCUUAGGUUCAAACUGCCAACCAUUGUUCUUCAAAUGGAAAAUGUGACCUUCAUCGCCAUGGCACUCAAAUGGAAGGCCGUCUGGAUGCUCUGAUAUGAUAGUGCGAAUGACGUUCCCUGCUUCCUUGAAAUUGACUUUAGCCUUCCAAAAGGUAUCCUUCCACAUUUCAAUCCGACUGACCAAGUCAACGUGGCUGCUCCUUUUGUCUCCAGAGUGAAUGAUACCUUGGUCCACGAGGCUCCCCUAUCAAUGAUUUCCAUGCAUAAUACAAACACCCACUACUGUACUAGUAUCAACCAGAACUGAAAGUAUACAUAUCAUUUUUCAUAUUCAUGCAACCUUACUUUCCAAUCGUGACAUUCUAGUAAGUCUCUUGUAAAGCUCCCCAUACACAUAAACUAUGCUCUUAAAUAGGGCAUAAUUCAGAAACCAUUUAUAACGAAACCGUAAGAGUAACAUGGUACUAGCAUACCAUACACAUAUCCAUAACAUAACAUAGAUAUCUAACUAGGAGGGUUGGUCGAAGUUCCAGCUUCUAUGAGGAGGUCCACUACCCCUUCAAUUAAAAUAUGGGGAUGAAGUCGACUCCAUUGUGAGAGGACCAGGCGACAGAAGUACUUGAGCAUGUCCUUAAUCAUAACGUUCUCCUCAUCCCACCACUUCGUUUGGUCCGUUGUAAAACAACCAAUGUGUUGCCCCAUAAAACGAAGUGCCAUACAGGCCACACCUGUGAAUGUCAGGCUUUUGUGGCGCAGACACCACCCUCAACUUGAAGUCCUUGAUAUCCACGUGAGUGUUAAGAAGAACAAAUGACCUCGCAUAUUGCAUUAUCUGUGUUCUUGUCGGCUUGUUGUAUGGCUUGGUCUCAAAGUCCUUCUUAUAGAUAAGGCUAUUGAGAAUAACUCUUUCCUUUUUCUCCAUGUCCAACCCAAAGACAUAGAAGUGCUUGAAACUAUUUCCCCUUAUGUUGGGAAGAAGACCGAACACACAAAUAUAAUAUAGUAAUCACAUCAGAUUGUAUAUCAACUGCAUACCACAAAUACAAUACAUACAUAUUUCACGGAACUCAAGCCCUGGAGGUACUUCUUAUUUAAGAAAUCCUUGCAAGUUGGUGGGAAUUUAGAUUGAGUUAGUGAAAACUCAAUCUCAUUUUCAACUUUUGUCCUAGCAGGAGUUUGAAGCCAUAACACAGUCUAACUACACACAUAAAAAAUCACACUUACUAACAAGGAAUAGUCAGAUUAUACUCAUAACACAGUUAAAUUGGCAACAUAACAGAGGCAAAUUGUAUUCAUAACACACACAUAACAUAGAAAGACAGUUAAGUAACUUUGACGAUUCAAACAAUACUUGUAGUAAUUGAAAUAAGCCCAUAUAGUCUUUUUAUUGUGUUGUUGUUAGCCAGUAAAUUGUCAUUAUUGAACUGGUUGCAGAAUGCAUCAAUCAGUUUUGAUGUGCACCUGGUUUGAAUAAUAGACGGUCUCCAACUCAAGCUUCAUGACUUCCAUGCCUUUUUUUCCGGAAAGUCGCAUAUAAUGCAGCUGUUGAUAGGAAACAAUACUGCACUAGUUGUAGCCAUAACACAAAUGUAACACAAACGUAACAAAACGUAACACAAAUGUAACACAAAAAUAAAGGAUAUAUAACAUAGUGAGAAAUGAUAUGUACUCCCUUUCAACACUAGAUAUGGCAUAAGUUACUAUCUUGCUCUCAACUAGUGUUAAUUCAUGUUGAAGUCUAUUUGUGAGAACGAUCUUCAUGCUAGUCUUUUGUCGGUAAUAUGCAAUUGGAAUUGGAUUCUCUGAAUCACCUACCAAGUCCACUACAACUUGUCUCCACCCGGAGUUGCCUUUGUCGAUCCACCCACUAACUCCAAGAUGGCUUCUUUUGCGGUCAUUCUGUUGGUCCACUUCAACUUCCUUCUAUUUUCCUUGGCAACCUGCUCCUCUUCCUUUUCCUUUUCGGCUUCAUUAUCUUCAACCUUCUCUUCUUUCUUUUCUUCAUCCCUAUCAUCUGACUUCUCAUCUUACUUUUCGUCUGCAUUUGCAUCCUCCUCACAGUCACUACCAUCACAAUUUUCACCCUUGUUGUCAUCAUCAUCAUCAUCAUCAUAACCAUCGUCAUCUUCCUCCUCAUCUUCACCAUUGUCUUUAUCAUCAUCAUCACCAUCGUUAUUGUCCAUGAAAUCACCGUAGCUCUCGUCUUCAAACUCAUUACGAAACUCCACGUCAACAACUCCCUUGCCCUUCCCUAGUAAUAGGUUCUGGACAGACGCACUCCUAUCCAGUCACAACUAUAAUUAGCAAGGCAGUUGUCCUGCAUUGCACCUCGAUCGUCGCAACCUCUGCUAACAAUGUUUGCUGCAAUCAUGGUAUGAAGAUGCCUUCAGAUUAACCCAUAUACGAGAUAUAUAACACUUAGGUAAUUCAAAUAUACCACCAUCAGAACAGUACAAUAGUCGUGAAAAGCAGUUCACUGGCACAUAACAGAACAACAACAUAUCUUACGUUUAACGUCCAUAGAACAUUGUAAUAACACCCAUGGAUCAGUUACCUGUUAUGAAGAUGCAAGUUGUACUAUCGCCGUCUACUUGUCCAUUCUAGGGUUCGUUAAUCAUGUUCCCCUAUGCUGAUGCACAUUCACCCCAAAGGUAAGGAAAUCUAGCUCGAGACUUUGUCGAAAAUGUCUUGAGCCUAAGUGGGAGUAAUAGGUUUCAAGCCAGCUACAAGAGACGCCCUCUCACUCAACAUGAAUGACCAGCUGCCGUUAGGAGUACUUAUCCUUCUCAUCAUUUUGAUGACAACAUCGCAUCUUAGUAGGAACAAGUGGGAUGCUCUUUCGGAUCGAUACCAGAAAGAUCAACCAUGUCCAGAAAAUGCAGCUGACACAAACAACCGAGGAUAUCAAGAUUAGACAAUCAACCAACAGUAGUCUGCAUCAACAUAAGAACACUGUACAACUAUUAUAACACAACGAUAGCAUAAAUAUAAUAGCAAUAUAACUUAACAGUAACACUUACCACCAUGAAGUUCAUGUCCCUGCUGGGAUAGGACGCCUUCUGAUUCUUAUAGUAGUCCUCCAGACCUCUUAGCAGAUGAUUUGAGACGUCAGCCGCCCAAUUAGGAUUAGCAAUCUCAAAGUUGUGAAGGUGAAGAUACUUGGAAAACUUCAUUAUAACCCACCGGGUAUUUGUUGGAACAAGCAACGACUCAAGGGCAAGCAACAUGUACAACUUUGUAUAAGCCGUGGGAUCUUUACAAUUCUUCAUUGCAGCUUGGAGUUGAACUAUGUUGAUGUGAUUGUACUUAUUGCUCUUUGUACCGGUCACCCUUUCAAACUGCUUCAAUACCCUUAGCCCGAAAUGUUGGACAUCCACGUCGGCUAGACUUGUAUACAAGGGCAGACCAUAUACAUGGUGCACGACCUCUGACGUUACGCCCAACAGCUGACCAUCCGGGAACUUGAAAAGACCAAGUUCAGGAACAAAGGAUUGGAGGAGGAAUUGAGGAACCUCCUUAUUAAUCAUCUCUAGUUGUAGAUACAACAACCCAUAGAAGCCAGCGUCAUUGAGACAUAGACAGAUGUUAGUACGAUGCGGGUGGUCGUUUUCAAGUAGAUCAUUGGCAGCCACCAACUGUCCAAUUUUGCAACAGAAUGGCUUGCCAUUUCCCUUCUUUUUCUUCAAGCCAAUCUCCCCUAGGGGGCCCUUCUUUACAAUUGGUUGCUUUGUGGCAACUGCCUUUUCGUUAGCACAACCCUUCUUUGUCGGAUUAGUUUUGGCCACCAGACAAUCAAAUAACAUACUCAUAUUCAUAAUGUACCAAUGUCAUUAUGAUUCUCAUAACAACAAGACCAAACAAAGAUCGACAAUCAUACACAGGUACGUGAUCAUAUCAUAGUAAUAUCAUAUACGUAACAUAGGCAUUACGUAAUACUAAGAAAUACAAAUAGAUACACAAUCAUAUCAUAGACAUAAGAUAGGAAUAACAUAGGCAUCUAAUAUGCAUAACAACCAUAAACAGAAAGAUAAAUUGUAUUACACACAUAACAUAGGAACUUCAUACUAGUAAGUAGCAUAAACAAAAUAACAAUCAUAUCAUAGACAUAACGUAUGCACUUCAAAAUUGUAACAAACAUAGGCGGUCCUCAAAUCUCCCUUUUCUUGGGGGUUAACAGACACUAAUGGUGUUUUGUAGUUAGAGUCAGACUCCAAGCUCUAAAAGGAGGACGAUUCUUUCCGUUUCUGUUUCCACUUUUUGUUGCAUGAACCUUUCUGUACCCCACGUUGAGAUUACUGUAGCUCUGUGAGCCAUUUUAAAGAUUGAUGAGGGGAGAUGAGAACUCCUUUGUUAGUCUUCUCUAUAGGAAACUACGAGAAAGGAGGAAAACUUAUUAGAGCCUUAUAAAAUACCCUAAAAACCAAUCAUAUAUAUACGAAGCCUUAAGGAAGGUACAACAUAAAAAAAAAGUUAUCAGGUUUGGUGGUUCUAACCGUCAAUGUAUAGGUGGAUGAGGAUGAAUGUAACUGCUUUGGUGGAUGAGGACGAAGGUAACUACAACUUCACCAAGAGAGAGGCCUACAAACCUGAAGCCACCUUCAAAACUUCCACCCAGUACUUUGGAUCUACUGGCGGAUGAAUUUGAUUCCUCCAUGCAACGGCUUCACCGUCGCCGGUGAGAGGAGAGAGAUUAACAGGAAGAGGGAGACACUGAUGUUGAAGAAAGAGAUGGAGAGAAUGAAGAAAGAGAUGGAAAAGAGGGAGAGAAUGAAGAAAGUGAUGUGAAAGAGGGGUGACAGAAUAGUGAUAUGACCGGUCUGACACAAGGAUUGAAAAAAAUCGCAAAACAUUUUCAAUUUCCCAUUCUCGAUAAUGAAAUUCGAAUCUACGGAUGAAAAAAAGAAUUGAAUAUUAAAUAUAAAUAAAUAAAUUCUCGUUCCCAACCCCUAGAAGAAAGAUAGCCGUCUGAUCGAAGUCAACGAGGAGACGGAUUCCCAGUCGUCAGAUCAAGCUGUCUAGCCGUACAACUUGACUUUCCAUGCCAAUCAUUAACAUUUUUGCCCAACCGAGGCACCCUGUUUGUCUCCAGUUUGAUGAGUUCUUGCCGGUGAACCAAUCAACAAUGAAGAAGCUCCGAUGGAGGGCCCAUAAACUCACUAACAACUAGGUAAGGAUCAUGAAUGUUUUCAUAAGCUUAAUUUAAUAUUUUCUUAAGCUUAACCAGAUCUAUACAACCCUCCAUUGCCAGAUUCAAGUUUCGCCAGAGCCGCCGCCGUCUCUAUUUCUCAAUUUAAUCUCCUUUAUUUUGAAACCAGGUGAGGAGAGUUUCCCCUAAGUUAAUUUGGGGCUUCACAAUGGUUUGAAGUGGGAUUGAUCUCACCUGAGUUGACCUCCAGAACCCGAAUUUUGGAAUAUGGGUUUCGGCUCAUCGGGGAAGACGACUGGAAAACAUGUCAUGACGGUGCCUGAAGUUCCAGUGAUUUCAAUUCAGUCAUUGGACUUCUUGAGGCCAGAUCCGGUCACCUAAAUUUCCUAGAUGGCAAGCGUAAAACAAUACUUUAAAAUGUUAACAAAUUGCUUAAUAACGAGACCUAUAUAUCUGUUGUGACUCUAAACUUUAGGAUUAUGACAUUUGACCCAAAUACAUAAAAGAUAUUUAAGUGUUGAGGGUUAACCCUAAUUGAUCUUGAUAUGCUAUUCAAGGACAUUAAGGAUAAAUACAGGAUUUCUGAACUCGUAAAAGGAUUAAGGAAAAUGGAUUCUUUCGUUAUAAGGGAUCAUUAGUAAAAAGUAAUCAUGAUUUUGGAAAAGCCUAGUUUUUCCUUAUCACUUUAACAAUGGAGAUAAACUACAGAUACUUUGAGUCAUCACUCAGAUCUUUUUAUUUCAAAUCAACUCUGAGCCUAAUACCUAAAUUCCCGUAAUCAGGUUCUCAGAGUCGAAACCACUUUCAAGCGUGGAUCUCGACCUUUUUUUUGGGACCCUCACCACUUCACUUUUCUAGGCAAGUGGUUUAAGGGGGUAAAUUCUUACGUUGCUGUGUUUAGGAAUGAACCUAGAAUUAAAUGAUUACUUGAUCUAUUUGUUACUAUGUGUUUUGUAGUGAGUUAUGAUUGGUCCUAUACUCAUGUUGAUGUUAUGUAUCAUGCUUGCGUGUUACUUCCUGAUUAGUUAUGUUACUAGUAAAUCCUCAUCGUUGCUAAAUUCAUGUUGAUGCCAUGUGUCAUGUUUCCAUGUUUUUUCCUUGAUAUGUUAUGUUUACUUUUAAAUUCUUAUCCUUACCAUAUUCAUGUUGUUACCAUGUGAUAUGUCUUGGUUAUUAUCAUGUUAUGUUAUAAAUCACCUAAACAACAAGUAAGCCUAUGAUAGGCAAUAUAAUAACACGUAUCUCGCUAACUAGACCGCCACCCUCUUAUGUUACCUUCAUGUUUCACGUUUGGGCGGAUGGUAGGAAUCAUGUUUAUGGUUCGAUGAAUACGUACUCCCGGACUCUCACGUUUACAUUUUGGUGGUUUGCUAGUUAAUCAGGAGGCCCCUAGAUGUCAUGUCAAGUAAGCAAGCCAAGUAAAUAAUGUCAAGUAAACCAUGUUAAGUAAAUCAUGAUAAGUGAAUCAUGUCAAGUCUAAUCAUAUGUAAUCCCUAAUAACAUUAUUGUUUGGAUUGCUAACCUAAUGUGAAUGUGUACUCAAGAACUAAAAGCUUAUGUAAAACACUAAUAGUUAAGCACGCAAGACUGACCCCAAACCACUCACCAGGUCAUACUAGAGAUACCGGCAUAGAGACUACCUAAAAGAACUUUAGUGGAUGUUGAGGAUGUCACAUGAGUUAGAGUGAGUGAUUUUGGAGGAUGGACUACCAUGUUUACUCUCUUUCGAGUUUCUAGUACUUGAGACUUGGGUUUUGUUUUUUAUUUUUUCAUACUUGAUUUCAGAUGUUCGGGUUGCUCACUUGUAAGAGCCGAUUUACUUUGGAUUUAUGUGUAGUUUUCAAAAAAGUCUAUACCUUUCUCUUUUGACUAUCUUGAGUCUUGUGAUCUCUCCAAGGAAAUUUGGUAUUUAAAUAAAUGAAAAGGAUUUGUGAAAAUUUGGGUCGUGUCACAUACCACUUCCCCUUGCAACUCCUUUGAUGCCAAUAAACCUAAAAUACUCACAAAAUCACCCAAAAACCAACAUUAAAUGUCCCCAAACGGGCCAAGUGGAUAAAAACACAUAUUUGAGUUAAAGUUCCUAAGAACUACCCAGAAUAGCAUGAUAUGCACGAAAUUUGGCUUAAAAUACGAUAGAUGAAUGCAAUAAAUCAAACACUACAACUAACCCCACACUUAAGCUUUGCUUGUCCUCAAGCAAAAAACUGAUAAAAGCUAUGAUAAACAUCCACAAUUGAAUGACGUUACUAGCAAGGCAAAGCAAACCCAUAUUCCACAAAGUACCCCUAUAUUUCAACACAUGCAAGUAAACCCUUAAAAUCAACCAAUCUAGGAAGUAAGGGUCUCAUCAAAAGUUGUCCAACUUUUCAUACAUCAUCCGCCAUGGUAUACCACCCAUCUAGACUUUCUCUCAAAUGGCACAAUUUAAAAAUGAAGUCAAGAUCAUCUCACUCAAAGUGUUUAGGGAUAGUGUUUGUGAGCUCAUUCCUCAACUCUGACGCAAACUUCAACACUCGCACAUCAACCUACUUUUUAAUCAUUACAUCAUAGAACUUCAAACACUAUUCUAGAGGUCUUUUAUUAAGGAUUGUAAUCUGAAAAAAAGAAUAAGAGGAGAAAUGAAUUUGGUGGUAGGUGUACAUAUUGGCCGACGAUUCAGUCCACUCUAAACAUGGAGCUAAAGCUACUUAAAACAAACAACCACGAUGCAAGGAUUCAAUUUCCAUCAAGAGCUUAAUACUAGCUCCUCUAUCCCUUAAAUAAGCUACUACUCCUUCGAGCUUUUCCAUCAAGAGCUUUAUACUAGCUCCCCUAUCUCUGAAAUAAGCUACUACUACUUCAAGCUUUUCCAUCAACACUUGGCCUCAUGUGCAACAAAAUCCAGAAACUGGGUGAGGAACACGAUUUAGACAACAAAUGUAGCAUCCUCUGAUAAUGCAGAUAAUAUUUCCUUAAGACCUCAUGUUAAGGCAUUAGAAAAGAAGCUAAAUGAUUUUACUUUGAAAGUUUCUAACCCCCUGCUACUUAUGUUUAUACUUGUGCUUGGGGUGAUGUUCCUUACAGCCAGGUAGAAUGUGAUAUUUUCCUCACCAACAAAUUCAUGAUGAUGGAAGAAGUGGAUUUUGUGCGACAGGGCUACCCCUUCAAUCAGCAGGGAUAUCAGGAAUUCAGAGCAAAGAACGCCGAAGGCCGACGAUUCAACUUCACAUACCCUGGAAGGCGUUGUGACUUCUACAAGUGUAGGAUGGAGGAUUACAAUGUCAAAGACAACAUCACUCCCCAAAGACAAAACUCACACCAUUAAGGAAACUCGAGCAACAACUACCAAGGUCCACCAGGAUUUCCAAUCAAGCCAACUAAGCAGCAACAACAACAUAAUUCGGACCCUGCUGGAGGAAUAAAUGAAGACAUCAUCCAGAUGAUGAAAACCAUGCAUGUCUUAAUUAUAGCUCAAAAGCCUGCCAACACAAACUUUAUCCUCACUCCAGAGGAAAUCAAGAAGCAUGUUCGAUUCUAUAUCCAUUGGUAGUCAAGAAGAAGGGGCUUUGAAAGGCAUUUUAGAGAUUUAUAGAGAUCAUCAAGAAGAAGGAGGUUACAUUAACCUUUCUGGAAGCUUUCAUAAAGAUUCUAGCAUAUGCAAAGUUCUUGGUGAUGCUAAACAAGAAGAUAAAUCUUAGUGAUGCCACAGAGGUCUCACUCUAUGAAGAAGGAGCAAUAAUCCAAGUUGGAUCGACAAAGCAAAAAGACCUAGGGAGCUUUACUUUACCAUGCAUGAUUAAGAAUGUUAAAGUCUAGGGAGCUUUAUUUUACCAUGCAUGAUUAAGAAUGUUAAAGUUAGUUAGAGUCUUGCUGAGCUAGGUGCUAGUAUAAAUGUUAUGCCCCAAAGCUUAUAUGAGAAACUAGAUAUAUGUGAACUUAGACAAACUAAGAUAGUUCUUCAACUUGCUGAUAGGUCUUUGGUAAAACCCAGGGUAGUCGUAGAUGAUAUUUCAAUUUGUGUAGGACCUUUUGAAUUUUCUGCUAAUUUUGUUGUUCUAGAUACCCAUGAGAAUGACAGUCAUUGGCUUAGUCCUACGAAGGUUGUACCUAAGAAGGUGGGUUUCAGGACCAUUUUUGUUUGAUGAUAACUAUAUACAUGCAUUUAAUUUUCUAAAAAUGAAGUUGACCACUGCGUCGAGAUUAGUCUCCCCGGAUUGGGAGGCACCUUUGUAACUAAUUUGUGAUGCUAGUGAUUUUGCAGUGGGUGUAGUGCUAGGACAGUGGAGAGAGAAGAGAUUACAUCCCAUAUACAUCAUGAGCAAGAUGCUUAAUGAUGCACGGAAAAACUACACAACUACUAAGAAUGAGCUCUUGUCGAUUGUCUUUGCAUUCAAGAUGUUCAGGUCCUAUUUAAUGUUUAUCCCAGACUAUGGUUUUCACUGACCAUUCUGCUCUUAACUAUCUUCUAGCUAAACAAGAUGCGAAGCCGAUAUUUAUUCGUUGGGUGUUGCUCCUUCAAGAAUUUGACAACACUAUUAAGGACAAUGCGGGGUUAGAGAACAUUGCAGCUGCCCACCUAUCGCGCGUUGAACGGCCUCCUCCUGUUCAAUUAGCUCAAGGAGAGAUAAAUUAGCUCUUCCCGGAUGAUCCACUACUCCUCUUGGUAGAAGCAGAGAAAGUCUUGGAUCAUCAUCCUCAACAAACGCCCAUGGUUUUCGUACAUAGCCAACUUCCUCGCUUUCGCGGCAUUUCUAGAAGAUUAAAAAAUCAUCAGCAGCAAAGGAAACAGGUCUCCGAAGCCAAGCACUACAUCUGGGAUGAUCCUUACCUCUACCAUUCGGGCUCAGACGGAGUAAUCAAACGAUGUGUUAUGUUGCAUGAAUCACUCCACAUCAUGCUCCCUUGCCACACUAGACCUGUUGGGGGACAUCAUAGUGGAAAUCGCACAGCUCACAAGAUUUUAGAUGCGGGUUCCUACUGGAGGACGAUCUCGAAGGAUUGUGGCAGAUACGUGAAGAAAUGUGAUGCCUGUCAACAUACAUGUAACAUUUCAAAUAAGAAUGAAAUUCCUAUUACCAUCUCCAUGCUUGUAGAAGUUUCUAUUGUGCGGGGUAUUAGUUUUAUGGCCAUUUCCCAUAGUCCCAUGGUAACAAGUAUAUCCUUGUUAUUUUGGAUCAUGUGUCAAAGUGGGCAGAGGCAUAAGUGCUGCCUACUAACGAUGCUUGGAUAGUGGGAAAGUGUAUCACACGGCUUUUCAUGCAUUUUGGUGCCCCUCAUGUUAUUGUUAGUGGUAGGGGCACUCACUUCUAGAGUCAAUUCGAUCUUGUGUUCCAAAAAUUUGGUGUAACUCAUCGAUUAACCACUGCUUAUCAUUCACAUACAAGCGGUCAAGCGGAGGUGACGAAUCGUGAGCUGAAGCGGAAUCUUGAUUGACAGUCGAUCAGUCUCACAAGGACUGGUCAAUUCGGCUCGAUGAAGCUCUAUGGGCUUAUCGAACUGCCUUCAAGACUCCUAUCAGUACUUUGUUGUAUUAACUAGUUUAUGGCAAGCCUUGUCAUUACCGAUCGAGCUUGAGCAUAAGGCAUGGUGGGCCAUGAAGCUAUUAAACAUGGAUGAUAGUUUGUAGCUUCAAAACACAAAGAUCAGCUCCUUGAGCUAGAGGAGUACAAGUUUCAUGCUUAUGAGAGCUCAUGGCUAUACAAGAAGAGGAUGAAACGCAUCCAUGAUGCCAAGCUUCAAGGUGUCAAGGACUUUGAGAAGGGAGAUAAAGUGUUUCUUGACAACUCCCGCCUCCGACUGUUUUUGGGAAAAUUACAAUCAAGAUGGUCGGGACUAUAUGAAGUCACACAAUCAUUUCCCUACGAUACCGGGAAGAUCACACAUUCGUGCCAAGGAACAUUCAAGGUCGACAGUCACCAUCACAAGUGAUAUCACAGUUCCAAGCCUACUAAUUGAGUCAAAGUUCAUUACUUCACUGAUGGUAAAUAAAAGGCGAGGUAUCGUCUAGCUCAAAGAGGUUAAAAAAGAGCGGUUCAUGGGAGGCAGCUCAUGCUUGGAGUCUAUAUUUUGCAUUUUAUUUUGAGUCAAAUUGCAUGUUUAGGUGUUAGAUCGAGUCUAGAACAUGAUACUUGAGUCCCAUUCCUAUCCCAAGUCAUCGAUGAGAAGCGUUUUGAAUUUUGUGUGAAGGGUGGAAGGUCACAGAACAAUAUGUCAACCUUAGCGCUAUAGAUCUGGGUCAAACAUGAGCACCAGAGUUGCACUACCCCGCCCACCGCCACCACAUGGAUAUCAGCGACCGCCAAUAGAGUUUGCUGGCAUGGUGAGGUCAGUAUAGUAGUGGCAGAUCAAUUUUGGGGAGGGUAGUCUUCCAUGGCAGCAGUAGUAGACAGCCUGACAGACGUCAUUUGAUUUGGGACAGUGACCUUCAUAGAUCGAGCAGAGGAGAGUUGAGUAGGAACACCAUGAUCGAGCCCACCACACUCGCCUUCACUAGAUGACUACUGAUCCAGUAUCAUCAUUCUAGUUUCUCAUUAUGUGUUUGAGUGUUUUUCAGAAGUUAGUGUCGCCACGAAGGUUGAACUUCAUGAGUCAUGUAUGAGCCUCUUGGAUUUCAGACAACAUCCAUGUUUUCCUGUGUAACUUUUCGCUUCAUUUAGUGAGGACACUUUCCGAACUAAGUUUGAGGUGGGUUUGCAUAGGAUUUGUGUAUGCUAGUCUUGUUGGGUAGUUGUUUUACAUGUGCAUCCUAAACUCAAGCUUGUUGGAACUAUCUUUGAAUCAAUUACUUGGCAUGCUUAGAAAAAUUCCUUGUGAUUUGUGCACUUGAAUUGCUGAAUUACUUGUGAACCUAGAUUUGAUAGGAGUAUAGGCCUAUGAUCAAAGUCUAUUGAUUCAUUCUUUAGAAGCAGAUCUGAGGCAUAGACUCUAACACUUAUAUCCCUUCUACAUGGAAGUUUCAUCAAGUUUCAAUGUGAAUGAAUUCAAUCGGAGACUAGAGGAGCUGGGAACGAUAAACAUCCUCCACCGGCCUAGGUUUCUUCUUCGUAGCACAUGGUUGAAAUAGAAAUGAAGAAAAAUCAGAAGAAACCAUUUGGAGGCGGAGUGAUGAUGGUGAUAAUGAGGAGGUUUUGGUACCUUGUAUAAUUCAUCUCCAAUUAAAAAGGUAUUAAAAAUUAACGGUUUUUAAAUUGAUUGUUUUUAUUGACGGUGAAGGAGGUAUUAACUGAUGAAAGAGGUAUAGUGAAGAAAAGAACUUAUGGAACUUAAAAAAGAAAAAGAAAAUAGAAAAUUGGAAGGGAAGUUCACGUAUUUAAAUCGAAUAAAUUUGGGUGAUCUAGUUGUAUUGUUUAGCAUAUUUGGGUGUUAACUCAAUAUUAUGUUUAUUAAAAAAUCGACCAAUAAUAUUCCGCCACAUAACAUUUGUACCGGAUGCAUGUUUCCACCAAAAUGUUUCCUUAUAUUAAACUGAUUUGUUAAGUUUGAAUGUAUAUUAACUUUAAAAGAAUCGCAACAAAUGGGAGGGUUUUUGCUUUUUGAGAUAGAGAGAGAAAAUAGUGGUAGAUGGUCUGAUGAGAAGAACCCAAGAGCAAUAUGCCCUACAAGUUCUCAUGCAAAAAACUGAAGGACUUGGGAUUGGAAUUCACACCAAUGACGCAGAGCCUGUAUGAAGCAAUCAAGUCCCUUGAGGAAAAGUGUCAUUUUUCUCCCCCUAAACAACAGCAGCACCACAAGAAGGAGGAACCCAUGAAAAUUCAGUCCUCUUCUUAAUAAUAAUUAAAUCUACUACAUACCUAACAAAUGGCAAUCCUUGUUCGUUUGCAUAAUUAAAUAUAUGAAAAAAUUAGAUUUACCGGGGAAGACGCCUUAUCUGAUUUGACCAACUACGUACUUGUUUGUUACUAUUUUGAUUGUAUUGGGGUUCUAUUAUAUUCUACAAUCCUUUGUAUCGGUUGGUCAUUCAUAUGAUGAAAGUAUCAAGUCUUGUGUUGUAAUUGGUGUUUGUUAGCCCUACUAUAAUUAAACAAAUGCUUAAGUUGUUGUAAGAGAUAUAAUAAGAGGGGAAAAAUGAAACAUAGGAACAUACCUAUGGUAAGUACCGAAGCAAUGAUAAUUAGUUCCCCGGCUACAGAAGAUACACCGAUUAGAGCAACAAUUAGAAUGGGAACUAUGGCCAAACAUCUUGUUAAGAAAUUUCAGAUCCAUGGCUUCAAUCGUAGAUCAAGGAUGCCCUGCAAUGUAUUUUUCCAAACAUGUGAGGAAACAUCAGAACAUCUCAGCUUCUUCUAUGAAAUCUGUAUACAAUUGCAAAUUUUAACCUAUAGAAUUUUCUACAGCUGCCGUGGAAAUUGAAAAUCUGGAGGAGAGGAGCUGAGAUGAGGUGGAGUGCUGUCAGUUCGUAUCUGUUGACUGUAACGCAGAGUGACAUCAAGGAUCGGAUAUUAGAAGCAGAGAUAUCCACGAUGUCAAUGUUGGGAUGAUUUAAAUUAAAUUUUCCAAGGCCAAUGCUUUAUUUGAGAAAAUUGAAAUCUAUUAUUAUUGAAUUUAAGUAAAGUGUCUAUUUUGUAAGUUGUUUUUUUAUUUUCGAAAAUUUUUAAAAAGAAAUUAAAGAAUGCAUGGCCCAUAUUCAGUCUUAAAACGAGCGGUCCAAAUCUGAUGAAAAUAGCGGGUGCACCCGGUGCACUAGAUGCACUGAAGACCUAUGCAUCAGCCAACACAACAAUAACCGCUUCACUUAAAUAUAUUUACAAAAGGUGCUUUAACUUAAUAUAAUUAAAAGUAGGAAACUUUGCCAAGGUGAUCCAUUGUCUCCUUAUUUGUUUUUAUUGUGCUCGAAAGAUUUUUCAGCUUCAAUUAACAAGUACGAGAAGGAAAAGAAGAUACAUGACAUGAAAAUUUACAACAGAGCCCUUAUAUUUUCCCAUUUAUUUUUUGCAGUUGAUUGUAUAAUGUUUGCAAGAGCAAAUAUGGAGGAAAGGACAAAAGCUUCUAAUGAGGCCGUGCGAAAGCUCUCCAUUUCUGCGCACUGAGGCGAGUUGCUGUCAUACAUAGCUCCGGCUGCGGGUGCGCUCCAGUUGUGCGACAUCCGGUUGUGACUUUGGCAAGCAUAACUAGGAUCUGAGGUUUCCUCAGAUCAUCUCUCUUCUUUUCUCGUUCCUCUUGUCUUGCUUGUAGAUCCAUUAAUGGCGAUCAUCUUCUUCGUUGAACUAUUCUAAAGUGGGUGAGCUUCUGGAGAGAGUUCCGAAGGUUGUGAUCUGGUUGGCGACCGCUUGGCGGCUCCAUGAUAGCAAUUUCGUUCUUCUUCUAGUUGAUUCUCCUCUAAUUAUGCGCUUCUAAUGAGUGAAGGUCCUAAAUCAUGGAUCGAGUUGUUCUCUAUGUCAAAUGACUUUAAGCUUGAUUUUGUUGAGUCUGACCAAAUUGAUGGUGCUCUUCAAAUCCCCAAAAUGUUGUGGAUGAAGGACUUCAGAGAUUGAAGUUAUGCCUCGUCGCACAAUUCCUUGGCGAUCCUCCGACUAUGCCUAAGCAACAAGUGAUUGCUAAUUGGUUAUGGGGGAGAGAUGGCUUCAUUAGGGUUUAUGCUAUGGAAAAUGGCCUUUUCAAUUUCAAUUUUGUUUGUUGAGAAGUUUGAUUGGAUCAUCGGCUCGGGGCCUUGGCACAUGAAGAACUCUUCUAUUCUCUUUCGCCGUUGGGGAAUAGACAUCCAUCUGAUUGUCAAUACGGAAAGUGUUACGCCUGUUUGGCUAAAGUAUCAAAUGUUUCGAUGCCACUUCAAAAUAAGAAAGGACUCACUCGGUUGGCUAGCACCAUUGGUAAGCCAUUGAAUAUGGACAUGACUAUGAAGGAUGUUGUUGGCUCUAAAGCCAAGGUUUGUAUUGCUAUCGAGACAUCUCAAAUGUUACCUGAUUCCAUUCCUAUCUCAGUUGUUGGUAAGCCUCCCAUUCUAGUUAAGGUGGAGUAUGUGCACCAUCCAUUGUGUUGCAUUUCUUGUGCAGUCUUUGGCCGUUGCAGCUGUCUUGGGACUUUGGUCGUUGCAGCUAUCUUGGGACUAGGGUAUAGGAUAAGGAUAAGGGAUGUGGGAUUGCUAAGACGCUUGAUAUCUCUAAAGUUUUGCAAGAACCUGUUUCUGAUACCCUAGAGGUGGUUAUUCAGAAUACUACGGCAGAGGUGUGUUGCCCAGAAUGUUGUUCCAGAGUUCGUUGUUCAAAAUUUAUCAGUAAAUGAGCCUGCUACUUCCAUGGGAAUCCCUGUUGCCUCAACUAGUAAAGUGAGAAGUGAAACUUCUACUAGUAAGCCCCUUGUGCCUGCUCAGACUAAGAAGCAAAAAGCAAAAUUAAAUAUGGAGAAUUGGUUCAACCAUCUGUCAUAUCAGUCGGAUGAUAUUCUCUCCAAUUUGGGUGACCAUCCCUUUGUUAAUGGUGAAAGUCGCAAGAAGAGUUAAUGAAUGUUCUUUCCUAGAAUCUUUGGAGGUAUAAUUCCCUUAAAAAUAUAGGUUUUUAGUUUCUUACCUUGAAAAGUAUAAUAUAAAUGUAGUAGCUAUACUAGAAACUAGAGUUGCUAUAGGUAAAGCUGAUGAUAUUAUAGUUAAAAGCUCUCUGUCUUGGAACUUCUUUGGUAACUAUGAUAAGAGCAAGUUGGGAAAGAUUUGGAUUCUAUGGAGAUCCAGUCUUCAUUUUACAUUUUCCUGCUACUCGGAUAAAUUUGUCUUGGUUGAGAUUGGUGGUGGUCCUAAUUUCAUAUUUGUAAUAAAGAAAAUGAAAGACUAAAGAUGUAUACUGAUUUAUUUUUAGUAUUAUUAAGGAGAUGACCACCGUGUUUGCUACUGUUGGGGACUUUAAUAC
RNAcentral lists this long non-coding RNA (109648 nucleotides) under Linum usitatissimum (flax). RNAcentral's name for it is "long non-coding RNA (LUSI_LNC006001)". The stretch from base 50086 to 50164 matches the Rfam family "Small nucleolar RNA Z122". Lineage: Eukaryota; Viridiplantae; Streptophyta; Magnoliopsida; Malpighiales; Linaceae. The record is from RNAcentral.